UUUUUUUACUGAUCACCAUGAAUAAUAUUUUGGACGACUUUGCUCGCUUUUGAUUCACGGGAUAUGUUAAACAAUUCAAUCCCAUAAUCAAAGCAAAUUUGUUUAAGUCGAUGUGAUCAAGCUAACUUAUCGUUUACAUAGAAUCUAAUCUUAUGAAAUAUUUUACUUUUCUUGACACGUAGAAGCACAUACAUAUAAUGAACUGCCAAUCCAUUGAAUUUACAAUAUUUUGAUAAAUGUCUCACGUGUCCAAAACAGAUUUGCUUAAAAUCAACAUAGUGUUUUUUCUCAACUAGAGUUUCUCUAUAUUCCCAAUAAAUCUUCAUCCUUGAUUUUACAUGAAUCUUUUUUGAAAAAAAUAAUGGUUCAUACAUGUAGCUUAGGCCAUACAACACAAGGAAGCUGUUUCUUACACAAAUUGACAAGGAUAGGGGAUUAUCAUCUCCAUAUCCACCAUCUCUUGUGUUCACAUCUUCACCAUCAUCAUUAUUUUUUCUUCAUUUUUCCUUUCGCUAGAUUCAACAUGCUCACUCUUCCAGGCACUAUUGUCAUAUUUCUUUCAGUGUCAGUCAUGUUUUUCAUUUUCAACUCCGACUUGACAAUUAUUUUUUUAAAAUUUGAACUUUUUUUAGCUUUACGUUUCCUAUUGUUACAAAUAGUAGAAGCAUAUCCUUUUAAUGAUUUUUCUAUCUUUAUUUCAUACUUCACAAUUUGCAAGCAAAAAUAUUUUAUAGUGAUCAAUUUAUCGAUUACUGGUUUAUUAACAGACUCAGACAAGUGCUGUAAUAAAACAUGCAAAACAAACAACAGUGAUUUUAGAAAGGGAGAAUACAAAAGAUAGUGACCAAAACAUCAUAAAAGUCGAUUAAAAUACAAGAAAAAACAAUCAAAAUUAACUGAAAAUAUUACUCUAUAUAUAAGCCAUUAACAAUAGAACGAGCACAACAAGAGAAAGCUAACUAUGUGCUAAAAGGAGUGUACGAAGUUUUCUAGGAAUUACUACAACAGUGGUAGUUCAAAUGACUAUAAAAGGACAUGUGGAUAUUACAAUUACAUGCAGCUAACCACGUCUCACAUUGUUUUUUUUUCAUAUACAUUUUAUUCUCUGGUUGGAUUAUUAUUUAAAAAAUUUUGUUCACUUCCCUUUUCUUUAGCAUUUCAAUUUUGAAAUUGGAUCUCUGUUUGACGAGUUUCAAAACCUCUCUCUUUGCUUAAACUAAGGCAUUCCUGGACAAUAUUGAGUUUUAUUUUUCUUUAAUUUUUCGUUGCAGGCUUCUAGUUACUAACCAAAGUGUGAAUUUUUUAGUGUUAUUUAAAUUUUCUUUUGGCCUCUGCUUGAUCUAUUCCCUAAUUCUACAUAUGCAUUAAUUCUCUUAUAGCUAAUACUUGGUUCUUCUUCUUCUUUCUUUUUACAGUGUUUGGAUUGACUUUUAAGUAUUUUUAAGACUAAAUAAUGUUUAAGUAUUUUUGGAGUGCUUCAGUAGAUUAAAAAAGCGUGUACAAACACUUCAAUUUUAAGUUAAAUAAUAAAAAUAAGUCAUAUGCCUUGAGAGUUUUCCUAAUAUUUCUUAAGGAUGAUCUUUGGCUUAUAAGUAAAACAAAAAAAGAACUCAAAAAAUAUCCAGUCAUUGCGCAAUGUAAAAUGUAAUUCAAGAUGUGGAAUCAAGAACACGGAUUAAAAAUAUAUCAGAUUUUGACCAAUUUAAUCAACUAGAAUAGAAAUUUUGCAAUAAUCCAAAAUUCACUACACCAAAAUGCAACCAAAACACAUAGUAAAAUGGAGCAAAACCUGUUCGCAAAAGAAGAAAAAAUUUAUUUGAGCAUAAAAGGAUGAAGAUUUCGACUCGGGGAAGAAGAUUGAAGAAGAAAAACAUUUUUACUCCUUGAGCUCUUCUAUGUGGUUCAUAAAGUAUGUUGGGUCAAAUGCGAAGUGAAUAUUUUGUUAUAUGGAAUAGUUCUAUGAAUACAUGUAUUGUGUGGCCUUAAGGUGGCCUUAAGGUGAUGCUUGAGUGUGGAUAAUGUAAGGGGACAUUGUCUAUACAUUGCACCAAGUAUCACUAGAGGUUAGUUGAAAUGUUAAGGAAUUAAGAAGGAAAAGAAGUUACCGGGAAGGGAAAGGUACUUAAUGUAAAGGGAAGGGUAAAGUGGCUCCAAAAGUGUCUUAAAUGCAACGUGUGAUUUUAUGUGAUAUUGUGACUAUUUUAUAUGCCUAAAAUGAAGUAUGUGAAUUAUAUGAUGCUUAUUGUAUCAAGUUUUAUGAAGUUUUCACAAAAAAGACAUAAUGCAUGUUUUAAAGUAAAAUGUCCUUUUUUAAUGCAUGUUUUUGCAUGGGUGCCAUUUUUAGUGCAUUUUUGUACUAACAUCAUUCUUCUUUACCUUUUUUACACAAAGUGUAGGUAUGAAUGUUUAAAGGAUGUCUCUAUGAUGAAAAGCUUGAUAUGUGAUUCCCAAUCUCAAGAAAAGAAAUCCUUAAGUCUAAGGAUUUCCUAAGUCAUGUCUUACUGUAUAGACUUGUAAUAGUAUACUUAUCAUUUAUGUUACAAGGGUCGUGUACCUAAUGUACUCUAAUGAUGUUGAGUCUAAGAAGGAAAAGAGACUUAGAGUCUUAAACUAUGUAUUAUGGUAUAUAUAUAUAUAUAUAAUGGAAGUGAUGUUCUAGCAUAUGAUGUGCUAUGAAAGUUUUAAAUUUUUCGCUAAAUUUACCUAUGAAAGUUCGAUGAAUGAUAACUAUGGGCUUGUAUAAGACCUCCAAGAGGUCAAGUAUGCCAUGUUACUUCUGGUGGGCGCUCCCCGAUCGUUCCAUAUACAACACAAAUGGAGAUAUUAAACAAUUAUCAAAAAGAGAGGAACUGAACAAAUAUGGAAAUGAGUUGGACAUAUUUUCUUUGUGUAGAAUCCACAAGCUAAAAAAGAAAAGAAGAACAAAUAAUAAAGAAAAAAAUGAAAGAAAUAUGCAGCAAAUAUGAAAAAUAAAAGUAGAAAAAUGUAAUGUCAUGAUAGUUACUAAAAUGGAAAACAAAGCACAAGAAAAGUUGGAUGUAUAACUUGGUCAAAUGUUGGUACACAUUUGAGCUACCUUUAAAUUUUGUCAAAAGUAUCAACUACCAAGUGGAAAAAUUAAGAGAAAAUGAUGAUUUCCAUCUUCAGAGAAUAGAUAGAAGUGAAAUGAGGAAUUUGUUGCCAAAGCAGAAGAGAGAGGAGUAAAAACAAAACAAUGCAUAUAUUUCUUGAAGUUCUUCUUAUACUACUUUUUAUAGCAAUUUGAUGUUGAAAUUAUUUUAGUUUAUCGCUUUUAAUUAAAUUAUUGAAUUAUUUUUCUUGAAUAUUUCUUAUAUUUGAUUAUUUAAUGGAGAAGAUAAUUUUCAUUAGUAGUACCAUUUCUUUUAUGAAUUAACUAGGAAAAAUGUCUACGCUUCGCGCGGAUUAGUUUCUUUAAUUAGAUUACUCAUGAUCAUAGGUUAAUAUUCUUAUUUUCGAGUGAGUAUACUGAUUUGUAAAUAACAUAGUAUUCCUUUCUCUCCAUUUAUCUUUUCAUAUAGAUGUUUAAACAUUUUAUUCAUCAUUUGUGACUUAUUUCCUUUCAUGCUAAGUAUGCAUAAUCCAAAGUGUUAUGCAUUUUUUUUUAUUGUUUUUGUUCUUUCGUUUCUAAAGUUAAUUGAAAUUCUAAAACACAUCUUCUUUUGUUUAACAAAAAUAAAUAUAUUUAAUUUGAUAUUUUCUAAAUGAGAAGGAAAAUGAAAAGCCAGAGGAAAGUCUCAAUGACACACCACCUCAAUCCCGUGUUGAAAUGCUAACUUCUGAGCUUUGCCAUCUUUGGACAGCGACCUUUAUCAAUUUGAACAAUAUAUAAUUAUAUUUGAUGUUUCUUUAUCUAUUUCAUUAAAAACUAUCUGAAAGUUGUUAUAUUAUGACUCGAGAGUUGAUGGUCCAAAACACAUAUGAAUUAAUGAUUUUUUCUCUAUCUCAACUAUCACCAUUUAUACAUUAAAUCAACUCUAUGAGAUUUUUUUUCACCCAGUGUCUGGAGUCCAUAUUAGAGCUCCAACUAAAUCCGACGAGUGUACAAAUUUAUUUAGAAGAGAAGAAUUAAAGAAAAUUAUUAUAGGUAGACCAUUUCUUGCAAGAGGAAGAGAAAUUAUUGAUGUCCAUCAAGGACAAAUGAUAUUGCGAGUUGAUGAGGAAAGAUUAAUCUUUCACAUGCAGAAACUAUUGAAAUUUCCCGAGGAUGAAUCAUUAACUUCUUGUUUUCAUAUUGACUUGAAAGAUGAUCUUGCAGAUGAAUACAUGGAUGAUCAUGGAAAGAUGUUUGGCCAAGUAAGGUACCACAAGUGAUGAUAACUUCACAAUGAGAAAAAAGCUAAAACACUAGAAAAAGAUAAAGAAAAUGAGGAAGUCUCACCAGAAGAAGUUCAACCAAAAAUUGAACUCAAAACAAUUCCAUCUCAUUCGAAGUUUUUUUUUCUUGAAUCUGAAUUAUUUCCAGUCAUAAUUGUUCGGAAAAAUAUUAUUGAUAUUAGAUUGGAAUUAUAAAGUAAUAAAUAACUUAUCACAAACAUUGUAUCGUAGCAAGCCACUACCUUUAAAGUGAUUUCGGCUUGACUCCGGUGCAAAUCGUUCUAGUCGAUUGCUCCACAAGGUUCCACGAUUACUUUAAAACACGUGCACUUUGGCUGAAAGUUUGGAUUUGCACAAAAAUAAUUGCCCAGAAAUUCACAUUAGGAAGAAUGAUUAUUCAAGCCAAUAAAAGAAAUUGUUGAGAGAGAUAUUAAAUGAAAGAAUGAACUUGAUUUUUCUUCUCUGUUUUCGCUCGGAAAUGAUACUCCUUAAUUAGGAAAAUCAUUUACGUUUCAUAUAUCAAUAGAAUUUAAGAAACUAGAUAUAAUCAAUGUAAUGAGACAUAACUCUUACUUAAAUGACAAAUUUCUCAUAAUACAAAAGUAACUUCGAGUUUUUUGAAUAUUUUGUUACAAAAUUAACAAACUGACGCUUGAUGUAAAUGUGAACCACUAAUGGGGAAGUAACUUUCAUAUUUCACAUAUAUUAACGACUUAGCAAUGUUCACAUAUAUUAAUUACAGAGAUUUAAAAGAUUUAACUUAUCCUUUGCAUUAAAAGAAAAGAAAUGUUAUCCACAAUCCCCCACUGAUACAAAUAUAAAGAAUAAGAAUAAUUUCUGGGUAAAAGAAAGAGACAUGUACUGAAGUGUCAGUAUAUUUCAAAUUGAUUGACACAUAGUGAAAUGAGGUACCAACAUAUAUCCACAAAGUGAAGUACUCUUGAACUAAAUGGACAUAAGUUGAGACCCCCAUAACACAUACCAUAUCUUUGAUUUUGUAUGAAAACUCCACAAUACAAAAAAGUGCUUUUAUGGUCAUGCACACACACCUUGGGUCUUAUAAGUGCUCUACAAAGACGACCCAAUUCUUUCAUAAAAGGUGACCACAUCUUUACACUCAUGUGGGUGAUUCCAUCAAUUCUAUCUCGAAUAGACCACCUUAGAGCUAUAGAAUAAUUAAGAGAGAAAUAAACUUAACCUUAUAAAACACUGCCUCAUGUCAUAGGGAUAGAAAAUGUGGUGUACAUUGAGGCCUAACUAGUCCACCACACUACCUUAAUAAAUAGGCUUCAUCCCAAUCCCCCUCAACAUUUCAAGGACUAUUUUCCUUGUCAAGCCCUUGGUCAUAGGAUCCGCCAAAUUUCUUUCAAACUUCACAUAUUCCAAGCAAAUAACACCUUGUUUCAAUAAUUGUUUAACCGCACUAUGUAUGAUGAGAAUGUCUCUUUUUUCCAUUCUACACACUAGUUUUGACAAUUCCAAUUGUUGCAUUUGAGUCACAAUAAAGAGAUACUGGUGAAAAUUGUCUUCCCCACAAUGACAAAUCCCCCAGAAAUUUUUUUCAGCCACUCAACUUCUUGCCCUGCCAACCUGAGAGCAAUAAAUUUUGAUUCCAUGGUAGAAUGUGUUAUAUAAUUCUGUUUGGAAGACUUCAAUGAAAUAGCACCUUCACCCAAAGUAAACACAUAGAUAUUGAUGGAGCUAACUACAUUAUUGUCAGUUAUCCAGUUUGCAUCACAAAAACCUUCUAAAACAACAGGAAAUUUGUUAAAAUGCAAACACUACUUCAUAGUACCUCUCAAAUACCUUAGCAACCGAUGAAGAGCAUUCCAGUGUUCACUACUGAGAUUAUGAGUAUAUCUACUCAAUCUACUAACAGUAUAAACUAUAUCAGGCCGAGUUACGUUCAUGAGAAACAUUACACUCCCAAUUAUUUUAGCAUAUUCAAUUUGAGAAACACUAGUUUCUUUAUUUUUCUUCAAGUGUAUGCUAGGAUCAUAAGGAGUUCUCACUAGAACUACAUCAAAACAAAAAAAAAAUUUCAACAAAUUUUUAAUGUAAUGAGAUUAACUCAAAGAGAAAUCAGUAGGAGUUCUUUCGAUUUUAACUCCACAAAUCGCAUCUGCUUACCAAGGUCUUUUAUUUCAAAUUUAGAAUACAAAAAGUUUGUGGUCUCAUUAAUAACAUCCACAUUAGGACCAAAGAUUAACAUGUCAUCUACAUAUAAACAUAUAAUGAAACAAUUAUGUGUUGGAAAGAAAAAGGAAAUCUAAGGGAGAAAGUGAACAAAGAAUAGAGCAAAAGAAAAGAGAAGCUACUGCCAACUUCUUUUGUUUCUUAUGUUCUUAUUAUGAAACUAACGGAACCUGCCUAUUAAAUAAGCUUGCAAUGAAACUAAAAUACUGAAAUUUAGGUACCCACUAAUUACUAGUUAGCUAGUAAUCUGCCACUAUAUCUAACCUUGCUGAAAUAAAGGGAACUAACUAACAACCUCCUAAAGACUUGGUCAAGUAUCUUUGAAUCACUUCUCAACACUAUCCCUUGAUUCAAACCUGCAAACUCCAAGUUGACCUAUGAAGAACUCGUGCUUUGCUUGCGAAAGUGACUUCGUGAAAAUGUCUGCUAUUUGGUCAUUUGUAUCACAAGACUUCAAAGUAAUUUCUCCAGUAGAAACAAGACCUCGAAUAUAGUGAUAGCGAAUAUCAAUGUGCUUUGUUCUACUGUGAAAUGCUGGCUUCUUCUUCAUCGCAAUUGCAGAUAUAUUGUCACAAAAAAUCUUAGUCGCACCAACUGUUUUGUGAUUAAAGCCUACAACAAGUCUCCUUAACCAAACUGCUUGACAAGAUGCAGAGGUUGCUGCAAUAUAUUCAGCCUCUGAAGUUGAUAGCGCCACUACUUCCUGAAUCUUUGAACUCCAUGAAAUUGCUCCAGAUCCAAGAUUAAACAAGAAACCAAAUGUGCUCUUUCUGUCAUGAAUGUUGCCUUUGUAGUCACUAUCAGUAAAGACAAUUAGUGUGAAAUAUGUCACCUUAGAAAACCAAAUUCCAUGCUCUGUUGUCCCAGCGAUAUAUCUCAGCACUCUUUUUGCAGCUCCAAGGUGAAGCUUGCUUGGAUUGUGCAUAAAUCUCUAUAUGACUCCAAUAGAGAAAGCAAUGUCUGGUCUUGUAUGAGACAAGUAGUUCAAACCACCAACCAGACUUCUAAAAUAAGUCGCAUUUUCCAUUUCAGAACCAUCAUCACGACACAACUUCUCAUUAAUAUUCAUUGCCGUAGAAGCAACUUUACAAUUUACCAUAGUAAACUUUUUCAAAAGAUCUGUUGCAUAUUUUCUUUGUGAAAGAAAUAUGCCAUCAAUUCCCUGUUUCACCCCAAGACCAAGAAAAUAAUGCAGCAGACCUAAAUUAGACAUCUCAAAAUUCUUCAUCAUGCAUUCCUUAAAUUCAGUGACGAUAGACUCACUCAAACCCAUAUAUAUAUCAUAUCGUCAACAUAAAAACAUACCACCAAAAAAUUAUUUUUACCUUCUUAUUUUACAUAAAGAGUAGGCUCAUUGUUACUUCUUUCAAAACCAUUCUCCUGGAAAUACAAAUCAAUUUUGAAGUACCAUGCCCGCGGCGCUUGCUUUAAGCCAUACAGUGCCUUUUUUAACCUGUAAACCUUAUCUUCUUUUCCAUUAACUACAAAACCUUCAGGCUGUGAGACAUAAACUUCCUUUUCCAAAUCACCAUUAAGGCAAAUUUAACAUCAAAUUUAUACACUGGCCAAUUUAAAUUAGCAGCCAAGGCUAAGAAAGUUCUCACAGUUUUAAAGCGGGCAACAUGAGAAAAAGUCUCGUCGAAGUCCAUACCUUGUUGUUGGGAAUAACCCUUUGCGACGAGCCUUGCCUUGUGUUUUUUGAUGCUGCCAUCUGCAUGAUACUUGGUUCUAAACACCCAUUUGAGCCCAAUAGCUUUCUUCCCUUCUGGAAAAUUUACCAAGUCCCAUGUCUGAUUCUUUUGAAUAGCCAACAACUCCUCUUCCAUAGCUUUGCACCAUUUAUCCUCUGUUUCAGCAUCUUCAAAGAAAAUAGGAUCUAAUACAAGUAAAGCAAAAACACAAGAUAUAUUGUCAGCAUAUCUGGGAUUUGGUUUCCUAUCCCUUGUGGAUCUUCUUAAUAGAGUUGGCUCAGCUGAAGGUUCUUCCAACGUUGGAGAUGUUGCUGGUGCAUUUGAUGAGGUAGUCGAUGGACUUGCCAAAAACUGAUCUGCUGCAUACUCUUGAUUAACAAUAACAACAAUUGAAUAUUUGAACUUUCAUUUGCUGAAUUAAAGUUCCAGCUUGCAUAUUCAUUAAACACAACAUUUCUAUUGACCAUAAUUUUGCCACUCACUAGAUUGUAUAGCUUAUAGGCUUUGGAUUGUGAGCUAUAUCCAACAAAGAUACAUUUUUCAUUAAGCUUACGUCGAGCCUGCGAAUUCACCAAAGCAUAAGCUAUACAUCCAAAGACAGGUAAGUGGCUUACCUUUGGCUUGUUAACUCUCCAAGAUUCAUAUGGUGUUCGAUUGAACACUGCUUGUUGGGUGAAAUAUUCAGCAAAUAGACACAGUGGCAACAACUUCAGCCCAAAAAUACUUCAGUACACCUCUACCUUCCUCAUGCUUCUGCCCAUCUUGACAACUGUGCGGUUCUUUCGUUCAACUACACCGUUCUACUCCGGUGUAUAAGGUGCUGUAAGCUCUCUGUGUAUUCCAUUUUCCUCACAAAAGGAACAGAAUUCAUUUGACAUAAACUCACCACCUCUAUCUGUCCGAAGAGUGUUGAGUUUACAUCCACUUUGCCUCUCAACGAACGAUUUAAAUUUCUUAAAAUUGUUAAAUGUUUCAGAUUUAAAUUUCAAGAAAUAUAUCCAACUCAUACGAGUAUAAUCAUCAGUAAAAAACAGAAAGUAUCAACUUCCUCCUAAGGACUCAACACCCAUAGACCGCACAAAUCAGCAUGUACUAACUCAAGACAAACAAAAGCUCUCCAAGACUUGCCUACAGGAAAAACCUUUCUACUUUGUUUUCCUUAAACACAACUUUCACAACAAUCAAGAUUCUCAACUUUUGGCAACCCAAAAACCAUUUCCUUUUGGCUCAAUAACUUCAACCCAUUAACAUUUAAAUGACCAUAACACAAAUGUCGCAGUCUAGUUUCAUCAUCUCCACUAGCUAUCAUAACACACUUUUCAACCAUUGAAACUUCUAAAGGAAACAUUUUGUUGUUAGUCAUUGGAAAUUUAGCAAUGGUUUUUCUAGAUUUCUUAUUUUUAAUAGUGCAAACACCAUCAUCAAAAGAAAUUGAGUACCUUCUAAUCAUUAGUUGUCCAAUGCUAAGAAAAUUAUGAGAUAGGCAGGAACAAACAUCACAUCGUCUAAAAUUUUAGCAUUACCUUGGCUGGUCAUAAUGCUAACAGUGCCUUCGCCUUCAACUUGAAUCUUCUUGUUAUGUCCAAGCCUCACGUCUGAUUUUUUUGACUCAUCAAGAUCCUUGAAUAGUGAUUUUGUUCCAGACAUAUGAUUGGAACAUCCACUGUCCAAAAACCAAACAUCUUUAGGAGUCUUUUUCACAAGAAAGGACCAUGAAUAACUUACAUUCAUCAUCAUUUUUCUCUGUAAAGCUUGCUUGGUUAUUCUCAUCCUUCUAUUAUUUCAAACAAUAAGCUUCUUUAUGACCUGGUUUUCUACAGUAGUGGCACUAAAACAUCCUUUACUUCUCUUUAUUUGGUCCUCCUCUAUCUCGAUUUCUUCAUUGGCCUCUUCCAUGACCUCUUCCUCGAAAGCCACCUCUGCCGCGGCCAUGAUUUGUAAAGUUUUCUAGCUUAUCUUUCUGAUGAGUGGACUCCCCCUUCACCUGAAGUGCCUUUUCUUCAUUUUUUUCAUGUGACCUUAGGAUCCUCUCUUCAUGAGCUUGCUAAGAACUCAUUAGUUCAUCAAAAGUAUAAUCAGAUAAGUCAUGAGAUUCCUCAAUCGCAACAACAAUAUGUUCAAAUUUUGGAGUAAAACUCUUUAAAACUUUUGCUAUAAAAGUUUCUUCAAAUAUAUCUUCACCAUAAGACUUCAUUUGAUUAACAAGAGAAGAAACUCUAGACAAAUAAGUUUGAACAGAUUCAUUACUUUUCAUAGAAAGAGUUUCAAAGUCGCGACGGUAAGUCUGCAAUUUUACCGUAAUCACCUUAGCUGAACCUUGAAAUUCUUUCUUCAAAAUCUUCCAUGCCUAAGAAGAUGUAGUUGCUGCUGCAAUUCUUGAAAAAACUGUAUCAUGAACUGCUUGUUGAAUCAGGGACAAAGCUUUGGCGUCUUUCUUUUUGAUCUCUUUCAAUUUCUCUGCCUCUUCUUCAGAGCCUGCUAGAUCCACAAAGCCUUCUUCCACCAGCUCCCAAACUCCUUGUGAUUUGAAAAGAGUUUUCAUUUUGAUACUCAAAAACUUAUACGUUUCACCACUAAAAAUUGGCAUGAGAGGCUGCGAAGAUGAUGAAAUACCAUUCACUGCCAUUUUUUCUUUUGCUCUCACACUUCCUCUUUUGUAUUACUCAAAUACUCAGUUGAUAUAAGCCUCACGACUCACUCAAUUUCCUGAAAGGAACCUUGCUCUGAUACAAGAUUUGUUGGAAAGAAAAAGGAAAUCAAAGGGAGAAAGUGAACAGAGAAUAGAGCAAAAGAAAAGAGAAGCUACUACCAACUUCUUUUGUUUCUUGUUUUCUUAUUAUGAAACUAACGCGACCUGCCUAUUAAAUAGGCUUAAAAUGAAACUGAAAUACUGAAAUUUAGGUAUAAUUACUAGUUAGCUACUAAUCUUCCACUAUAUCUAACCUUGCUGAAAUAAAGGGAACUAACUAACAACCUCCUAAAGACUUGGUCAAGUAUCUUUGAAUCAGUUCUCAACAUUAUGAACCUAUAAUCUUAGAAUAAACACAUGCAUCAGAUUAAAUUACAAGAAAGUCAUUAUCUAGUAAUGUGAUAUUUAAUAUUUCAUACCAUUGAGGUGAUUGUUUAGUCAAUACAAGGACUUUCUCAGUUUGCAUACUUUAUCCUCUUAUCAUGGAACCACAAAACCCUAACGUUGAGUCAUAUAUAUCUCUCCCUCUAAAUCACCAUUUAGAAAUGUUGUUUUAACAUCCAUUUGAUGUACCACUAGAUCAUGAAUAGCGGCUAAAGCAAUAAGAGUGAUAAUGGUUGCUAUUUUAGUCAUAGAAGAAUAAGUAUCAAAGUACUCAACACAUUUCUUUUGGUUAAAACUCCUAAUAACAAGUCUAGCCUUAUAUUUAUCAAGUGUAUCAUCAGGUCUCAAUUUCUUCUUGAAUAUCCACUUGAUACUGAUGGGAUUACAACCUUUAGGCAAAUCAUACAAGUCCCAAGUAUGAUUAGAAACUAUAGAGUCUUGUUUUCUUUAAAUAGACUCUUCCCAAAAUGUAACAUAUAUUGAUAUCAUUGUUUCAUCAUAAGUUUUAGGGUCUUUUUCUAUUAAAUAGAUAGACAUGAAAUCAUUAUUUAAAACAUUAAUAUUCGGUUAAGAAAGUAGUGAUAAAAUUAGGACCAAAAUUAGUCUCAACUCUACGUCUAUUACUUCUUUUGAGUUCAUUUUCUUGCUCAUUAGAAAUAACAUGAGAAUUAACUGGCAUAGAUGUAUAAGUAUUAUUUUGCAUAUCACUUGACACGUUAAUUUUUUAAAGAAAAUAUGCUAAAUUUUUUUUGCAUCUCUAGAUUCACAAAUAAAAGGAUCACUUAGAGACCACAAUCUAUAUGCAACACCAUUUUGAAUAAAAAUAGUAUCAGAGGUCUUAGAACCAAUAUUUACUCGCUCAAAAUCACAUAGACCAAACACCCCCACACUUUCAGGAAUUUCAAGUUAGGAGCAAACCCUUUCCACAACUCAUAUGAGGUCUUGUAUAACUUCUUAUGAGGGACUCUCUUAAGAAUAUAGCACGCAGAUAAGACUGCUUCUCCCUACAUAUUGUAAGAUAGACUAGAGUUUUAAAAGGUAGAAUUCAUCAAUUUCUUGAAGGGUUCUAUUUUUUCGUUCGUCUACACCAUUUUGUUGGGGAGUAUAAGAAGCACUAACAUCAGGUAUAAUACCAUCCUUCUCACAAAAAUCUUUUAGAGUUUUAGUACUAUAUUCACCGCCCCUAUCAGAUCUAAUCUGUUGAUUUUCCUGUCUAAUUGGUUUUCAACUUCUGCUUUGAAUUUCAAAAAUAUGCUUUCAACUUCAUCUUUAAACUUAAGAAGAUAUACCGUAAUGUAUUUAGAAAAGUCAUCAACAAAAGUAAUGUAAUACUUUUUUCCACCUUUGCUAAAAGCGAUCUUCAAAUCUACUAAAUUUGAAUAUAUUGGUUGAUGUAAUUCAAUCUUUCUACUAAUAACAUAUUUGAAAGGUUUCUUGGCAUGUUUUGCUUCUACUUACACAGGACAUUCUGAAAAAUCAUAUGUAUUUAUCAUUGGAAUUAAUUCCAUAUUUGUAAGUUUUUUAAUAGAAGCAAUGAUUAUAUGACCUAGUUUGCCAUGUCACAAAUUAAUAGACUCAUUAAUAUAAGCAAAAAUUUGAAAUACUUGCAUUAUUGACAAUCUCUUGAACAAUGUUCAAUACAUAUAAUCUUCUACUAAGAUAUACCUUUUCAAAAAAGUCUCCUCCACAAUAAAUAAUUAUUUUAUCAGCUUCAAAAACAGGUUUAAGGCCUACUCUAUUGAGAAGUGCUCUGGAAACUAAGUUUCUACAUAGAUAAUAUCUUUCCAAAAGUUAAUGUAAGUAAAAAUUUUCGUUUAACCAUUACUACAGCUGUAGUUGAGUUACCCAUAUAUAUACAGUCUCCAUCAGUGGAAUCCUCAAAGUCAUGGAAUAACUUUUUUUUGGCAGAAAUGCCUUGAGGCACCUAUGUCUAGAACCCUGUUAAUUUGGUUAGCCAUUAGAUUUGCCUCAAUGACUACAACUUCAAUCACUUUAUUACCCUCAUAAAGAUUAUCUUAGACAUCACUUUUUCCUUCAUGAUUUGAGUCCUGCCCUUUUCUUUGAUAGCUCCUGGAAACCAUGUGACCAACUUCUCCAAAAACAAAACAAGAACUUUUAAAUUUUUGAAUAUGGCUCACUGGCUUGUUGAAUUGUUUUUCUUCUUCAUAUGUUCCUUUUUUUAAACUUUCUUCUGUUUGCCUUUGAACAUGUCUUCCACAAAAGCACUAGAAGAUUUAAUAAGAUUAGCUUUAGAAGAGAUUAAGAGAGUUCUUCCAUCUUAUUUUUGAGAGUGAAUCCUCAUAUGACUAAUAAUUUAUUGGAGAGUUAAAUUAUUUUCUUUUGUUUUAAUUGAUUUCUAUAAUCACUUCAAGAUGGUGGGAACUUUUCAAGCAGAACAUUAGCCCAAAAUAUCUCACACAUCAUCAUGUCCUCAUUGAGAACAUCAGCAAUCAAGUUUUCAUAUUCAUGAACUUGUUCCAUUAUUGACUUAUUAUCAACCAUUUUGAAUUUAAUCCACUGUCCGACAACAUAUUUUUUCUUUCUUGCAUCAUUAAUACCACAUUUCUUUUCCAAACUAUUCCAUAUUUCUUUGGCAGAUUUACAGGUUAAAAAUAAAACAAAUAAAGGAUAAGUCAUAUGAUUUAGCAAAUUUCCUCUAGUAAUUUUGUUAUCCUUUUCAAACUUCUUUUUAAUAACAUCAUCAACAACCAUAUUAUUGCUAGAAUCUGUAGUGAUGUUAAAACCAUACAUAGAAGGUUCUUUAAAUAAGACAUAGUCAUCUUCUAACUGUUCAAAGAAAAUUAAAAGUUUUUGUGACCAUCCUCUACAAAUAUUUCCAUUGAAAGACUCAUGUUUUGACAAAUCAUUAAAAGUUUCCUUCAAGAAAUAGUUAUUUAUCAAUAUUGUAUGUUAGAAAUUGCUUUCAAAUUGUUGAAAAAAAUACUACAAAAUUUAUAUUAUAUUGAAAUUAUAAAGUAAGAAAUAACUUAUCACAAACACUGUGUUGUGGCAAGACACUGCCUUGAAAGUAAUUUCGGCUCAACUCCGCUUGCAAUUGUUGUAGCCGGUCGCUUCUGAAGAUUCCACAGUUACUGUCAAACACAUUCACUCGUGUCUGAAAGUUUGGAGUGCACAGAAACAAUUUCCCAGAUAUCCAAAAUAGGAAGAAGGAUUAUUCAAGCCAAUAAAAGAAAUUAUUGAGGGAGAUAGUAAAUGAAGAAAGGACUUGAUUUUUCUUCUCUGUGUUUAGCUCCCAAAUGAUACUCCUUAAAUGGAAAAAUUGUUUAUGUUUCAUCCAUCAAAAGAAUGUAAGAAACUAACGUAUAAUAAAUGUGAUGAUACAUAACUCUUACUUGAAUGACAAAUUUGUCAUGAUAGAAAAGUAACUUCAAGUCUUCUCAAUAUUUUCUUACAAAGUUAAGAACCAACACUUUAGAUAAACCGAACCAUUAAUGAGGGUAAGACUGGGCAACGAAACCGGAAGUACCGGUACCAUUCCGGUUCGUCCCGUUUUUGUUGCCUAUGGGCCGGGCCGGGAUAGUCUAAACCAGUACACAGAACGGGACGAAACCGUCAUUUCGUACCGGAGUACCGGUAUCGGUUCAUUCCGGUUCCGGUCUGGUUUAUUUAAUAUUAAUAUUAUUUUUUUAUAUUUUAUAUAAUUUAUAUUUAUAUAUUUUAUAAAUUAUAUUUUAUAAUUCAAAAUUUAAAUUAACCGCCCCUGCCCCGCCCUGCCCGCCCUUGCUCCGCCCUGCCCGCCCCUACAGUAUGCAGUAUGCACUCUGCACUCUGCAUAAAGCUGCAGUGCACUGCAGCUGCAGCCUGGAGCCAGCCCCCCACCCCCUACCCUUUUCCCGAGACCCGGACCAACGACUUUAAACGUAAAAAUUUUAAAUGGCUAGUUUUUUUGUUUUAUAAAUUAGAGUUGAUUUGUAAAAAAUUUCUAUACAAAUUACAACUUACAAAUAUAAGUCUGAGUAUUUGAGAGAAUAUAUAUUUCAAGAUUAUAUUCAUAUUUAUAACUUAUAAGAUUUACCAAUUACGGAUUACAAAUUCUAAAAUUUCAAAUUUUCAAUAUUCAAUUCAGUUCUAAAUUCUUUAUAUCAUUUGGUCACUUGGUGUAUUUCGGAGGAGGAAUCUUCUUCAAAUUUCAAGUUUCGACAUUAGUAUUUUAAUUUUCGUUAUAAUCGUUUGUUCUUACACAAACGUUUGGUAACUUCGUUCCACUCUCUAAUCUUAUAUUUAUUUUUUGUAUUUAUUAUUUAACUUGUAAGUUGUUCUUGUUAUAUUAUUGUUCUUGUUAAGUUUCAUAUUUUGUAAUUUAUAAUUUUAUAUCAUGGAGUCUUCUAAAAAAAGUGGAAGUAAAAAAGGUCUAGUAGAAUCAGUAAAAAAAUUAGUUAAAAAAACUAAUAAAGGUUCUAGUUCUUCUAAACCUAAAAUUCCUCUUGUUAGAAUAAAUACAGAUGAAUUUACGCAUGUGAAUGAAACUAGUUUUUCCCAUCCCAGUCCUAUAAAUAUUAAUUCAGAUACUCCUAUGAUUCCCCAUGAACUCUAUGAAAGACAUUAUGGUAUUAAUCAAGAAAAUGAAGAAGUGGAAAUAGAUGAAUAAUUAAAUUUAGAUGAAGAAGUAGAUUUAGAUGAUACACCGACUAGCCCCGCCUCCGACCUCAAUACAGUCAAUAGUAUAGGUAUUGAAGCUCCACCUCCGGUUGGAACUACUCGUCCCCCUAUUAUUCCAACUAGAGGUAAGACUAAGGUACAACAUUCUUUAAAAUCACAUGUGUGGAAAUUUUGUUAUUUGAAUGAAGAAAAAACUUUUAGUAUAUGUAAUAUUUGUAAACAACAUUUUAAAUAUACAUCUGGUGGAUAGGAGGUUCAACAGGGGGAUUAAAAAACAUUUGAUUAACAAGCAUAGUAAAGAGUGGUUUGCAUAUAUGUCUUCUCUUGAAGUUGUUGAAAAUUGUAAUGUUGAAGAAUCGGUUAGAGGAUCAAAUAUGAUUCAAAGUGAAUUAAAUACUUCGAACCCAAGUGGUCCUCUUACACAUCGAACCUAUAACAAGGAUCGUGAUCGUGAAAACUUUGCUAAAAUGGUUGUUGUUUGUGGUUUACCUUUUAGUUUUGGAGAACAUCCGGGUUUUAUUGCUUAUAUUCAUGAAACAUAUAAUCCUAUUUUUAAAGGUUUAUCAAGAAGCAUGGUAAAAAGAAAUAUUUUCGAAUUUCAAGAAAAACAUUGUCAAUAUUUACGUGCCUAUUUUGAACUAAUGGAUUGUAGAGUUGCUUUUACUAAUGAUAUGGGUUGUAGUUCUAAUGUUUUGAUUAUUUAACUGUUACUGCACAUUGGAUCGAUUAUAAUUGGAAUUUACAAAAAAUAAUUAUUGGUUAUAAAAUUUGUCAAAAGAAAAAAACCGGAAUUGAUAUUGCUACUACUGUGUUGGAAAUUCUAGAUUUUUUUGGUCUUUGCGAUAAAGUCGUUAGUAUUACUUUAGAUAAUGCCUCUGCUAAUUUAAAUGCUAUUAAUAUGCUAAAACCUAGACUUUGUCCUAUUAGUAAAUAUACUUUUCAUGUUAGAUGUGCCGCACAUAUAUUAAAUUUGGUUGUUAGUGACGGUGUGAAAUUAUUUGGAAAUAGUUGUGAUAAAAUUGAUAAUGCUUGUUUUUACAAUUUUCAUAUGAAUAUUAGUAGUAGAAUUAAUCAAUUUAAAGAACUUUGUAAUGCAUUUAAACUUCCAUUAGAAAAGUUCCGAAGCAUGAAAAACUAGAUGGAAUUCCUUUUAUGAUAUGCUUGAAGUUGCUUAUGCAUAUAGGCAACCUAUUACUACGCUAUUUAAUAAUCAUAAUGCUUAUCUUGAAUUAAAAAUUAAUGAUAGUGAUUGGGAUGAAGUAAAUGAACUUAGAAUAUUUUUGAAAUCAUUUUAUGAUGGUACUAAAAUUUUUUCUGGAAUAUAUCAUCCUACUAUUUCUGAAAUUUUAAUACACAUAUGUGAGAUUUCAUCUAUUUUUUCUGAAUAUAAAACAAAUUCUUUAUUCACCUCUGCUAUUGAAGUUAUGAUUACAAAAUUUUAAAAAUAUUAUUUUCCUAUUCCUCAAAUUUACUUAACUGCACUUCUUUUCAACCCCAAAUAUAAAGAAUAUGGCACAAAAGCUUUAGUUGAAUGCAUUUAUCAGAAUUUAGAUAUUCAACCUGAAGAAGAACCUGAUUUGGUAACAUGUCAAAAUAGUAUAAAAUACUUUGCAAAAUAAAUGUAUGAUAAAUAUUCAUUCUUAGAUAAUGUUGAAAAUCCUCAAACGUCUAUGAAUCAAGUAGGUGCUCAUGGACGAGUUAAACAUAAACUUGGUCUUGACUCUUCUAAUAAAUGUGAAUUUGUUGAAUAUCUUGAAAAGGGUACAGAUGAUAUUACAAACGAUAAUAGUAUACCGGAACUAUUGAACUGGUGGAGGAAUCGUGGAGCUCAAUUUCUAAAACUUAGUAGGAUGGUGAAGGAUGUGCUUGCAAUUCAAGGAUCAUCAGUAGCUUCGGAGGCAGCUUUCAGCACGACAAGAUUUCAAAUUGGAGACCACAGAUAUUCGUUAGCAGAAGACAGCCUUGAGAUAUCAGUGUUAUUUAGAGACUGGAUAAAUGCUGAGCGUAGAAAUCAAGGACUUCCAAAGUUAGAUAGUCAAUUUGAACUUUUCAUAGAUUCAGCUAUUGGAUGUGGUAGUGAUGAUGGCAUCGAAAUUCAAGAUCGUCAACGAGCUUUACCAAGACCAGAAGUUGAUCACAAUCAAUCCAUAGCCGAGUUAGAAAGAGGAUUUACGGGACUAUACAACUAUAAGUAUUACAUUCGAGACAUAGUUGAAACAGAACCCUUCCUAGAAGGUGGCUGCGUAAGAUAUGUACUCUACUAAUAGUUGUAAAUUGAAAUUGUAAUUUGUUACAAAUUUAAAUAAAUCAAAAUUGAUAUUUUUUAAUUUUUGUAAUUGUUUUAUCCUUAUUUUAAUUUAAUUUUUUUAAAAUUACAAAUUUUAUUUAAUUAAUAUUUACAAGAUACAAGUUAUAAAUAUAACUUAUAAAAUAAAUAUUAAUGAAUAUAAGUAAUAACUUAUAAAGUAUAAACUUCAAAAGAUUUAAAUUUUGAAAACUUUAUUAGAUUACUUGCAAACUUAACAAUAACAAAAAAAUUAAUAAAAUAUCUUUAAAAUAAACUUAAGUAAAAAAUUAUAGUAUAAAUUUAAAAACUAUUAAUUUAUACUUAAAAAAUAAAAAAAUAAUUAUAUUUUCGUAAUUUCAAAAAAUAUUGUCCCGUUAAUCCUGUCCUGUUCCAUCCUGAUCCGUUCCGGUUCAUUCCGGUUCCAUCCCGGUACAUAGUGGAAUGGGACGGAAGCGAUGAACCAUCCCGAUAAUUCCGGUCCAGUUCAUCCCGAUACCGGUCAACAUUCCGGUUAACGGAUUCCGAUCCGGUCCGAUACCGGUUCAUUCCGGUCCGGUGACCCGGUUCCGGUCCGUUGACCCGGUUCCGGUCCGUUGACCCGGUUCCGGUCCGUUGACCAGUCUUAAAUGAGGGAGUAACUUUUCUAUUUCACAUAGACUAAUGACUUAGCAAUAUUCAAAUAGAUUAAUUACGGGGAUUUAAAAGAUUUAACUUAUACUUUGCGUCAAAAGAAAAUGGAAUAUUAUCCACAAUCAUGUCCUCUUCUUUGACUACAGAACAAGAGAGCAAAUUGAUUAGAGUAUUGAAAGAGACUUAAAGAUCCAUUGGAUAGACUAUAAAUGACAUCGAUGGAAUAAGUUUAAAUAUUUCCAUACGUAGGAUCCUCUUGAAGAGAAUUAUAAAACAAUAUUCCAACCCCAAAGGAGAUUAAAUCCAAAAAUACAAGAAGUUGUCAAGAAUGAAAUGGUAAAACUUCUAGCAGCAGGUAUUAUUUAUUCAAUUACAGAUAGUCCUUGGUAAGUCCUAUAAAAGGUAGUACCAAUGAAAGGAGAAUGACUGUAACAAAGAAUAAAAAUAAUGAACUCAUUCCUACAAGAAAUCGUUGGAUGGAAAGUUUGUAAUGAUUGUAGUCAACUUAAUAAGGCCACAAGAAAAGAUCAUUUUCGUCUUCCUUUUAUUGAUCAAAUGCUUGAGAAAAUUGAUUUCUAUUGUUUUUUGAUGGGUAUUUUGGAUACAAUCAGAUAUCAAUUGCCCGAAGAUCAGGAUAAAACUAUAUUUACAUUCCUCCAAAGUAUGCAUGCUUAUCGAAAAAUUUCAUUUGGACUAUGCAACACUCCUGCUACACUCCAAUGCUGCAUGUCGACAAUUUUUGCAGACAUGAUCCUUGAAAUAUUGAUGGACAAUUUCACACUUUUUGGUAAGACAUUUGACGAUUGUCUCUUUCAUUUAACUUUAAUACUAAAAAGAUGUGAAGACACAAACUUGAAUCUUACUUGGAAAAAUUUUCAUUUCUUGGUAAAAGAGGGAAUUGUAUUAGGACAUAAAAUUACUAUUAAAGGAAUAGAAGUUGAUAAAGCAUAAAUUGAUCUAAUUGCAGGAUUGCCUCCUCCAAAUAUUGCAAAAGACAUUAGAAGUUUCUUAGGACAUACUAGUUUUUGAGGAAGGUUUAUAAUAGAUUUUUCUAAAAUUUCAAAACCACUUACUAACAUAGUAAUCAAAGAUGUGAAGUUUGAUAUUUUAGAUAAGCCAGAAAACCAUUUGAAAUACUGAUGGAACAAUUGUAUAAACCGCCUAUAGUUGUUUCUCUUGAUUGGAGCCAACCAUUUGAAAUAAUGUGUGAUUCAAGUGAUACAACAAUUGGAAUAGUUUUGGACAAAAAAGAGAUAAAAAUUUUAGACCCAUUUACUAUGCUAGUAGAACACUUAAUGAAGCGCAAAAGAAUUAAUUCACAACAAAAAAGAACUACUAGCAGUAGUAUUUGCAUUUAACAAAUUGCAUUCUUAUUUAAUUGGAAAUAAAGUUACUGUAUUCCAUAAUUAUGCAGCUUUAAAGUAAAUCUUAACAAAAAAAAGAUGCUAUACCUAGAUUUUUAAGAUGGAUACUCCUUCUACAAGAAUUUGAUCUUGAAAUAGAUUGAAAGGGAUCCCAAUAUCAGGUAGUUGAUAAUUUUUCAUUCUUGGAAAAUCCUCCUAUAGAGACAACAUAUUAAAGAGGAAUUUCCUGAUCAACAUAUUUAUGCAAUCACUUUAAAUGUAAAUCAACCUCCAUGAUUUGCUAACAUUGCCGAUUGUUUGGCUGGUGGAUGGAUUCCAAAAUAUUUUACUUAUGAACAAGGAAAAAGCGUAAGAAAAAUGCAUCACAUUACUAUUGUAAUUACUUAUAAUAUUUUGUGUAGAUAAUAUAAUUAGGAUAUGUGUACCAUAGAUAGAAAUGAAUAACAUCUUAAGUCAUUGUUAUGAAGAAACUAUUGGAGGGGACUAUGGAGGAAUAAAAACAGCUCCAAAAGCACUUGAAGUAGGUUUUUUUCUGGCCCACUCUAUUUAAAGAUGCAAGAAAUUAUGUUUCUUCUUGCGAUAAAUGCCAAAGAAGUGGUACCAUUUGAAAAAGACAUGAAAUGUCUCUUAACUCUAUUCAAGUAUGCGAAAUAUUUGAUGUUUGGGGCAUUUAUUUCGUGGGUGGAUCUCCUCCAUCAAAUGACUGCGAAUAAAUUUUAGUGGUUGUUGACUAUGUGUCAAGAUGGGUAGAAGCAGUAGCUACUAGAAAAAAUGAUAACCGUGCUUUUUGUGAUCUCCAUAAGAAGAAUAUAUUUUCUAGAUUCGGAACUCCACGAGAUAUCAUAAGUGAUCAGGGAAAUCAUUUUGUAAGCAGACAAUUCACUAGUUUGUUGUCAAGAUAUGGAAUAACUGAUAAAAUAGGAACUUCAUAUCCUGCUCAAACAAAUCGGCAAGUAGAAGUAUCCAAUAGGGAGUUUAAAAGAAUUUUAGAGAAAGCUGUUGGAUCUUCUCGAAAAGAUUAGUAUAUAAAAUUAGAGGAUGCCUUAUGGGCAAAAAGAAGAGCUUUCAGAAUACCUAUUGGUACAUCUCCUUAUAGAUUAGUCAUUGGAAAAUCUUGUCAUUUACCUGUUGAAUUGGAACAUAAAUCUUAUUGGGCUAUAAAAAUGAUUAAUCUUGAUCUGUUAGAUAAGGUGAAAUUAUUUAUUGCAACUUGACGAAGUAGUUGAGUUCAGACUUGAUGCAUAUGAAAAUGCUAAGAUUUACAAAGAAAAGAAAAAAGAAUGGCAUGAUAAUCUCAUUCACCAUGAGGAUUUUAAAAUUGGAUAUCAUGUUCUUUUUUACAAUAGUUGAUUGAGACUGUUUUCGGUAAAAUUCAAGUCACGUUUGAUAGGACUGUACAUUGUAACAAAAGUUACCCCUUAUGGUUCCAUGGAAAUACAACAUAUUAAUGGGGGAGAAAAUUUAAAGUAAAUGGUCAUCGGUUGAAACGUUAUGUCACAAGAAUUUUUACAACCAAAUGUCAACAAUUCUUUUUGCUUUGCGUAAUAUUGAAAAGUCGAGCUGGCAGCAAUAAAUUCAGAACAGCUGGCGGCAUUUAAUUUUUCUUUACAACAGGUGAGUCAUAAGAAGCGAGAAAAAAACGUUUAUUAAAAAUUGGGGAUGCAGUACACAACAAAAAAACAAAAAAAAUUGUGGGAAUUAGAGAUAAACAAAGAUGAUACAAUCACAAGAAAAGCAGAGAGAAACUUGAGUCUUUCUUCUAUCUCAGAAAACUAGCUUACAAGAUUAUAAAUAGCAGUUGAAAAGAGAGAAAAUAGGGCACUAUCCCAUGACCUGCUAAUUAAUAACUACAACUAAUUUAGAAGUCCUAAUGCUAAUAAAUUGGAUACGUAAAAGGCUCCUAAAAAUACUGACAGUAACUUACUGACUUUUGAAUCAGUGAAAUAACACUUCCCCUUGAUUCAAAAUCACACACUCCCAACUGCAACGUAAAAAAAUUCAUGCUUAGCCUGAGGAAGAGACUUCUUAAAUAUAUCUGCUACUUGCUCGUUUGCGCUGCAGAAUUUCAACACUAUUCUUCCUUCAGCUAAUGUCCAGAUGAAGUGAUAUUGCAAAUAAAUGUGCUUGGUUCUCCCAUGAAAGGAGUAUUCUUAGCCAUAGAAACUGCUGAUUUGCUAUUAGAAAAAAUAAUCUCAGUAGACUCCUUUUGCUCGUAAUUAAAAUAUGCAAGUAGUUAAUGGAGUCAUAAAGCUUGUCGUGCUACUAAACUUGCUGUUGUAUACUCCUUCUCAGAUGUUGACAGAGCUACUUUCUUCUGCUUCUUUGAACUCCAUGUCACUGCUCCAGAACCAAAGCUGAAACAACUACCAGAAGUGCAUUUUCGAUCAUCCAAACAGCUUGCUUAGUCACUAUCUAUAUAGAAACAAAUAUAAAAUUUGAUACUUUAGAAUACCAAAUACCAAAGUAUGUUGUUCCAGCAUCAUAGCAAACAAUUAUUUUUGCAGCACCUAAAUAUUGCUUUGUCGGAUUUCGCAAAAAUCUAGACACAACACUAAUAAAAAAAGCAAUGUCAGGUCUAGUGUGCGUUAGAUGAUUUAAACCACCAACUAGACUUCUGAACAAUCUCUGAUUUGCUUUCUCAGUUCCAUCUACAUGCUGCAACUUCUUAUUAGGUGUAGCUGCUGCUUCACAAUUAUCAUAUGAGAUUUUUCCAAAAGAUCCUCUGCAUAUUUGUUUUGAGAAAUAAAAAUUCCCUCUUUAUCUUGGAUUACUUCAAGCCCUCAAAAAGUAUUUCAUUAAACCCAAAUCAGUCAACGCAAAGUUUCUCAUCAUACUUGAUUUGAAAUCAUCAACUUGAGACAUUGAUGAACCAAAAUAAAUCAUAUCAUCAACAUAGAGACAAAAUUCAAAAAUUCUCCGUUACCUUGGUUUUUUUUAAAGUACAAUGUGGGUUCAUUUUCACUUCUCAUGAAUCCUCUAUCUUGAAAGAAUGAAUCAAUUUUGUUGUCUCAUGCACGCGUAGCUUGAUUUAGUCCGCAAGAGCUUUUAUUAUCUUGUAGACUUUGUUCUCAUUGCCAUUAAUAACAAAGACCUGAGGUUGUGAAAUAUAAACCUCUUCUUCUAGAUCACCAUUCAAAAGGGCAUACUUCAUAUCAAAUUGAUACACGCGAAACACAAUUGCGCAGCCAAACCCACAACUACUCUCACUGUUUCAUAUCGUGCAACAAGGGAAAAGUUUCUUCAAAAUCUAUAUCUUGUUGCUGGGAAUAUCCUUUUGCCAUGAGACUAGCUUUAUUCUCUUUAAUUCUCCCAUCUACAUUGCCCUUUUUUUUUAAAACCCACUUGAUCCAUAUGACGUUACUUUCUUCAGGUGAAUCAACUAACUCCAAUGUAAAAAUUCUUUUAAUUGCUUACAUCUCUUCUACCAUAGCAUUCUUCCAUUCAUUGUUCUGCCGGUUCUUCAAAACAACCAGGAUCUGAAACACGGAAUGCAAAUUUACAAGAAGUAUUUACAUUGUUGGAAUAUUUGGGAUUUGGUUUCCUUUAUCUUAUUGAUAUUCUAAGUAAAAUUGUCUCAUCAAAACAAUCGUCAAGUGUUGCAGAUGUUGUCGGUACACUGGGCAAGUUUUCAGGAGUAGGAUUUGCUGCUAUAGAUUGUAUCAUUAGAUAACAAUUUUAGAUUUGCAAAUUACAAGAAUUAAGUUCCAAGAGAAAUCCUCCGUUAACUUAUAGGAUUAUAUAGACGAUAUACUUUUGAUUGAAGACUAUAGCCAACAAAAACACAUUUUUCAGAUCUUUCAUCAAGCUUCGACUGAAAAUUAACCAUAGUAUAUGCUAUACAACCAAAGCAUUCUUAAGUGGCUUACUCGUGGUUUCUUACCAUUCCAAGAUUCAAGAGGUGUCGUGUUCCAAACAAAUUUUAUUGAAAGGAUAUUCAAAAGAUUAACAUUGGUUUCAACAGCUUCUCCAGAAAAGUAAUAUGGUAGACCUUUUGCUUUCAGCGAGUUUCUAGCCAUUUCCACAACAGUCAAAUUCUUUUGUUCGGCCACACCAUUCUGCUCCAAUGUAUAUGGGGAUGUAAGUUCCCUACGGAUUUCAUUCUCAUCACAAAAGAAAUUAAAUUCUUUAGACAAUAAUUCACCACCUCUAUCGAUACAGAGUGAUUUUAUCUUUCUUCCACUUUGAUUCUCUACUGAUGCUUUAAAUUUCUUGAAAUUCUCAAAGUUUUCUGAUUUUAUUUUCAACAAAUAAACCCAUCUAAACCGGUUGUAAUCAUCAAUAAACAUCAAAAAGUACCGAAUGCCACCCAGUAAUUCCAUUUUCAUUGGCCCACAAAAGUUAGCAUGCACAAUGUCAAGACAAGUUGUAGCCCUCCAUGAUUUUCCUACCGGAAAUGAUUUCCUAGCUUGCUUCCCAUAUAUACAUCCUUCACACAUGUCAUGUUCAUUGAUUUUUGGCAAGCCAAUAACCAUAUCUUUUUGAACCAAAAGUUGCAAACUGUUAACAUUCGAAUGUCCAUAAUGUAAGUGCCACAUAUUAGUCUCAUUGUUUCCGUUGACAACUAAGCAAUAUUUUCAAUACUUACGAUAUCAAGGGGAAACAUUUUAUUUUUAGUCAUAGAUAUAUGAGCUAUGGUACGUACUGAUUUCUUAUCUUUAAUAUCACAUGCUUGAUCAUCAGUAGCAACUGAGUACCGACUAGUCAUCAAUUGGCCAACACUACAGGUUGUGAGCCAAAGUGGGAACAUGUAACUCCCCAAAACAAAAUAUGGUGAACUAGAGACUCCUGGUUGUUUCUUGAUUGAUUUUAAGUUAAACUAAGUUAGUUUAGUUUCCUUUGGCUGUGUGUGAAGUUUGGUUAAAUUUUGAGUUCAAUCGACCAAGAACAUCCAUGACGUUUGGAAAGUAUGCCUUAGAAUGUACUAGUGUGUCUUGUCGUGUUUAGAAGAGUUUUACAGAUUCAUUUUACUUGAAACCUGCAUUGGAUAUUUAAUUUCACGACGGGAAUCUAGACCCCAGACAAGACCGACAUCGUUGACCUCUCAGAGGUCGCAUACAAGCCUACUUAUGUCAUUCUUCCUUUGCGUAGGCUAAUUUUAGCAGAAAAUUUGAAUAUUUUGUUUCAUAACAUACUAAUAAAAACAUUCUCAUAAAUACGUGAUUGUUCACCAUCAUCCAUGUAACAUUAAGAGAUAAGCAACUGCAAGAAAUAGUUCAAUUCUUAUUAAGUGUAUAAUUUCCAAAAUGGCACAAAUACAUAGUCUGAAUAAAAACAGGAAAGAAACGCUAGUGGAACAUGGUACACUAGAUCAACCCUAAAAAUAAGCUAGAAUAUAAACAACAGCAUCGUCGAAAGAAUGAGGACCUACCAAAGCCGGAUGAAUGCUGAACGUCCGGAUAACUACAGCGAUGAUCCUGUAGCUCUAUUGUCCACCUGUGCCGGCACCUAAAAUAGUAGAUUUUCUAUAGGGAUGGUAUAUAGUUGUACUUUGUAUGGGUAUAUGCAAUCAAACACAAGGAAAUGCAUGAGAAAGAUUAACUCUUCCCUAAUGACAUGAUUUUUGGAAGGCAAGUCAGUGGACUUGCCAAAUUGAAACAAGGAAAGUUCCCAAUUUUGGAUUAGGAAAGUCAGUGAGCUUUCCAUAUUUGGAAUAGGAAAGUUAUGCCAUGAUAAUAACAUACAUUAUAAUACUUUUCACAUUUUAACACAUCACAUAACAUUUACACAUAGCAUAUAUCAUAUAACAUACAACACAUUUUGCACGUAACACAUAACUUCUUUAAUAUCAUUCAUUCAUAUGCCAUGAGACCUUGGAAUCAUGGACUUAACAUCAAGACAUCCUAUAAAUGAGGGCUCUACAGAUGGGAUCUCAACUAGGGAGUCUUCAUUAGCAAAUACAGAGUCUGCUUCGUUCAUUCAUACGUACUACAUUUCAUUUCAUUCAUAGACCAGUUUAAACACCAGGUAUACCUAGGAUGUAGUUUAAGACUUCCAUUAGGUUCUUUGUGCAACGACCAAGAAUGACCUAAUGUCAUUACUUGAAUCUAACUCACCUUUUGAUUAUCCUAUCCUAACACCUUUGGUAUCAUUCAUUUCAUUAUAUGCAUCAUUUGAGGCUGGCCUCAUUCUUCCUUGGGAACUUUAACUUUAACCGACAUAGAUCAUGUGAGCAUCAUGAAAUUUAGUGUCUCCCCGACAUCGAAAAGAGGUGGAAUCACCGAAAAAAGUGACCCAAAACAUUCUAGAGUACAUGGGAAUUUAACCCCGUGAGAUCCCUAUAUUGGCUGUAUAGGUUUGAAGACUAGGAUAUGUAAGGAGACCCAUACUCGGCGAGCUGGACAGUCUCAUCUCAGGAGAGUUACGUGAACCUCCGCCCUUCCUGAAAGAAGGCAUCACUGCUCAUAGCUAGCCUAUCGGUGCUCAAUAUAAAGUUCCAUUUCAUUCAUCUCGUACGUCAUGGAAGCUUGCUCUAGUAUGAGGACAUUAUUGCUCAUUAGAUGAUUUCUCAUCUCCUCAUUAGUAUUAAGGGUGUUAAACUCAAUACUUUCAUUAGAGUGUUCAUAGAGACUGGUCUCUUCAUUAUCUUAUACUCUCAUAGGUGAGUACAGUUUUGUAACAUUUACUUAGGCUCAUUUGAGAUUGCUCUCAUCAUUUAUAUUAGCCUCAUAUCAUGUUGUCACCACAUUCCUUAUAAUUAGCACCUUUUCUUUUCAUAGUUACUCACCUCUUAUUACGUGAAUGUUCAUUUCAUCAUAUGCCAAUGAACUUGGCCAUUUAGUGUGUUUCACACCCUUACUUAACCCUUCUAGGGUUUCAACAUUUCAUUGUUCAUUUCCUUAUUUCACUGUUCAUCUCAUCUUAUGACAAUGCACUUUGCCAUUUAGUGUAUCUUACACUUAUACUUAACCCUUCUAGGGUUCAUCAUUUCAUUACAUACAUCUUAGGUUCACUUACUUUUCAAUGUAUGCCAGACUUAUGAGUCUAUACACACAAGCCACAGGGAUUCAUUCAUAGUUUGUUAAGUGAUGAUACCUAAGAUCAUGUAGUACAAGACUUGUGUAUCUUGUAUAUAUGCCAAGAUCUUAAUUUCGAUCUAAGUAGGUGAAAUUAUUUUUGGAUAUUUUGUUCACGUAUGACUUAUGUAUCAAUACGGAAGUUUUGGCAAGGAAACCCAAAUUCGAAUAACUUUGAUAACAUUUACAUUUUUCAUUGAUUUCAAUCUUAAUUUCCAUAACAUCGGAAUUCUAGAUCGAACUCCAACAUUAAGAUUGUACCUUAAAUUUUCUACUUGGUUUCCUCUUAAAUUGGCCGUAGGAUUGUGGGUUAGAGCUCUCACAACCUCUUUUAUUUUAUUCUUUAAUUUUUCUCCAGGGCAUUGGGAGGUUGCAGGUUCGAACCCCACAAUCUUCUAAUUUUUGUUGUUAAUUUCGCUUGAGCAUCGGGAGGUUGUGUGUUCGAACCCCCACAGACUCCUUAUUUAAAUUUUUAAUUAAAACUCACUAGCCUGGGUGUUUGGAAUUGAGGUUGUGGGACAGAUCCCCCACAGCCUGAACUCAUUUUUUUCUUAUUUUAAUCGUCUUCUCCUUUCCGUCCUUGUGGUUGUGGUUUCGAUUCCCACGCCUCACAUUUUACUUUCUUUUUUUUCUGUUCUUUCACUCGCAGCCUGGAGGUCGUGGGUUUGAUUCUUAUACCUCCCAUUUUUUAAUUUUAAUUCUUAUUCUGUUCUUACUAACCCAACAGACCCUAUUUUGAUCCCCCCCACCCCACUUUUCUUUUUCCUACUUGCGAAUUCCAGUAGCUAAAGGGUGAGGUCACAGGUUCGAACCCUGGUGGCCUCACCUCUUUUAAAUGUAUUAAAUUUCCAGAUUUCAACCCCCCUUUUGAACGAAAUUUAAAGUACACUAAGUUGGAAAUUUUUUCUUAAUUUUUUAGCUUCCUUUGAUCAACCUUUUCAUGUUAGUUUCUUAGGGAAUAUCACCAAGAAUUAAGUGCAUUAUUUGGUGUAAUUUAGUAGUUACAUUAGUCAAGCGUUUUCACUCAAAAUUUGUAACUUUACACACCAUAUGAACAUCACAUUGUGAACAACUUUAGCAGAUAAAAUACAUGAAUUUACAUGACUUUUCACGUCCCAAAAAAGUGACUACUUCACUGCCACAUAUUGCACACACACAUCACCUUUUUCACAUGUUUUCAAACAACAUAAUCAUUAUUCACACAAUUUUGAACAUAAAUACUUAAACAUACACAUCACGAAAACACAUUUCAUCCCUACUUUGUACCAACAAACAUACCCAACCUUAAGUGUAAUGGAAGCUAGUGAGAGGGACAUGCAAAGGGGGAACAAUCCUAGUAUUUGGAGUGAAUAUCUUGAAUAUUAAGGGGUAUCUUGGGAAAGGAACCAAGAGUAAAGAAACCCAUAACUUAAUUGAUGUUUAAUCAAUGAAUUUGCUGCCAAAACCCUCUCCAAAAUCAGUCCAGGCUACCUCAACGCCCACACCACUCAACGAACAGCUUCUCUUUGCCUUAAUGUUUUUGAUUGCUUUGUUUUUCUUAAAAUUUUAUGUGAGUUCUUAAAGUGUGAAGGACUCUUGAUAUUACUUCUAAUAUUUUUUUUGCAGAACCAACGUGAGGGAGAGAAUGAUGAAAUGCGAGAGAGAUCGUGAGAGAGUAGUAAAAAAUUAGGAGUUUUAGUUUGGGAAUUAGUUAAACUAGGACUCGUUAUUGAUUUAAAUAAAAACCUAAUUUAAUUAGCUUAGUUAAAGGACCAUUAUGCCCCUAAAAAAUCAGAUUAUAAACAUUAAUUAAAUCACCAACUUGAUGCUUCCAAUGGGGCUCGAACUCGGGUAGAGUGGCCCUUGUGAAAUGGACCAUUUUGGGCAGCUUAAGCUUAAUUGGUUCUUUAAUUAAAUUAAUUAAUUAAUUCGUUAGGGUAAUUACAAUAUUACCCUUGGCUUGGAUAAGACCAUUUUACCCUUGGGCCCUCGAAACUUAAGGUUUCUUUUUUUUAGUCCGAUAAAGAAUCCUUCGAUUAAAUCUUUGUUUAUUAGAGCCUUACUUGGUUGGUUCCAAUCUUCCCAAGAUCAACUAACUUCUCAUGUUGGUUGGUAUAGUCGUAGUAAGGGUUCUGAGAUCUGGUUCUACGCGUAUCAAUCUGUGUGAACCUUGGUCUAAUCUUGAACAUUCUUGAUUAAGUAUUUGUCCUAUUCAUUUUUAGGGUUGUUACAUUAUCCCCCUUUAGGAACAUUCGUUCCCAAAUGACACUACAACUACAAAUCGUAAUGCCAAACAGAUCAUAACAUAAUCACUAUGCACAGUCAAGAAAUAGCAACAAAAUACAGAGAGAUUACGAAACAUAGACUUAAGAGUAGGAAAUCUAACCUCAAAAGCUGAAAAGAUGAGGGUAGCGGGAUCUCAUGUCAGCCUCAGCCUCCCACAUAGCACCAUCAACAAGAUGAUUUCUCCACAAUACCUUCACUGUGGCAAUCUCCUUGUUCCUCAGCCGCUUGACAUGUCUGUCUAAGAUCUCAACUGGUUCCUCCUUAUAAGACAAGUCUUCAUCCACUCCCAAACCUUCCAAAGGUAGAAUCGAUGCUGGGUCACCUAGGCACUUCUUUAACAUGGAUACAUGAAAGGCUGGAUGGACAAAAUCUAGCUCCGCAGGCAACACUAACUCAUAAGACACCUCACUCACACGCAGUAUGAUCUCAUAUGUCCCAACAUACCUCGGACUCAGUUUCCCUUUUCUGCCAAAUCUCAUCACUCAUCUCAUAGGUGAUAUCUUCAAGUAAACGUGGUCACCAACCACAGAUUCUAAGGGUCUCUUUCUGUUGUCUGCAGAUGACUUCUAUUGGCUCUAAGUAGUAUCCAACCUGUCUCUAAUCACUCUAACCUUCUCUAAGGUCUCAUGAAUGAUAUCUGGACUCAAAAUGGAUUUAUCUCCGACCUCAAACCACCCAAAUGGAAAUCUACACCUCCUACCGUACAGUGCCUCAAACGGUGCCAUCCCAAUGCUUGAGUGAUAACUGUUAUUAUACAAGAAAUCUAUCAAAGGCAAAUGAUCAUCCCAACUACCUCUAAAGUCAAUUACACUUACCCUCAACAUGUCCUCCAAUAUUUGAAUGGUGCGCUCAACCUGCCUAUCAUUCUAAGGUUGAAAGACGGUACUAAGCUUUACCUGCGUGCCUAAGCUUUUCUGGAAAGAUCUCCAGAUAUAUGAAGUAAACUGAGCUCCUCUAUCUGAAAUGAUACACAAAGGAAUCCCAUUCCACCUCACAUUCUCAUCAAUACAAAUUCUUUCAUAAUCCUCGGCUCUGUAGGUAGACUUCACAGGGAUAAAGUGAGCAAACUUAGUCAAUCUGUCCACAAUAACCCAUAUGGAGUCAUGCUACCUCCUAGCCCUCAGAAGACCAACCACGAAGUCCAUAUUAAUGGCCACCCACUUCUAAGUUGGAACCUCAAUAAUUUGAGUCGUACCACCAGGCUUAAGAUGCUCUGCCUUUACCUGCUGACAAUUAGGACACUUGGCCACAUAUUCUGCAAUAUCCUUCCUCAUGCCAUCCAACUAAUAGAGCUAUUUAAGAUCAUGAUACAUUUUGGUGGAACCUGGAUGUAUGGAACAUGUGGAACCAUGGGCCUGUGCCACAAUCCUGGUCCAUAUAUCAUCCACAUCUUUUAUACACAACAUGUCCUGGUAUCUAAGUAUGCCAUCACCCCCAAAAGCAAAAGGCUCAUUCAUUUUUAACAACACUCAGUCCUUUAGCUCCAUCAACACAGGAUCAAGAUGCUGACCCUUCUUGACUUUAAUUACCAAGGAUGAUUCAGAACUAGGAUGAAUUGAAACACCCCCACUAGUAAAGUCAACUAAUCGCACACCUAGUCUGGCCAGUUUGUGUACCUCUUUUUCCAACUCCUACUUCUCAUCCUAAACGUGGGCUGUACUCCCCAUGCUCAUCCUGCUUAAAGCAUCAGCCACAACAUUACCCCUACUUGGAUGGUAGUGCACAUUUAUGUCAUAAUCCUUCAAAAGCUCUAACCAUCUCCACUGACGUAGAUUCAACUCCCUCUAUGUGAACACGUACCUGAGACUCUUAUGAUCUGUGAACACAUCCACAUGCACUCCAUACAGAUUAUGCCUCCAUAGCUUCAGUACAAACACCACAGCUGCCAACUCCAGGUCAUGAAUGAGAUAAUUCUUCUCAUGAACCUUGAGUUGUCUGGAAGCAUAGGGGUUACCUUACUAGCCUGCAUAAGAACACAAUCUAAACCAACCCUAGAUGCAUCACAAUAGACACUGUAAUUCUCAUCACACUUAGGCAGAGUUAACACCGGGGCUUAAGUGAGUGUGUCCCUGAGCUCCUGGAAACUCUUCUCACAAGUCUUCUUCUAUUUAAACUUGGCUUUCUUUUUUGUCAAAGCUGUAAGUGGGGCAGCAAUGGAAGAAAAUCUCUCCAAAACCUGCGGUAGUAACGAGCCAAUCCCAAAAAGCUACGGAUAUUAGUGAGAGUAUAGAAAACCUCCUUCAUGUCAAGCAAGACCUUCAUCAUAAUGUCGUUGAGACCAACAUUAUGCAUGUAAGAUAAGACCACAUCAUAUAUAUUCAUUUGGACUUUUACCAAAUAUUUCAUCACAACAAGUACACAACACUAUAAUGUAAUGCAUAAGGACAUAAGUAGAAUCAUAUACUUUAGAACAUCUUCCAAGAACUCCCUUCAAGAGCUACUUGUGCAAUGCAUAGGUGAAGUCCCAUACCCUCACCUACACAAAGCAACUUCCCUUUGAUUAUCCUAGUUAUGGUCCUAGCUUUACUUCCAUUGACCAUUUUAAUUUAGGGAAACUAUAUCCUUGACCGACACUAAGACCAUAAGAUCUAAACAUGGAAUUUGUUGUUGUAGAGCCUUACACCAAGAAAAGGUGCUCCACUUUGACAAAGUAGACCAUUAACAUCAUGAUAGUUUAUUAGGUGAUAUCACUUGCUAGUUCCUAUGGGGAAAGCAUAGUUUAUGGAACUUGGAGGCAUAUAUGGAAACAUUCUUUAUGACAAAUGGGGCAUUGUAGUUAUCCACCUCAUGAGGACUAUGGUGAGCAAGCUUUCCCACAUUGGGAAGGGGCACCCCUAAUCUAAGUUCACUCGGUGCUAAGCUAAGUUCCCUUUAUUGGAAGUCUUUAUUAACAUUACUUUCUAAACAUAGGAUUUAGGAGAUUGACUUCUCAUAUUCUUAGCUCAUAGGUCAUAUAUUAGAGUUCAUCGACCUGAGUCAUGUGAGAAAACCUUUCACAUGGACAUAGUAUAUUAAAGCCCAUAUAGUUUAGGGUAUGCUUGAGAACAUCUUUCAAGAGACUUUCUAUUGACUAGAUCAUCAUACAUGUAUCGGUGAGUAUACAUAUAUGUGCGCAAGAAUUUCACAUAAACACUCUUAGACAACACAUGUUCAUACUUCAUUUCAUGUAUGCAUAAGUGUACAAGUGUAACUAUAUGAUCAAUCCUUUUAUAUAAAAGUACAUUUAUACACUAGGUAUAAUGAUACUUCAUCAUACCAUAUACUCGACAUCCAAGCAUAUAAGACAUGUUCAUAAAAUAUUCGUACAUUCACAUUCAUGUACAUUAAUAACAAAACCUAGGAUUUAUCUUUUCAAGGCACACAUGUUCAAUGCAUAGAUAAAGUCCCAUACCCUUGCCCAUACUAGUACACCUAUCAAGUCAUCCUAGUUAAUGUAUACAAAAGAUGCUUCAUAAGCAUAUGGUUACAUGCAUAGUAGUAGACACAAGUGCAUAUUAAAAUACCCUUUCAUUAUAAAUUAUGAACUUAUACUACUUUGUAAGAAUGCAUACGAUGUGCAUGUGUGUGUGCAUAGGUAAACAUGAUCACAUAAUGGCUAUCAACAUCAUCUUGAGGAAACCAAUCUCUUAAGACCACUAUUCACAUUCAAGUAUAAAUCACACACCACAUACUAGUGUAGGAGAAAAGACAACUUUAUAUUACAUUCAAGACUCCUAACCUUAGCUAUUCACACAUUCAUAUAUGGGUACAUAGGUAGGGGUCAUCAAUAUUCAUUAAUUCAUCAAUGGAAGCACCUAUGCAUAACCCUAAAAUAGUCAUUCACAUGCUCAUAACAUUAUCCAUACAGACUAGAUUAUAAACUAGCAUAGAAAUUAGCUAGGCAUAAGCUUCACAUAGUGUGAUCAUCAUAACCACACAUUCAUAAGACAAUUUCCUUCAAGUCCAUAAUCACAUCACAUAUGUAUUGUCAAUAAGGUAAACACCGUCACCAUAAGUGGACCAUACCUCACAAUGCCAUACAAGUCCAAUCAUCUAACAAUUCUAUAUCAAAGUGGAGAAAUAGAGAAAUCUUACAGGAUCUCCAUUUCUUUGAUUAUCAAUGAUACGUACUCCUUUUCCUCAAUAAUACAAUUAUUGGGUAGUAGCUAAAGAUAAAAUAACCUGAGCAAAAUCCUACUUCAAUUUCCAUAGAAUCGAGAUCACCUUGAAUAUACUACUUGAACAAUCUCUAGAAGAUAGAAGAACAUAGGUUAAUAUCAUUCAAACCUUCAGACCUUGAUCCCCAUGGAUCACUCAUCAACAAUUCCCCAUCAAUAUACAUAAUAGGCAGUAUAUAUAAGCCUUGUGUGUCUUAGCAUGUUUCGUCAAAUUUUUUGUGUUCAUUUUGGAUGAAAUUGAUGUGAGAGGUCCUAAACUCGUAUACAAUAAUAUUCGAGUUAGAAACGUCCGGGAAAACAUCCCCAAGGACCAACCAAGGGUCCUUAAGGAAGGAACCUCCAUUUGAGGAGAAAGGCUGUCAAGACCAAUCCCAAUCAACUGAGGCAAUCGACAGCCAGUUGGCUGGCCGACGCCACGUCUUUCGUGGUCGUUUGUCACGACAUAUCAUAGGGAGAUUAAUCUCCCACAGGAUAUUCUUUGAACCAAACAACGACCAUCCAGGAUAGUCCAUUUUUGGACAAAUGGUCCGUCAAUGGGCAGGCGUCGAUGGUCUGUGUCACUUGCGCAACUAUACUGUAAAAAUAUAAGGAUGAAUUGGUAAAUUCACCCCACAUCUAAAUAAGAGUUUGGGUGGUUUCCUAAGGGUAUUUUAGGUAUAUUAUGAGGGUUCAUAAGUCCUAAUUACCUCUUCGGAUAGAUUUUAGUGAGAACAUUGCAUGCUAGAAAAGGGUCAUGGUGAAGUUGAGGAACUUCACUGUAGCAGUGAAAUAAUUCACUAUGACGGUGACCUAGUUCACUAUAAGGUCAUUAAAAAGUGAUAAGAGGUUUAUGUGUUAUCUUAUGUGUUUAUAAGGUGUUAAAUUUUGUUCUUAUCCUUAUAGUGUGAUGUUUUAACAAAAAAGAGCACAUUUUCAUUAAAUUUCCGUUAUCAUGAUUUUUAUGCAAUAUUUCAUACUUAGUACAUGUGUUUGUACAAAUUCUAUGCUUUAUCUAUCUCUAAAGUGAUUCAUAGGUAAAUGUGCUUUUGGGAGUGAAGCUUGGAUUAUAGGAUCGUUAGAGCAAAUUGAAGUAUUACUUCAUUUGAGUCGAGAGAUAGAUGUCUUUGAUUUCUUAUUUUGUUGUAUUAUAAUAGACUGAGUUGUACUAUUCACACCAUGAGCUACCCCCUGAGACGCGGACACAAAACCUAGGACCACAAGUGAUCACAAGCUAACCGGCUGACAUGAUCACGAGCAUACUAAAGAUAAUAAACUGAUGCGGAAGCUAAAUCAUAAUUUAUAAUGAAAAUAUGGGGAAUGCCCAUAUGCUAAAACUUAUAUAAUAUGAAGACUGAUGAGUUUAAUACAAUGAAGUUACUAACUCAACAGUAAGCUGCAACUAACUAUGUCUUAAAAUAGCCUCUACUGGACUAGAAAUACUAGGACAAGCUUCAGCUAAAUUUAACAAAAAUUGAAACUAAAUAACUAAAUGACUGAAAAAGAAGCUUAUGACUAUUGUCCUCAGAGAAUGAGGACUCACCACUAAAUCUGCUGAAAAGGAGAUCGGGAAAUCGAUCUAUGUGUGAUCUAGAUGCUGAGAACCUAAACCUACAUCACGAGAAGUUGUAGUGAACGUAUGCGUCGAUACUUGAAAGGUACUGAACAUGUAGGAAAGAAUAAACCUGAAAUAAAACAUAACUGAACAAGCACAAAAACAAGUAUAAUAAUUUGAACAUGAUGUACUAAUUUCUGAGUUAACUGGAUGCAAUGACCAAUUUAUAACAUGCUGAAAUUGAAUAAUGAAUGUACUGAUAAAUGGUCAAUGCAAGAGAGUCUAGCUGAACUGUUGGAGCUCCUAAUAGUUGAUAAUAAAACCAAAUGAUCUAAAUGUGGAAUCCGAUGUAUACACUCCAUUGAAAGGACCCAAUAUACCAUGCCACAUGUAUUAAGGCAUGCUGGCCUGAUCACAUAACUGAUUGCCUACAGAGGGGACUUACAACCUAUUUCGCUAGUAGUUCUGGGACUACUUGGCAUGCUAAACCCUAGUGCAACUCGGUAUUAUGCUACUCCCAUUGAUUUAUGUAGUUAACUGAUUAUGUAUGAAUUUCUAUUAAUACUGGAUAGCUUAAAACUGACAUGUAAUACGAGAAUGCAUUAUUUAAUCUUAUAAUGGUGCAUUUAAAAUUGAAGCAUGUAUAACUGCAUAAAUGAAAUAUCUGACCUAGCAUGUGUAAUUUAAGAACUAAAGAAAUACAAAUCUAGGGUUCUGAAAUACAUGCGAUAAUCUGAGUAAUAACAUGAUAAAUUGAUUUGGAACAUAUAUUUUGAUAAAAUCAUGAAGUUGCUGUAAUUCUAGGAACCAUAGGUUUAAUCACGAUAAGAGAAUCAAGAACUGAGUUAAAACUAGGGACCCAAUGGGUGAAAGGAACCCACUAGUGAAAUCCCACAUGCAUGGUGAUGAAAUUCACGGAGAAACACUUAGAUUUUCGGGGUGGAAUCAUUGGAAACUUGUUCCGUUCUUGAACAAGGGUUCUUGACCUUUUUCUCCUUUCUUGCUUCUAAUUUUCUAAUUUUUGGUUAAUGAAUUGACUUAGGUAAGUUUUUGUUAUGUUUCUAGGCUUAAACUGACAAAAAAUCUGAUGAUUUAGGGUAAAAAUGAUGUACCUCAGGGUUUAAACGAAAUGAGAAAAGACCAAAAGACCUCUAAGUUGAUUUCUGUCGGUCUAAACGAUGUCCUAGACAGACGGUCCGUCGUUUGAUCGACAGUCCGUUGUUGGGUCCAUAGGUUGGGUCAAUUCGACAGGCCUUUACUAAAAUGGGCAUAAUUUUUUACUCAGAGGUCUUAUUUUAGCAAGGUCUGUGACUAUGGAAAGCUAAUUCAAGUAUCUUUCUGUGGAUUGGUUAUAGGGAACCCAAUUCAUUUUGAUCUAAGAGUUAUGACUAUUUGAAGUUGACCCAACUACUUUUCCCCCUUAACUGUCUGCUAGUUCCCACCUACGGUCAGACCUACAGACCGUAUGUCCACCUACGGACCAUGCUGGUCAUCCGUGGCUCUUAUCAUAGAGUGGGUGAAUGAACCUGUUGAUAAUGACUUAGCCAAAUUUUUGUAGGUUGAGAUUUUGGGGGUUUUUGACCCCAUUGACGGAUGUGUAGGACGGACCAUGGGUUAGUCGACGGUUUGUCAAUGGACCGUUGGUUGCAGCUGCAGAUUUUUCUGAAAAUUUGGUUUUUGGUCUAUUUGUGAUAUAGGGUAUUACAUUAUAUCUCCCUUGACAAUAUUCAUCCUCGAAUGAAGACUAAACUAGUUGGAAUAAAGGGAGAGAGAUGCAAACCCUACUACUAAACACUGAGAACUGAUUUUCUAACUGAAUUGAGUUUCAAGAACAUGAAAAUACGCUUAAAAUGCAAGUACAAACUGAGGGAACAUGAUUCUAAGACUGAAUUCACGCAUGAAUGUCUUGAAAACUUAAGAGGAACCAUUACCUCAAGAUGGAGUGGAAUCGGAAGGAAAGAGGUGAGGAUACUUGGCUUUCAUGGCUGCUUCUGCUUCACAAGUAGCUCUCUCUACGGACUGACUCCUCCACAAUACCUUGACUAAGGAGACUUAUUUGUUCCUCAACCUUCUAUACAUGAUGGUCAAGAAUCUCAACUGUUACAUCCUCAUAAGAAAGAUUAUAUUUCACCGCCAUACUCUCUAAUGUCACUAUAGAGGCUAGAGCACCCAUGCAUUUCUUCAAGAGUGGGAUGUGGAGCACCGGAUGCAUUGCUGCUAAUUCUGCUAGCUACUCUAACUCAUAUGCCACCUAUCCAAACCUUUUAACAAUCUUAUAAGGGCCUACAUAUGUAGGGCUGAGCUUCCCGUUCUUUCCAAAUUUCAUCACCCCUUUCAUAGGUGAGACUUUAAGAAAAACCCAAUCAUCAACUUCGAACUCUAGUUCCCUUCUCCUUACUUUUGCAUAAAAUUUCUGACGACUUUGGGCUGUCUUAUAUCUAUCUAUAAUGAGUUGCACUCUCUCUAUUGCAUAAAGUACUGAAUCUAAUCCUAUCGAAGCUGCUUUACCUACUUCAUAUCAACAAAUAGAAGAUCUACAUCUACGCUCAUAUAAAGCCUCAUAAGGGGCCAUCUAAAUUCUAGAAUGGUAGGUAUUAUUGUAGGAAAACUCAAUAAGAGGAAGGUGAUCAUACCAACUACCUUUGAAAUACAUUACACAAGCUCUCAACAUAUCCUCUAAGUUCUGAAUUAUACGCUAUGCCUGCCUAUCCGUCUAUGAAUGGAAUGUUGUACUAAGGUUAACUUGAGUACCAAGACCUUUUUGAAACGAAUUCCAGAAAUGAGAGGUAAAUUGAGGACCUCUAUCUGAGAUGAUAGACAAAGGAACCCCAUGCAACCUCAAAAUUUAAGUAAGUUAAAGCUUGGCAUAGUCCUCUGCAAAAUAUGUAGUCUUGACCACCAAAAAGUGAGAAGACUUAGUCAUCCUAUCAACUAUUACCCGAAUGGAGUUAUAUUGUCUGUGAGUACGUGGUAACCCUGUGAUGAAAUCCAUAUUGAUAACUUCCAACUUCCAAGUAGGAAUGUCGAUCUCUUAAGUCAUACCUCCUGGUUUCUUAUUUUUUACCUUGAAUUGCUGGAAAUUGGGGCACUACUCAUAAAAUCUGCUAUGUCCCUCUUCAUGCCAUUUCACCAAUAGACUUCCCGUACAUCGCGGUACAUCUUAGUGGCACCUGGGUGAAUAGAAUAUCUGGAGUUAUGGGAUUCUGAAAGAAUAUGUUGUCUCAACUCGCCCACAUCAGGAACACACAAUCUACCCUGGUGGCGAAGUACACCAUCUCGCCCUUGGGAGAAAACCUCCACUCUAUGUUUAUGAACUGCACCCUUGAUUCAAGCAAAAUUGGAUCCCUGUCUUGAUUUUCCUUAACCUCUACUACCAAAGAUGAUUCUUCCGCAUUCUGAAUUGUUACACCACUGUCUAAUAUGCUCAUAAGGUGAACUCCCAAGCGAGCAAGCCUGGGAACAUCCUUCACUAGUUCCUUCCUUUCUUCCACAACAUGGGUUACACUACCCAUAGAUAAUCUACUAAGAGCAUCUACUACUACAUUUUCCUUACCAGGAUGAUAAUGCACACUCAUAUAAUAAUCCAUAAGGAACUCAAGACAUUUCCUCUGGAAAAGAUUCAACUCUUUGUGGGUGAACACAUACUGAGGCCUCUUAUGAUCAGUGAACACAUCUACAUGAACACCAUACAAGUACUGUCUCCAGAUCAUGAGUGCAAACACCACUACUGCAAGCCCGAGGUCAUGAGUUAGAUAGUUCUUCUCAUGCACUUUAUGAUGUCUAGAAGCAUAAGCUGUAAUCUUAUCUUGCUGCAUCAACACAUAACAAAGGCCAACUCUGGAUGCAUCACAAUAGAUCACAUAACCAUUGGAACCCUCUGGUAGAGUUAAGAUAGGAUCUAUAGUCAAUCUAGUUUUCGAUUCUGCAAAGCUUUUCUCACAAUCAUCUGUCCAUUGGAACUUGAUCAUCUUCUGAGUGAACCUAGUCAAUGGUGAGGCUAUGGAUGAAAAUCCUUCCACAAACGUUUUGUAAUAACCCGCUAGACCUAAGAAACUUCUGAUAUAUAUAGUAGAGGUUGGUCUGGGCUACUGUUUCAUUGUUCUAUCUUCUGCGAAUCCACUCAAAUCCCUUCGCUAGAUACAAUGUGUCAAAGAAAAGCAACAGAUUGAAACUAGAACUCACAUUUACUAAACUUAGUGAAUAACUGACGAUCCUUGAGAGUCUGCAGAACAACUCUCAAAUGACUUGCAUGUUCUUCCUCACUCCUAGAGUAAAUGAGGAUAUCAUCAAUAAAGACGAUAACGAACAAGUCCAAGUACUUUUUGAACACUUUUUUCAUCAAAUCCAUGAAAAAUACAGGAGCAUUUGUUAGUCCAAACAACAUAACUACAAAAUCAUAAUGACUAUACUGAGUUUUGAAAAAUGUUUUCGAAAUGUCACUAUUGUUGACUCUGAUCUGAUGAUAAACCCGAACUGAGGUAUUGAGAAAUUGCUAGCACCCUAAUGUUGGUCAAACAAGUCAUCAAUCUUGGGGAUGGGAUACUUAUUCUUGAUUCUGACCUUGUUCAAUUGUAUAUAGUCAAUGCAUAUUCUGAGAGAAUUAACCAUUUUUCUUCUUUACGAAAAACACUGGGGCACUCCAUGGUGAAAUAGUAGGUUUGCUGAAACCCUUAUCUAAUACGUCUUUCAACUGCUCUUUUAAUUCCUUAUGCUCUAGUGGAGCCAUUCUGUAAGGAGUAAUAGAAAUAGGCUAGGUAUCUAGAAAAAGAUAAAUUCCAGAGUCAAUUUCCCUUUCUUGUUGAACUCUAGGAAGAUCGUCUAGAAACACUUCUGGAAACUCACUGACUACAGGAACUUAUUCAAGAGUUGGGGUUUAUGAGUUAGAAUCCUUGACCCGAGCAUGAUGAUAGAUAUAACCACUGGAGAUCAAUUUUUGGGCUUAAGGUAAGAAAUGAAUCGACCAAUAGGCACUAAGCUAAUAUACUUCCAUUCUAAGAUUGGUUUGUCUGGAAACUAAAAACGAACAAUCCUAGUUCUUUAAUCGACUAAGGCAUAUCCUGAAUUUAACAAAAAACAUGAUUCAAAUAAUAUCGAAGUCUACCAUUUCUAACUCUACAAGAUUUACUGAGGUGACUUUCUGAGAUACUAUGAUAGGGUAAUUUCUGUAUACCCGUCUAGCUACAAUUGGUCACCGACUAGAGUAGUUACUGUGAAAGGUUCUGAGAGAGUUUUUGGAGUGACACUGAAUUGCACUUCUAUGUAAGGAGUUACAAAAGAAAAGGUAGCCCCUAGAUCUAACAAUGCAUAAUCAUCAAGGUCACAUAAUCGUCACGUACCAAUGACUACAUUAAGAGAACCUUCUUGAUCUUGGCGAGCCUGAAUAGAGUACUACCUGUUCUGGCACUGGCUGUCACCUGUACUAGAUUAGUUACACUUCUGAGUCAGGAGACUUGAUGGUGCUGCUGAAGUUGUAGACUGAGCUCUACCAUUACCACCUCCUUCACCCUGUUUAGAAUGUCAAUCCCUGAACCUCUAACAAGGUUGACCGCACCCAAAGCAUCCUUCUUUUCCUACAAGAUACUCUCCUGGAUGGUUCUUACCACACUUAGGGCAUGUGGGCUAAGUCUUGGUGCCUGAAAAACUUUCCUGAGUCUUAGAGCCUGGUUCUCUAUCCUUAUGGUCAUACCUGUUCUUGGAGGAUGGAACACUAGAUGAUUAAUAGCCUGGAGCUGAAAACUUCGGCUGACCCUUUGAGCAAUUUCCACCACCCAAUUUCUGUUGAGAAUAAUCAUAGUUCCCAGUCCUAGACUUCUUAUUUUCGUUAGCAUGUUCCUUAAAAUUAUCACCGUCACCCUGCUGAGCAUGAGUCAUCGGCCUAAAGAUGUUCAUAUUUCCAAGUAACAUAACAUUUCUACAUGCACUUAUCUCCAAAUCUGAUCCUUUGCCUAUCUCAACUCUAUUGGGAAAAACCUGUCGAGAAAAGUCUCACUAAAACAAUCCCAAGUGAUAGGAGCUGCAUUUGCACCCUUAUUCUCCUUCCACUUAGUGUACCCGAUAUGAGAAACAUCCUUCAACUAGCAUGAUGUCAACUCAACCCUAUCAUUCAUUGUGACUUGCAUACCUCAAAUAUCUUCUUAAUCUCAUCCAAGAAAUUCAGAAGAUCCUCAUUAGUCUGUGAUCCUAAGAACUCAGGAGGAUUCAUCCUAACCAAGUCACGAACCCUUGGUGUUGCUGAUCCACUUUUUCCAUUCACAGGAGCAUGAACUCGAUUGUUCUGGUUAGUCAUACUUUGAGCCAACAUCUAUAUGACAUUCCUCAACUCAACAUUGGAGACUUAUUGAUCUGGGACUGGAGGAGUUGCAUUUGCAUUCCUAGUGUUAGCUCUACGACGAGGAAUGAUAUCAAACAUAGAACGUCAAGUUAGAGUGGAAUAAGAUCAUACCUUACACACGAAAAGAGUAAUAACAAAGUGAAGUUUUCAUAAAACACUUCAUAGCCUCCCUCUCAUUAGAUCUGGUGCACUUCAAACCCAUGAAAAAGAUUCUACUUAGUGCGGCUUCUCAGACAUCCUAGGACACUUAAACCUAAUGCUCUGAUACCAUAUUUUGUCACGCCCUAAGCUUUCCCCAAGACACGGACAUGGAACCUAGGUUCACAAGUGUUCCCAAGGUAAACCUGCUGACAUGAUCAUGAUAAUACAAAUGAUAAUAAACUGAUACGGAAGGUAAAUCAUAAUUUAUAAUGAGAAGAUAAGGAAUACCAAUAUGCUAAGACUUAUAUAAUAUGAAGGCUGAUAAUUUUAAUAUAAUGAAGUUAGUAACUCAACAAUAAGUUGAAACUAACUAUGUUUGAAAAUGUCCUCUACUUGACUAGAGAUACUGGGAAAACUCCAGCUAAAUGUAGAAAAAACAUAAACUAAAUGACUAAAAUACUAAAAAAGAAACUCAUGACUAUUGUCUUCGGAGAAUGAUGACUCACCACUGAAUCUGCUGAAAUUGAGAUUGGGAAAUCGAUCUGUGCGUGAUCUGGAUGUUGAGAACCUGAAUGUACUUCAUGAGAUGAUGUAGCGCACGAAUGCGUCAGUACUUUAAAGGUACUAAGCAUUUAAGAUAUAAUAAAUAUGAAAUAAAACAUAACUGAACAAGCAAAAAAGCAAGUGUAAUACUGUGAACAUGAUAUACUGAUUUCUGAGCUCUAACUGGAUGCAAUGACUAAUUUAUAACUUGCUGAAACUGAAUACUAAAUAUACUGAUAAAUAGUCAAUGCAAGAGAGUCUAACUGAACUGUGGGAACUACUAAUAACGGAUAAUAAAACCACAUGAGCUAAUUGUGGAAUCCGAUGUAUACGCCCCAUCGAGAAGACCCAAUAUACCCUCCCAAAGGUAUAAAGACAUGCGUGCGUGAUCACUAAACUGAUUGCCCAAAGAGAGGACUUACAACCUACUUGGCUAGUAGUUCUUGGACUAUUGGGUAUGCUGAACCCUAGUCAAACUCGGUAUUAUGCUACUCCCAUUGAGUAUGAAUUUCUGUAAAUACUGGAUAGCUCAAAACUAAACAUGUGGCACCUAAAUCAUUUUGUGUUAAGAGUUAUGACAAUUUGAAGUUGAUCCAGCUACAUUUCACCCUUAACUGUGUACUUGUUCCCACCUACGGUCAAACCUACGAACUGUGGGUCCACCUACGGACCGUGCUGGUCAUCCAUCUCUCUUGUCAUAGAGUUUGUGAAUGAGGUGUCCAUCGACUGUCACCGACUACAGACCAUAGUCUGACCUACGGAGCGUAGGUCUGUCCAUCGAUCAUGACUUAACCAAAUUUUCCUGGGCUGAGAUUUUUGGGGUUUCUGGCCCCAUUGACGGAUGUGUAAUAAGGAUUGUGGGUUAGUCAAUGGUCCGUCGAUGGCCCAUUUUGUUGCACCUGCAAAUUUUUCAGAAAAGUUGAUUUUUGGUCAAAUUGAAGAUUUUACGAGUCGUGUCCCAAGUCUAUUUUGAGUCUAAUAUUUGUAGACAUGAGACUUAGUAUUUCCAUCUGAUUUUAUGUGAAAGAGUUUUUGAAAUACUAUUGGAAUGUUGUGAAAAGUUUUAAUUCUGCACUACUUUUAAUAUAUGUAUAUGCGAUGAAUGAUACGAAAGGUCUUGUACAAGACCUCCAAGAGGUCAGGUACGUCAUAUUGUGACCUAAGAACGCUUUAACUUCUAGUGUAUACCUGUGGGUUGUGACAACGAUGUUACAAAAUCUCCGCUUGGGAAAAUUUUGUCAUCGAAUGAGAUUACUCUUACUAGGCUAAGGUUUUAAUACCAAUUAUUGAGUUUAAACACCCAACAAGCAAUUCUAACACAUCAAGCAUAUAAAUUAUGUAGUACUGAAAAAGAGGAUUAGUACCUUGAUCAAGAACUUCUCUGGUAUCACUGAGAUGUAAAUAUCUAUUCUUCAUAUUUUUCCAACUUCCCAAGUAUCUUCUUCAAUAAAUUGGUUCCUCUAAAGAACCUUGACUGAUCCUAACUCCUUUGUCCUUGACUUGCAAAGUUGGCGAUCUAAAAUAUGAAGUGGAAUCUCUUCAUAAGAUAAUUUAUUGUUGAUUGUAAUAUCUUCUAUCGCUAUGAUCAAUGAAGGAUCUGAAACAUCUCUGACAUCCAAUGCAAAAAAGUCUUACUUUUGUUGUUGUGGUAGUUUAUUUAUGUUGAGGACAUCACACACUGAUACAAACUCAUGUCAACAAUUCUUUAACUGUGGAAUUGGUGCAUGCUCUUAUUUAUAAGUGUAUUGAAAAUGAUUCAUCAAGGAGCAGCUCAUUAAAAUGGAGUCCGAGAUUUGAGACAUCAAAUUUUCAAGGCGUCAUCAAAUAUCUAAAAUUAGAAAGGCUUCGAAACAUCGAAGAAACUAGGAUUUGUCUAUUGAUUUUAUUCAAAGAGACCGAAGAUCAGGGGGAUUACUUUAAAGGAUUGUUAAAAGACCCCAAAAACGAUAGGCAUCAUCUAAAACAAAAGGUUAUAUUAGCUAACGAAAAUUAUAGAGUCGUAAAAUAAUAUUGUAUGGUUUGUUGUUAGUGGUUGCUUUUUGGAAAUUUAUAACAGGGAUGGAGUAGUACAAUCUUAUAUAUUUUACUCAUGUAGUAGUAUAAUCUAUUAAUCAAAUGAAUUAUUAUUGGAAUUGGUAAGAAAAUGCGUUAUAUAUUUAAUUUAAGUCGUUAACUGCCAACAAUAUCUAUCAAAAUAAAAAUAAAAUUUACAUGAUUCAACUGUCUUAAAUAUCACUUCAACAGAAAAGUGUAUUUAUCAUCAACCACAAGAAAAAAACAUUUCAAACACCCAUUGUCGUAAAAAUCCCUUCAAAAACUAAUUAUCUUAAUAUUCAACCACGAAAAACUAAUUAUAUUAAAAAUUAAUUGUCUUAUCAUCAACACAAAACUCGAACCAUUGCAAAAAACAGUUGUCUUAAACCCACUUCAAAAACCAAUUGUAUUAUUAAACCAGCAUCACAAAUACUUUACUCAUCACCAUUGAGCUCUAUAACAAUACUAAUCACGUCCAGAGAAUUUUCAUCACUGCCUUCUUUUCCCUCUUCCGCCAAGCCUUCAUCCACCUUCUCUUCCAGAUUCUCCUAUUCUCGUUCUUCCUAUUCCUUCUCUUGAAAACAAAUAUCUUGCUCUUAUUAUUUAUCUUCUUGUUACUUCUCUUUGGACUGAUCCUCUUCUUUUUCUUGUUUUUAUUCCUUCUCUUUGAACUUCUCCUCUUCUUUUUCUUGUUCUUUGUUCUCUUCGAGUUUCUCCUAUUAUUUUUCUUUUUCUUUCUUCUAUUCGAUCUUCUCCUCUUCAUUUUAUUUUUGUUUUUUAUCUUCCAACUUCUGUUGUUUUUCUUCUUCUUUCUCUUCCAGUUUCUCCUCUAAUUUUUCUUUAUAUUUUUCUGCCAUCUCUUCCUCCUCUUGGUCAUUAUCUUCUUCUGUAUAUUACUUAUCAACAGCAACAAGAUCUUCAUUGAUUUUUUCCAUAUGAACGGAUUUCAUCAUUAUCAACUGCAACACCAAUUAUAUCGAAUAUAUUGGUAUUGUAUAGUGUUCCUGAACUGCUACAAGAUCAUUCGUUUAGUAUUCUUACAACUAAAUUAUUUUACACAAAUAGUAUAUAAAUUAGUCUAUCUUUAAUUUUUUUUGUUCUUUUGAGCUAUCCUCAAUUUCUAAUCUCGUAUAAAUGCAAAAAAUUCCAUCAUUGAUAGUUCAAGGAGUGCAACACCCUCACACAAAUUAUCAUCUUUAUUUUCCUAUCCACUCGAAAAAGAAUUUUGAUAUGGUUCAUUGGAGAUUUUAUCACCCAAUAUGUCAUCCUCCUCAUUCUCUACUGCUGAAGUAAGGACAGUGACACCUUUCAAAUUGACCUUUAAGGCAUUUAUGUUUGUUUUCUUCACUUCUUUUAUUUAUGAAUUUUAUGCUUUCAUAUGAUGUUUUUGUCUCACGAACAGUAAGUGUGAGGUAUGAGCGCACAAUCUACAAAAAAAAUUAUAAAUAGUACAACACAUUCACUAAUUUUACAUAUAUUGAUAGAUAAUAAUAAAUAAAUCUAUACAUUUGUACUUCUCCUCUUGUACUUAAAUGCAUCUCCUUUGAUAAUAUUAUCUCUCUUUGUUGUGUGCCAUCUAAGUAAACGUGGAAUGGGCAGAGGAGAAUCCAAAGACUUCUUUGUGAACUUACCAAGAGACUAUGAAAUACUAUACAAAUAUAUAAGAGUUCAUUAUAAAUCAACUAUAUAAAUGAUAAUAACUUCCAGAAAUUCCCAGGGGAAGCCAUACAGAGAAUACAAUGCAUUCCCUUUUUAAUUGUACACUUCACUCAACUCUUCUUCAUAUACUUCAAUAUUGGAUCAAAGCAUUCUUUACCCCAUAGAUAACUCUUGAACAAAUAUAAAUCAUCCAGGAUCUUCAUGUGGUUUGAAUCAAUAAUAUUAGAUCAAUCAUGGUCAAGUAACAUCGAGUGGACAAAUAAAACUAAAGAGAAUUUCAACUUCUACUCCUUAUUCAAUCUAGUACCCUAAAUCAAAAUUAUAAACUUUGGAGCUAUAUUAUUUUAAUUUUUGGUCAAUUUAUAAUGAAAUCUUUCACCAUUGUGAAGUACUUUUCUCAUUUUCACAUCAUGGAAGUAUGCUAAGCAAUUCAGCCCCGUAAUUAAUGGAAAUUCUUUUAAGCCAAAAAUCCAGGCUUAUCAUUCACAUAGAACCUCAUCUCAUCCAAUUUUUUUUUUACCAUUUUUUAAACUUCAUUGAAGAAUAUAAUGGACCAUCUAUCUAUUGAAAUAGUCAUAUUCUGGAGUAUGCCGCAAAUGCCCAAAACAAGUACCUUUAAAAUCAUUAUAAAUUUUUCCUUGAAAUAAAAGUAUCCUAAAUUAAAGAUAAAGAGUCAUUAUUUCACACAUAGAAAUUUCUCUAGAUAUGAUCCUUACUCAUCCAUCCAUGUCGCUAGAUUAUAGGACUUACCAGAGAUUUUUAUUGCUCAAAUUUGCAAGAACAGGGGAUCAUCAUCCUCCAGUUGCUUGGGUACCUUUACUACUUUUCUCAUCUCCUCUGUAAGUUUUCUUUUCACUAGAUUUAACAUCGUCACUAGCUAGUCUUUGACAUAAGAAUGAUAAUGUAAAGAAUACUGAACGACUAAUUGUUGUAUGAAUCUUCUAAAAAACCUAAGAUGGACGUUGGGAAAAUUCCCGUAAUAUCUUAAUGAACUAUAUUCCCAUAAUAUCUUAAUGAACUAUAAUAGUAAGAAAAUAAAAGAGUCCUCUUGAAUGUGAGGAGGCUACCAACUAACUCUGAAUGAUCAAGCUGAUCAAUGGGGCGAUGGAUGCUGAUCAUGGUUACCUGCGUCUGGAUCAUAUUACUAUGCAUACCAAGUAGCAUCAGUGCAUUGAAUGUAAGUGUAAGCGAGUUGAAAUGCUAACAUGCUUAGAAUUGAAAGAGAUUAUGAAAAACAACACUUACCUCGGCUCUUUUCAACUCCUGAAAAAUGAAAACGACAGGUAAAACAAUAACAAACUUAACUUUACUCAUACAAAAGUAAUAUAACUUAUGUGGGAGAUUCUCUAAUCAAAAAUCAUCGCGAUGAGCCUAAGUGAGUAAACUUUUUACCUCUUGUUGUCACAGACUAUCAUGUACCUUGCGAUCGGCAUAGUACCUGAAUUGCUAAGUUGAUCCACAUAUCUAUGCUAAAUAGCACUAAGGAUUCAUCUAAAAAGUAUGACCUUAUUUGGCUCAUUAUGACUAUAUUGUUUAUGGUUGCUUAAGUUAAUAUGAACUCGCAUUCCCAUAUCGAUGCUCAAUACUAAUCCAAAAAUGUACUUAGAUCAUAUUUUUUUAAAACAACUUCUUCUCUAGUUUGAGAUUAUUACUCAAACUUAGCUUAAAACCUCCCUUGGAAUCAAUGUUCCCUUUGAACGUAUAAAAUCUUUCGGAAAUCUCAGUUUCUUCUCAUCUUAAAUGUGAAAACACUUACUUUUAGAAAUAAUUAGUUUAUUUUAAAGAAAAUGAACUUUUCUCUUACGCUUUACUUAACUUCAUAACUUAAGUCUUAGAAUAAAGUUGAAACGUUUUAAAAUACAUACGAAAACUUGCAAUGACCUUGUCUUGCAUGAAUAUAGACUUCUCUUGACUUUGAUCCUAACUCUCCUUGUAUUGGAUUAUAGAUUGAAGGUUAUUAUUCGUGUUUCUGGAUGAUUUCUGAGUGAAAAGAAACCCUUUGAAGUAAUUGGAAUCAAUGGGAAGUGUUAGAACACUUUAGAAGGACUUAAAUGGGCUGAAAGAUGAAAAUUGGUGAAAAUGACAAUUUGGGCGCACCCCUAGCACCUAGUGCCAGACUCAUUUGACUAAGGCUCCUUUUGGGAGUACUGCAUGUGCGCCGCCCCAGCCUACCCAGCGCCAUUGGGACGCGUUGUGACACCUUUUCCUUGAGGUGAAAUCUGAUAAACUUUUUGACCUCCUUUUCGGAUCUUAAAUCAAUGUAAACGAUUCUUUUGGUAAAAUUCACUUUAUAUUUAUGUACCCAAUUCAUAUACACAAUGGUCUUAACUUAGAGAACUCAAGAGAUAACACUUUUACAUCAAGAAACUCCAAAAUCUCAACUAAUGUUGAAGAACAAAAACAAAUUCAAGAACAAUUACUAAAAACAUUCAAAUUCCAAUCUUUUUGGAAUGAAUUAUCACUGAACGAAACAUGUGUGGAGCUGGGUGAACAAACUCAACGUUAUGAAAGGCUCACAUACCUUGUAAGAUAAUUAAUUCUUGGCGAAUCCGUAACCAAAAUCAUUCGUUCUUGGCGAAUCUUGCUUUUCCUCUUCUCCUUUCUCUUGUGUUCUUUCUCCAAAAUAACUAAAUCUAUUUUUCAAAGGCUUAAUGUGAACCAACUUAGUUUUGACCUCACUUAUUUUAUUAAAAAUAUAUUUAAAUAAAUGGUCAAGGAAAAUACCAAACUACCCCUUAAAAGUCCAGACUGGACUUUCCUUAUUCGAAGAUCCAACUUCGAAAGAGCAUAGCUUACUCAUACAAACUCAGAAUUGCACAAACUUGGCAACGUUGGCAAGAUUACUCCAAGAGAUUUCUAAGUAUAUAUUGAUGUACACCUAACUCAUCCUGAGCUAGAAGUUAUGUUCAUUUGAAGUUAAACAAAACUAAAUUUUCCUAACUUAAACAAUUUUCCAGAUUUUUAUUAUUUCAACAAAAUGACUAUUUCCACUUCUAAGCUUCUUUUUAUUUAUUUCUAAUUGUGAAAUGUUACAUUAUCUUCCCCUUGGGAACAUUCGUCCUCGAAUGAUAUUACUCUUACUAGGAUAAAUGUGUAAUGUUCAACAACUCAAACACCCUUAUCAAGCAAUUCAAUUAAAACAUUAAACUUACAAUUCAAAUACCUAGAAAGGAUUAGUACAUUAAUUUGGAACUUCUCCAAAUUCGAACAUAUGUGGAUACCUCCUCAGCUUCCCAAAUAUCUGCUUCAAAGAAUUUAAUCCUCUAAUGGACUUUAACUUAUACAACCUCCUUUGUUCUCAACUUGCGAAUUUGAAGAUCUAGAAUCUUAGCCGAAAUGUCCUCAUUAGAUAAGCAAUACUUGAUCUCAAUAUUUUACGUUGAUAUGACCAAUGAAGUAUAACCCAUGCACUUCUUCAAGAUGGAGAUGUGAAAUACCCGAUUAACCACUGCUAAAUCCUGUGGUAGCUCUAACUCAUAGUCUAUUUAGCUUAUCCUCUUGGAUAUUAUAUAAGGUCCAAUACACCAUGGACAAAUAUUCCCCUUCUUAUCAAUACUCAUAACCUCCUUCGUGGAUGAAACCUUUAAAUAUACCCAAUCAUCUACUUCAAACUCUAAUGCCAUUAUCUUAACAUCUGUGUAGGAUUUUUGAUGACUCUAUGUUGUUUUAAACCUUUCUUGAAUUACUUUCACCUUCUCCAUAGAUUGGUGGACUAAACUUUGUCCUAUCAACCCUGUUUUACCAAUUUUAAACCAUCCAAUAAGGGAUCUACAUAUUCUUCCAUAAUGAGCAUAACAGUGAGCCAUUCGGAUGUAAGAAGUGUAACUAUUGUUGUCAGCAAACUCAAGUAAAGGUAGGUGAUCAUCCCAUUUACCUCUGAAAUCUAUCACACAUGCCCUCAACAUAUCUUCUAAUAUCUGAAUGGGCGCUCUCCUUGACCAUCUGGCUGAGGAUGAAAGGAAAUACUUAAGUUCACCUUUGAACCUAAGCCUUUCUAAAAAGAGUUUCCAGAAGUCUUUCAUGAUGACCAUCCCGGAGUCCCUCCUGAAAGAGAAAUAGAGUUUGGUAGUGACAUCAUUAUAGAUACUCGUUCUAUCUCUAUUCCACCAUACAUAAUGACACCCGUAGAUUUGAAAUAUUUAAAAAACAAUUAAUGUAGGGACUGGCACUCGAAGACCAUUGCUGGACUAAAGCGGACCCUUUUCCUUACUUACUGAGCUUUGCAGAAGACUCUAGAAUUUUUACAAUGAUCAAAUGAACUUAAUCAAAUAACUAAAUAAUAUAACUUAGAAUGUUAAAAGCAUCAAACAUUCAACUCGGCUAAAAAUGGUAACCCAAGUCUUUACAUAAGAAGGAUAAUGUAUAGACUACUUAACUACUAACUCUAUAUAGAGCCUCUAAAACAACUGAGAUGGAUGUUGGAAAAAAUCCCACAACAUCCUAAUGAACUAUACUAGAAAGAAAUAAACAAGUCCUCUAGAAUGCGAUAAGGCUCACAAAUAGACUCUGAAUGCUCAAACUGGAUUAACGAGACGUUAGAUUCUGAUCCUAGCUACAUGCGUUUGCAUCAUAGUACGAUGAAGGCCAAUUGACAUCAAAACAUUUAAUGUACAAGUAUGUGAGUUUGAAUGCUAACAUACAUAGGAUUGAAAGAGAUUAUGGUACAACAACUUACCUUGGGUCCUUUCAACUCAUGAAUAAAUCAACUAAAUAUAAAACAAUAAAACAAAUGUGAUAUAUAAAACAUCUGAAGAAAAUCUUAGUUCAUUAAAGGUAAAACAAUAACAACCUUAAAAUUAACAUAACUUCUAUGGGAGAUUCUCCCACAGACAACCAUCACUAUGAGCCUAAGUGAUGGUACAACUAUUUAACUCACAUUGUAAAGGACCGUCCUAUACCUUGUCAUUGGUAUAAAACCUGAACUACUAAGCGGAUCCACUAGUCUAUGAUAAAAGUAACUAAGGAAUCAUCUAAAAAGUAUGACCCUUUGUUUUCUCAUGAUAUCUACAUGGUUUAUGGGGGAUUGAGUUAAAAUAAACUCGCAUCUCUAUAUCGGUGCUCAAUGCUACUCCCAAAAUUUACUUAGCUCAUAUAUUUUUAAAACAACAUCUUCUCGGGUUUGAGAUACUUACUGAAACUUAGCUUAAUAGAUUUCUUGGAAUCAAUGUCCCCUUUUAUUGUUCAGAUUUCUUUUUGAAAUAGUUUCUUCUCAUAUUAAAUGUGAAAACAUUUACUCUUGUGAACACUUAGUUCCCAUAUAUCAUUUUAAUGAAAAUGAAAUUUGCUCUUACUCUUCACUCAACGUCAAAACGACUUAUAUCAACUAGAAAUGAACUUCUCUUACUUGACUUGACUUCUGUUUAGUGUGAUCAUAACUUUUCUUGAAUUGGAUUAUGGGUUCAUGUUUAUGAUUCGUGUUUGUGGUUGAUUUCUGCACAAAAUGAUGAAAAAUUAGUGAAAGCGAUGAUUUAGGAUCACCUUUCCCCAUUUAACUGAGUCUCCUUUUGGGCAUACUACUGGUGUGCCUCACCGGCAUGCCUGGUGCUAUGGGGGUAUGUUGCAUCACUUGUUAGUUCAGGUUAUAUCCGAUGGACUUUUGACCUUAUUUUCUGAGAAUAAAUCUGUUUAACAAAAUUCUUUUUCUCAAGUUCACUUUAGAUUCAAGUACCCAAGUCAUAUACAAAAUGAUAUAUUAAAGAAAGUUCGAGAGACAACCUUAACAUUAAGAAACUCCUAAAUUUCAACUCAUGUUAAAGAAUGAAAACAAAUUCAAGAACAAUUACCAAGAACAUUAAAAUUGCAAUAUUUUUAGAAUGAAUUAACGAUAAAUUAAACAUAUUUUGCAAGUGGGAGAACAAACUCAACAUUAUUAAAGUCUCACAUACCUUGUAGGAUAAAUUUCUUGGUGAAUCCGCAACCAAAAUCGAUUGUUCUUGGUGAAUCUUGCUUUUUCUCUUCUGAUUUCUCCAAAAGCCAUAAAUUUUUUGUUCAAAGGCAUAAACUGAAAUCACUCAAUUUUGACCCCAAUUAUUUUAUCAAAUACGGAUUGAAUUAAUUGGGUAAAAGACAGACCAAACUACCCCUUAAAAAUCUGCAUUGGACUUUGCUUAUUCCUACAACCAAACUUUCGAAGGGCAUAACUUACUCAUAUGAACUAAGAAUCACACAAUGUUGGGGGUGUUGGAAAGAUUAUUCCAAGUGUUUUCCUGCUAUAUCUAGAAGUACACCUAACUAAUCCUGAGCUACAAGUUAUAACCAUUUAAAGUUGACCAAAACAAUUUUUUUCGUAACUUAAAUUUUUUUCCAAAUUUUCAUUAUUUCCACAAUGACUAUUUUCAAUUCUAAGAUUCUUACUAGUUUUUCAAACUACACGAAGUUACAGAUUUGUUAGAGAAUGAUCUCUUUUAUGGAUUUUGAUUAUUUUGUAAAGCAAGUUUAUGGAAGAAGACUAUGAGUUUUGUGUAACAUUCCGAGGUUUACUCAGAAAAUGUUUAUACCUAAUAUUAUUAAAUAUUUUUAAUAUUUCCUAGUAUGGUAAUUUAAUUUUUUACUAUGGAGGCAUGAAUUUAUUUAAGGUUAAGGUGUUGCAAUGAAAAGAAUAUAUUAGAUACGUGUAUUUUUAUUCAGAAGUUCUUAUAAUGAUGAAAAGGUCCAUGAACCCAAAACCAAAACCCCACUUUCUCACUUUUCUUUCCAUAACCCUACAAAUUAACUCAAAAAGAAAUUUGGUGGCUUUUUUUUCAAACUAUGUUUUUUAGGUGAUCCCAAUAUCAAUUCUUCUGCAGUGACUUUUGGGCUAGAAUAAAGUCAAGUGUACAGGCAAAGACUAUUUAUUAAAGUUGUAUAACAGUGUUAAAAUGUGGGUAGGAAAAGAGGAGGUAGUUAAUUAUGAUUCUAACAGUCAUAUAAGCGUUUGUUUGUAUUGUAAACGUUGAGAGUGUUACAUUGGUGCUUUCAUCCAGAUGUUUCUAAUGGAAAAGUACCAAAAACUAAUGUCCCUCGAAGACUCCUUACAGAGGGUGAAAGAAUCAUUCUCGCGUGACAUAUCUGAAAUUCGAUCUAAGUUGAAAGAGGUGGUGGAUCAUGUGAUGGCCCUCAAUUCUGGGAAUAGUACUCAAGUAGUGCCAACAUCUCUACCACAUCAAACUACUGAAGUUUAGGGAGGACAUACACUGACACAUCCUACUUUGCAUCACAAACCUUCUUUAGUUGAAUUAGGACGAUUCGAUGGAGUGAUUCUUUAAUCGUGAGUCUUCCAAGAAGAUCGCUACUUUGAAUUUUAUGGAAUCACGGAGGACCAUAAACUAACACUAUCAUCUUUCUGCUUGGAUGGUGAUGCAUUGGAAUGGUAACGAUGGUUGUUUAAUAAUAAACAAUUAUUUAAUUGGGGGACUUUUGUUGGGAAGUUUCUAGUCCAAUUUUGAAAACGAGAUCUAGAGGCACCCGAGGAUCGAUUUUUCAAACUUUGGCAGACCACUAAGGUGGUUGAAUACCUGAGUCAUUUUGAAAUAGUUUUUAAUGAGAAAUGAUAUUAUAAUUAUUGUUUUAAUUCGUGAUCCCAUAAAAUUAAUAAAGCUACAUGUUUAUCUCAUAUAUACAGGAAAAUGAUCCUUCUUGAAUGGGGAUCCUUUGAGCUUGAUUUAGUAAGGCUCCACUACUUCUUCCAAUACUCUGGUCUUCCAUAUAUAGUCUCAAAGCCCUCCAUUUCGAAAAAAAUAUCUUCAGUUGCCCAAACUACAUUGAAUCAUCCGCCAAUGAGACACCUUUCCCCUGAACAAUUAUAAAGUCGAUGGAAAUGUGGUCUUUAUGAUUAUUGGGAUGAAAAAUUUGAAGAUGUCUUUCAAAAAUCUCCAGUUCCUCCUCCUUUAUAGAGUCGGGACGAUACAAUCCAUCUAGUCUCAUGGGCAAGCCGGCUGAUGUUAAACCAUAUUGAUAUCCUUAUUUCCAGAAGCAAGUUAUGGAGCGAAUAUUGCCUGAAAUGCUAAAAGAAUUGAUAAUCAUGACAAGUACUAGAUCGUUUCCUCUCAUGUAUUUUUUGGUUUAAAAAAAAGAUAGCACAAUGCGGUUUUGUAUCGACUAUCAUGCAUUAAAUGCAAUCACAAUUCGUGAUAGAUUUCCAAAUCAUACAAUUGAUAAAUUUUUGAUGAAUUAAAUGGUACCUACUAUUUUUCCAAGUUGGAUUUAUUGUCUGGAUAUCAUCAAAUUAGGGUUCAUUCCAAGGAUGUAACUAAGAUAACAUUUCUCACUCUUGAUGAACAUUAUGAAUUUCUUGUCAUGCCAUUUGGCCUUACAAACUCACCCUCGACAAGCAACUAUGAAUGAGAUAUUAAUACCUUACUUGCGUUGAUAUGACAUGUUAUUCAUUGUUUACAUUUAAAUAUAUAGUCUUACUUGUACCGAUCACAUGGAAUAUUCGUUCUCGGUUCUUCAAUUAUUAUGUCAAUAUUAACUGGUAGCCAAGCAGUCAAAAUGCAUAUUGGACAAGAAUAACUUUAUUUCUUGGGACAUAUUAUCUUAUCUCAUUGAUUGUCUGUCGACCCAAGAAAAUUGAAAUCCAUCAAUCAAUGGGAACCACCUCAUAUAGUGAAAGAAGUGCAAUGUUUUCUUGGAGUUGCAAGCUACUACCGACAAUUUCCACAAUAUUAUGCUUCCAUAGAAGGUUUAUUCACUUAUUUGCUUAGGACAUAGGUUUUUUGGUUGACACCAUAAACUCACAUAACAUUUGAAACUUUGAAGACUAAACUAGGUUUCAUUACAUUAUUGGCAUCAUCAAAUUUCAAUCAGAAAUUUUAGUUAGAGUUUGAUACUUUGGGGAAAGGGAUUGGUGACAAUCUAUCUCAAAAGGGGCACCCGAUCGCUUCUUUUAGUAAAAAAUUCAAUGCGAGGAUGAAACGAAUUUGACAUAUCAUCGUGAAAUAUUUUCCAUUACUUAAGCUACAAGUAAAUGAAGUCAAUAUCUUCUUGGUUGAAGAUUUACAAUACUAACUAAUCAACAGUCUUUGAAAUACCUCACUAAUCAAACCAUAAUGACUCACUACACUAGUGGAUUACGAUUUUCAUAUCAUUUAAAGUCUUGGGAAACAAAACUCAGUUGUUGAUUCGAUCUCUCGUGAAUUUGAUACUUCUCUUCUAGCCAUUUUGAUAAAACCUUGAAUCUAGAACAAUAUUUGAAAUUCUUUAAUCAAUCAAAUCCAGAACUAUUGUCUAUUUAACAAGAUAUACAAAUAGAUUUGGAAACUCACACUGACUUUUAAUUCAAGGAUGGGUUGUUAAUUUUUAAAGGUAGCCUCUGAUUCCAUCAGAUGCACCACUAUGACACAAGCUAAUGUUUGAAUUCCAUGCUACGAGUUCAGAGGACAUGCUAGUGUUGCAAGAAUAUACCAUUGACUGUCUUCAAAUAUGUAUUGGUGACAAAAGUGCGAGUAUGUGAAAUCAUUAGUUACAACUUGUCAGAUAUGUAAACAAAUGAAAGACACAAACUUGCAUCCAGCAGGUUUAUUGCAGCCUCUUCCUAUACCAGAUCAUGUUUUUGAAGAUAUUGCAGUGGAUUUUAUCACUUUUCUUCCAUGUUCCAAAGGGAAAACUACUAUGCUUACCUUGGCGGAACGUGUGACCAUGUAUUGUCAUUUUAUUUCCUUACCUUCCCCUUUCUCUACAGAACUCGUAGCGGAAGCAUUCACUGUUGGUGUAAUUCUCCUUCACGGUUGUACUCACAAUAAUGUCAUUGAUCGUUACCCGCAAUUCCCCCAUUUCUUUUGGCAUCAACUAAAUCAUUCGCGGGGUUUGACAACAUUGGUUAUGAGAAGUAAAUAUAAUCCUCAAACUGAUGGACAGUCUUAAGGCCUAAUAAGUGUCUUGAACAAUAUAUUUGUUGUUGUGCUGCAGAUGUUUCAACAAAGCAGUUCACCAUGCUUCCUUGGAAUAAUAUUUUGUACAAUGCUUGUACAAAACAUCAAUUGGAAUGACAAAAGUUUAAUCAUUAUAUGGGCAAGAACCCCCAACUAUCGCUCGAUAUAUAUUGGGAGCACUGCUAGUGAAUUUGUGGAUGCUAACUUCAUACAGUGUGAUGUUGUUCUAGCGUUGUUGAAAUUUUUUUUUCUCAAAGCUCAAACAAGGAUGAAUAAGUUUUACAUAUAAACAUCAUACAGAGCUAGUAUGUGUAUUGGGCGAUUGGAUUUUAGUAAAAUCGAAACAAUACCAAAAGCUUUGUUUGCAGAUGCUGAAGGGUCAAAAUCUUUGACGUGAUAGUUUCGUCUUCUAAGGUCAUCAAUUACAUUUGAGAAUUCACAUAAAAAUUGGAGUUAUCUGUAGAGUCCAAGCACGUCGACCAUAUUUGUAUUAUUCUUGGUGUUCUUAGGAAACAAAAAUGCGUGCGAAAUUUUCGAAGUGCAAAAUUUUCCACAGUAGAAAGAAGACUAAGAUUAAGCGCUAUAGGGAAGUUAUAGGUGAAUUUUAUCCUUCAAUAUUCAAGUAAUAUAAAGGUAUGGUAACUCUUCCCCUUUGGAAUUCCUUUCUCCAAAGGAUUCUUCCAAAAUUAGUUUCAAAAAAUUGAUUAUCAUAUGGGUUUCUUUCUAAUAAAAAUUUGAUCUUCUAGAUUGUAUUUUUUAUAGUUUCUUUUGAUUAUUAUGAUUAGAUUAUGAUGUAUUAUGAUUUAGUUCUGCUAGUUCUUGAUGAUUUUACCUAGUAUGUGGAAUAGAUCAAGAAUUAACCCAAAUUCAUUACCAUAGGUUAUGAACUAUUGUUGAAUUCAACUGUAGUGAUGCCAUUGACUUAGAUACUAUGUUAAUUACUAUUGAGUGAUGUGAAUACAUCUAUGAUGUUAUUGUACCUAUUAAUGGAUAAAAUUGGUUGGGAAAAGAUAAAACCAUGGAUGAUGUCUUUUCAAGGAGAAUUUGUAAGACUUUGUGAUCUUCAACCUUUACUUCAGCUAUGAUGGCUUGUACUUGAUGAUGAACUUCAAUUGAAGUAUUUCUUGUGAAUAUAUUAAGUAGAUAUUUGUAUGUUGAUUCAAUUGAAAUGUCUUGAUUAGGAUUAUGAGGUUAUGAUUAAGAUGUAAUUAUAUAAGGUUUGUUAUGAAGUACCAACGUGCCUUACUAUGAUAUUAUGAUGAUAAUGUGUUAAUCUCACAUAUGAGGGUUGCAUGAAAAAGGUUCUCAUGAAAUUCCUUUUGAGAUAAUGACUAUGAAUAUACAAGGAGUUAGUCUCCUAUGACCUAAAUUAUGUUAUGAUUCUUAAAGAAAGACAUUUCAAAAGGGACUCUAGCUUAAUACCGAGUGAAUUAGUAGUAAGGAGUGUCCCUUCCCAAGUAGUGAAGGUACGUUCUCUAUUGUACUCAUGUGAUCGAGAUUACAGUGUCAAAGGCAUAAAAAGGGUCUUAAACAUUUAUCCUUAUUCUUUAAUUAUGUUUCCUCCAAAGGAAUAUUGGCUAGUGGAUCCAUGCAGAUACUAUAUUCAUGUAUUGGGACUAGCUUGGCAAGUAGUCCAACUUCUUUCGGUGUAGGGUUCCAUGAAACCGGAUUCCACAUUACCUCAUGUGGUGUAUGUAGGUUAAGAAAAGAUGUUCCCGAAAGUAAAAUGAAGUAAAAAAGUGAAUUCCAACUAGGAGGACUUAAGGGGUUUUACUUAGUCUAGGUAGGGGUAGGGGGCUCUACCUAUACAUUGCACUAGUUGUCCUUGAGGGAAGUCGUAGGAGGAUGUUCUUAUGUUCUUAUGCCCUUAUGAAAUGAAUUACAUGCUUAUUUUGAUUUUACAUGCUAAGGGUAUACAUUUAUAAAUAUGAUGGUAAAUAAUUAUGAUGCUAUAUUAUGUGAAGUUAGAUAUUAUUUAUGAUCCUUUUGUUGGUUUACUUGGUUGAGUGGGGUUGUGGGGAUUCACUUAGAGAUUGCACUAUUAAACUUCGUAUGGGGUUAUGAGAAAGGGUUUUGCUUGUAUUAUAAUGUUAUGGACUCUUGAACAUGCUUUUUUCUAUACAUGAUGUUAGAGAUUGCUUUGGCUAUAAUUCUAAUAUAUUACAAAAAUUUUUACUUGACUUUACUUGAUGAUGUUUGUAUUGUGUUAAAUAUACCAUUGAUUAUGGAAUAUAUGAUUAUUGUCUUGUAUGUGGUCUUGGUUGUGCAUAAGGCUUUAGAAAAGUAACUUGUCAUGGUUUUGAACAAAUGUCUUUUUUUUUGCAUGAUUUCUAUGUUGUGUGUGCAUAUGUUUCUAUACUUAGUACAAGUGAUUUACUAACAACUAUUUCUCCCUUUUCCCCCAAACAUUUUAAGUUUCGGUUAUUGAAGGGUUCGUGGACAAUUUGCACGAGGGCUUUGAUCAUUUCUCCAAGUGUGGUAUGUCCUUAUGAUAUGAGGAUGAUGUAUUUUUUUAUUUUAUCUAUGAGACUUGCUAUAGUUUAAUGACAUUCUUUUAAUUCUUAUUUUUCAAGACAUUAUUGUAAGCCAUAAGUGGUAAUUAUACAUUUGUGUAAGGGCUAUGCCCGAAUCUUUCUAUUUUGACAUAGAUGGUUUUAUAUGAUAUAUUUCUAUUAGACCUUAUAUUAUAUAUAUAUUGUAUAUGUGACAUAAAAGUAAUAGAUUAUGUAAGCUUCCUAUGUGAGGAGUCUAAGUAAACUCCCUAUGUAUAUAUUAGGUGUAAGCGAGAUAUCUAUGUAAACCUCAUGAUGUAGAUAUAGAUGAAAAGUUUUAAUUUUUUCACAUUUUUAACCUAUGAUAUGUAAUGAUGAAUGCUAUGAGGCUAGUCUUAGUCCUUUACGAGGACGACAACUCCAUGUACGGUAGGGGGUGUUCCCCAGGUGUGAAAACUUCAUUAAGUGAUUAAGUGUGUUAAAACUGUUGAGAACCUAGACAUAUGACAAGGAAAUCAACAAGACCAUGGAGGUUGGAGAAAUGGUAAUGCAGGUGGAGGAUUAGUGCAAUCAGGCAAGGAGCUUGCUCGUCAAGAUGACAUUGCUAAAUUUUAUACCUUUGGAGGCAAGAAUGAGGCCGAGGGUUGGAUGCAAUGACCGUAACUACAGUUAUUGUUUGUGAUCGGAUGGCUAAUGUGUUAUUUGAUCUUGGUUCUACUUAUUCUUAUGUGUCCAUGCGAUUUGCCUGAAAAUUCGAUAUGAUUUGUGAUAUACUUGAUGCCCUUAUCCAUGUAUCUACCCUAGGUGAAGAGUCAGUCAUAGUCACCCAUUUAUAUCAUAUUUUCAUAUUGUUUUUAUGAAUUUUCUUUGAUUUAUUGAUGUUGGAUUUGACCAACUUGAUAUAAUGUGAAGUGUGAAUUGGUUGUACUCUUAAUCUAUUGUGCUUAAUUGUAAUGCUAAGUCAGUAAACUCUAGAGAUCCAAGGUAGAGAAAGGUUAGAGAAGGAAGGAGGUACAAUCCUAAGUCUGCUAUGUUCAUAUAUUUCAUGUGGGGUAGGAAAAAGUGGGGAAGGAUUGUUUGGCAUAUUAGAUCAUAUUCAGAAUGUUGAGGUUGAGUCUCCUUCUAUUGAGUCUAUGUGCUGUAUUGUCCGAAUAUAAAGAAGUAUGUCCCACUGAUUUGCCUGGUAUGUUACCUGAUCGAGAUAGAUUUCUGCAUUGACUUAGAAAAUGGCACUCGCCCCUUCUCCACUUCUCCUUAUCACUUUCCUCUAGAAGAACUUAUAGAUCUUAAAGCUUAAAUCGAAGGGCUUCUUGAUAAGUAUUUCAUCCAUCCUAGUGCUUCCCUAUUGGGUGCUCGUGACAUGUUUUUUAAGAAGAAGGAUAGUAGUAUGAGGACUGGUGAUAAUCUUAAGCCACAAAGAAGCGCAUCGACACCAGAAGGACAAACUUAUACAUAAAUAAUGCCCUAAUUAUUAUAUUUUUGUGAUGAAUGUUAAAGAUUUUAGUAAGAAAUUGCAAAUAAAAUGGGGUUGGUUUGUAGAACUUGAUGAGUAUAUAUAUGAUGAGUUUUCAUAUUGAUGAAAAUUUUUACUUCAUAGUGAUAGUGAAGUAUGCCUGAGUGUAAUGGUAAUACGAGUUUGUGAUGGAUUGUCAAGGGAUGGAAAUAUAUAAUUAAUGAGAUUAUUGGUUAAGCAAAAUUUUUACAGUAAUUACGUCUUGAGAGUAUGUAGGGUUGUGGUUUUCUAUUUUUUUAUGAGUAGAGUGGUGGUAUGAAAAGUUUUAUGGUGAGACACUACUCAGAUAUAAUUUUAAAGAGGUAGAGUCAUAGUGAAGAAAAAUAGUGGAAUGUAGUACAACCUUUAGAGAGAGGCAAGAGCAAUAAUAUUUUAUUUGAUUGUAGAGGCUAGAAAUGUAUCUUCUAAGGGGUAGAUAAUUGGGUUUAGAGGCACGUGAUGUCAUUCAUUUUGUUGUGGCUAUGGUAAUUGUGUCAUAAGUAUAUCAGAUUUGUUCAAAUCUAUUUAAAAGACUUAGGAAUGAAGUGUACAAACAUUAGCUUGAGUGUGAUGAUAGGUUUUUUGUUUUAUUUUGAAUUUAGUAAUAAAUACUAUUUAUUUAUAGCAUAAAUAUUGUACGAUUGAUGGAGAUGUAAUCAAUCAUAAGCGAAGAUCAAGUAUUUCAUGAAAAAACUUCAACUUACAAGCUAAUGUUUAUAGAUAAAUGGAUUGUGUUGUACGGUUGAAUUACAAUUUAGAUUUUUUAUUCUAAGUCUACAUUCGUGGUGAUAUAUUUUGUUAAGGUGUGAAUUUGAAAGGUGAGAGAUGAUCAAUUGUAUUAGGUAUUGACAUUUGAAAGGACUUACACAUGGGUUGAGUCGUAAAGCUUAUUAUUGUUGAUUGUUAAGUACCUAAGAAAUGUUUUCUGUCAAAAGUUUUGGUUUAGAACAACGUCAAUUUUUGUAUUGUUCAUGAUGGUUGUGAGUAUGAUUCACUAGAUAAGAUCAUGUGUCUUUUCACUUUUGUAGGUGGAUCCCUUGUGGUUGAUCAGGUAUACCGAUUUUGCAAUGGUCUCUCGGUUGAGUGAGAAGGUUUGGGAAAACAUGGUUAUUUUAGAUGACUUAUGUGAUGUUGUCUUGGAGUUGUUAAAGUAUUUAAUUUGUUUUACAUGUACCAUAUUGCUUAUGAGACUUUAUAGAAGAGAGACCAUGUGUAUCUAUGUUUGUCCGAUAAUAUUAAUAUUCCUCUAUAAAUCGAGGUCAUGCAUCAAUUAUGUCUGACUGAAUAUGGGGAUCAUUGGGUCCAAUUAUACUGUUUUUUUAGAGGUAAUCUACAAUUGCUAAAUCUAUAAUUUUGAUAGUGUUUUUGGAGGGAGGGUUUGUAUGCUUGGAAAUAUCCCUCUAUGAGUAUUUGAUUUCAAAAUAUUAAUUUUUUAUAACUCAAGCUCAUGUGAAUUUAGGUUGUGAGAUGUAGAUGUCGAUAAAAACAAUAGUUUUUUUUAUAUUAUCAGUGUGUGUUAGUUUGUUCAUGUUCACCUCCAAUUAUGGUGAGUUUUGAUUUAUGAUUUUAUCAUUGUUAUGUGAGAAAGAAUUUUUCAAGAUGUUUGCGUCGAUGUCCUUGAUAACAUGUUGCAGACAUUUGUACGAUCAACAUUGGUGGUCAUUUAGCAUAGCUUUGUUGUUAGUUACGUGUACAUACAACAAUAAUCAUCAUACCAGUAUUGUGAUGACAUUAUUAAGGCAUUGUAUAAAACAAUGAGAAUCUGUAUUGUUAAACCAAAUACUUUAGUAUGAGGAAAACAUGAUUGCAAUACUUGAUUGUGAUGUCCGAAAGCAAAGGACAUAUAGGAAAAGUAUCUCAUGUUAUUCAAUGAUUCAAAUACAACUCUACUCUUACCUUAGCCAGUCUUUCCUAGUUGAUCACUUUGGGAUGAGUGAUGAGUAAAUUGGGAUCUAUUGUAAAUAACUAACUCAAUUAUUAGUGAAAAUCCUAUGGGAAAAGAAUUGGGGACAGAAAACUCUUUGGUAGUAACUUGAGAAUUCCUCGCCUAGUCCAAAUUUGACAAAAAUUGGAGUCAAUGAGGGCUAGGAAUAUAUGGUAGGUAAUUAGAGAUAUAAUAAUAAAUUUUAUUUCAUGAGAUGAUAUCUAAGACAUUAAGGAACCCACACAACUUUAUGGAAUUGAAUUCUAGAGGUAGAACUCUCAAAACUUAUCAUAGUGUGAAAGGUACUUUCUGAGUGACAUGUGAUGAAGGUGUGUUCUAAAAUGGGGGCUUGGAAUUCAAAUUCAAACAUUCUAUCUCUUUGCAAAGCGCUGUAGAGGCAUAGAUGUUGUUGUAGUAGGGCCACUGAAGCGAGGCCAUUGUAGUGCGAUGAGUCCCGUUGUAACGGGACAGACGUGACUUAAGUAAGAAAUACAACCCCAAAACUGUUUUUAUUAUGCACUUUUCAAAAAUUCAAAGCUAGGAAACGACCUCAGACGACUUCCUGACCCUUUUUCACUAUUCUUGAGGCUAAAAAUAAGGUUUUCACUCUCCAAAUCCAUGUUUUGAUAUAUAGAACUUAGUUUCAUCGAUAAUAAGCGAUGGGGGUUUUGAUCUGAAAAUUAUGGUGACAAAGAGCUCUAAUAUUGGUUUGUGGAUCCUUGGUUUGGUCUAAGGUUAUUUAGUUCCUUAAAAUCUAGCUAAUUAGACCUUUGAUUGUUGAUCCUUGCAUAUAUAUUAUUAUUUGAAGACCUAGAAGAAGCUGAAAGUGUCCGGAAAGUGAAGAUUCAAGUACCUUAAGGGAUUUAAGCAGGGUUUCAAAGUAGGUGAUGGUUGUGAUUUCAUGUUUUACGUGAUGUAUGUUAGUAAUUUAUUCAUUAUACUACAUGUAUGUAUGUGAAUGAAGUACAGUGAUCACGUGUAAUGCAAUUAAAAAUGAACGAAGAAUUAUUGUAUUUGUGAGAAUAUUCAUUGAAAUGGUGAUAGUAGUUUGUUGAAUGGUGAGGGUGUCACAUUUUGACACACUAUAUGGGAUCGAUUACAGAGUACCUACAUAAAUAUUGAAACUGGUGUCAUAUUCGACAUACUAAGUGGGAUCGAUUGACACAUGUAGGCUAUCUCGCCCCGAGAUUACACCCUAGAUGUGGCCGACAAUCAAUGAUCAUUGUUGGCAUUGAGUGAACCUUUGACCUGGCUUACUUAAUUCAUCAGACGACUUAACUCGAUGAUAAAACAAGACAUUUUCUGAUAAAUGACUUAAAAUAAUGUAUUUCCCAAAAUGGCACUUGUCACAUCCGAUUUUACCCCCUAGACGUAAUCGACAUUGUCGUCCUUUACAAGGACUAAGACUAGCCUCGUACUUUCAUGUCAUUACAUUCAUUGGUUGAAAAUGCGGAAAAAUUUAAAAAUUUCAUUAUCACUACUUGGAGGUUUACAUAUACCUCUAAAUACACAUAAUAUAUAUUCAUAUUGAGUAUACAUAGACCCUUAGUAUAGAAAGGUUACAUAGCCAUCUACUUUUAUUGCACAUACAUAUACGUAAAACAUAGAAAUAGUAUCAAUGAUUGUCUCAUGUCAUACCAUCUAAACUAAUAUAACAAUAUGGUCAUAGCCCUUAAAUCAAUCCAACAAGACCAUGUAUUGGUCAUACUAAAGUACACUAGUCAAUUAAAAAGAAAAAAAAAUGAAAGAGUCAAUAAGCUCAUAACGAAAUCCGUAAUCUAGAGGAUGACAUUGCCCUCUAAUGUUGAAGACCUACACGACAUUCAAGAAAGGAAGAAUCCAAGCCUUCAACAAUGUUGCCUUCAAAAAUCUUCAAAGACAGGAAACCUAAAAUAUUUGGUAAAAGGGACAAAAAUGGUCAUAGUACUCCACAUGUACUAAGUAUGGGAUCUUAUGCACAUACACAAGUGAAACAUACUAAAAAGGAUUUUUUAGUCAAAACAUGCCAUUUUAUCCCUUUAGGGACUUAAUGCAAUGUCAAGUAAGUCAUAUCAAUAAACCAAUCAUUCUUACUACCUCAACAAGUAAUUCUUAUCCCAACAUACUUAAAACCAUGAUUUACUACAACCCUAAUAUCAAAGAAUAAUAUCACAAGAAUGAAUAAGAGUCAAACAUAUCAUAAUAAGCAAGACAACUAUUCAUGAGUCCUUAUAAAGUAAACAAGUGGAAUGACCAAGCCCAGCCCCAUAACCUUACUCAAUCAAGUAUCCUCAACAAGAACACAUGACUAAUGUCCAACUUUACAUAUCACGGCGUUUAGGUUUAUAGUUCAACAUAUGAUAACAUUAUAACCCAAGGCAUAGUCAUAAAUGAACUAAUAAAAAUAUAGUAGCAAUAAUGUUCCAUGGUCAUCAUAUAUACAUCAUAUAUUAUAAUAGCAUAAACAUAUAUAAGAACCUCCUCCUAGGACACCCUCAAGGCUAACUACUGCUAUGUUUAGGUAGAGUCCCAUAUCCAUACGUACACUAAGCUAGACCCCUUUGGUUAUCCAAGUUAGAGUUCAAGUUGUUUAAUUCGUUUGACCUUUUCGGGAAAAUCUUUCCCUAACCGACAUAGACCACAUGAGCUAGUGUGGAAUCCGGUGUCAAAAAACCCUACACUUAAAGACGGCGGACUAGUUGUUAAGGUAGUACCAAAACAUGAAACAAGGCAAUUACGUGGAUCCACAUGCCAGUAUUCCUAUGGGGGAAAAUAGUUCAAGAACUAGGAGAUAUAGUUGAGACCCUCUUUAUACGCCUUGCAUUAUAGUCUCCAAUCUCAAGAGUAAUAUAGUGUUCCUACCUUCCCUAUGUGGGAAGGGACACUCCUCUAUCUAGUUCACUAGGUGCUAAGCUAGAGUCCCUUUCUGAUAUGUCUUUAAGCCUUUAAUUAUAGCUUAAUUUAGGCCAUAGGGUGUACCCUUUGUAUAAUCAUCAUCAUCAAUAGCUCAAUAAGAAUUGUAUGAGUACAAGUCCUUUCAUCAAAAUUCAUAUAAGUGAGGAUAACAAAAUAACAUUUCAUAGCAUUUAAGGCACACUGCUAGUUUUCACCAUCCUUAUACCACAUACAACUUAAUCAACCUAACAUCACACUCAAGAGAUUUCAAUUCAACAUCAUUACACCCUAUAAACCUAGUAUAAGGCAUACUCCAAUUUAAUAUCAUGACUUAACACUUAAUCACAAUUGGAAGUAAAUAUAGAAAUUGUAAGACAUACGAAGUCUUUCUCAUAGUCUAUCAUCAAGGUCUUACCAUCAACCCAUAACUCAACCCAAAUUAGGGAGUAACAUUAUCACACAAUGAUAACCAAUAAAAUAACAAGGCUUAUUUCAAAUUAGGAUUCAUAACCUAAAUCAAAUCUCAAGACUAUCAUGAUAGGACAAGAAUUCAUGUUAAUUUAAUCAUAAUAGAACCAUAGUAUCGUAAUCAAAUCAACAUAUAACUCAAUUGAAUGAUCACAAUACAAUAUAGAUCAAGAUCACUACCUAGGGUUAGGGAUGUAGGAUCAUAUUAUUCAAUUUUGACCAAACCAUCAACAAUUACCAUAAACAAGUUGAAUUACAUGUUAAUGUGCUCAAUAUAACCCUAAUAAAUCAUUAACAACUAAAUCAAUAAAUUCAAUUUCGCAAUUGGAUGAAUGCCACGAGAAAACUCAACAUUUGAAUCUAUUUUAUAGGAAACCUUUGAGGAAAAAGUCUCAAAGGUAAAUAGAACUCAUACUUUAACAUUUAACAACAAUUUAAUCAUGAAUUCAUCCCUUUACAGCCCCCAAACCAUAGUCCUUGCUAGUCUUCAAUCCGUGAGUUUAUGUAGAGAGAAAAAUAAGAGAGGAGGAAGAGCAUUUAAUUGAGAGUUUUCUUUAGAUUAAUGAGGGUUGGGAGUAUUUAUAUUGGGUGUUAAAUCAACUUAAUUAGAAUCCUUUAACGCCUAAUUAAACCACCUAAACCCCUUACUAUUUAAAUGACACUGACUUAAAUUAGGACAGAAACUCGACCCUCAGAAACUUUGAUCAAUGGGCUGUCUGUGACGGAUAACCCCACCUCAGACAUGCACUCCUUCGUCUUUGUUAAAGACUGUGAAGGCAAGGGCUUCCUCCAAUUGUCUAUGUGUGGGAUGAUGGAGGCAUUGACUCCCUGUCGAUCCACACACGGACCAUAGCCUGCACCUCUACACUCCGUCGAUGAGUUCAGAGGUUGUGAGGGUGAAGGGGCCUUCUCAACCAGCCUAAGCGUGGGACGAUGGUGGAAUUGAUGCUCUAUCGAUCCAAACAUGGGUUGUCUUCUAUCCCGUCGAUGCACACUGCUAGGCAGUGUUGCAUCAAACUACAAGAGUCCUUCUCAAAGGCCGUUGGUUGAUCCCUCGGGAGUCGUACCUGGACGUUUCAACCAUGAAAAAAUUCAAACACCUAUUAGCAACCUUUCCACCAGUUUUCGUACAUUUCCGACUCCCAAAAGUUAGUGAAAUAGGUUAAGGCACUCUAACAUCCCUUUGAACACACUUCCCGAACGUUAUGGAUGUUUUGGUUAGUAAACCUCCUAAAUGACCUAUAUUCAUUAAGACUUGACUUAUAAACAGUACUUGGACAUUAUGACACCUAUGUUAGGCUUUCCAUUGAGUCUUGGACUGUCAAGGUGUUAUAUUAUCCCCCCCCCCUCUAUAGGAACAUUCGUCCUCGAAUGACACUAAAUUUCUUUUGAUGGAAGGAAUAGACUCAAGACUAGCAGACCAACCAAUCAACAAUAUCAAAUCAACAUAAAUCAUUACAUUUAAACAAGGCAAAUAUUAAAACUCAUAUUACCAUACAUAAGGCUCAAAAAACUCCAUCAUGAGGCAUUUUCCUUCUCACAACACUUAUGAUCUCAACAUACAUUAAAUGAGUUAAUAAGCACAAAGUUCAACUUAACAAUAUGCUACUUAUCAUUUGAUAAAGAACCACCAUAUCAAAAUGCACAACAUAAAUCAAUACAAGCAAAAAGAAAAAUUUCAUGUUUUUAAGAGAAAUACUACAAUAACUUCACUAUAAGUUUUUCAAAAAUGCAUAAUGUGCAAAACUUCACCAAAAAAUCAAGAAACUUCAAUUUCUAGUCAUAUUUAUAUUAUUUAAAAGAAUGACUAACCUUAAUUCUCAAAAAAUGAGGAUAAUAGGACUUCUUGUUGGCCUAGCCCUCCCAUGUUGCACCCUCAACAAGAUGGUUUUUUCAUAACACCUUUACGGAAACCACCUCUUUAUUCCUCAACUUCUGGACUUGCCUAUGAAGAAUUUGAACCGGAACUUGCUCAUAAGAGAGAUUAUCCUUGAUACCAAGACCUUCAAUAGGAAAAAUGGACAGGGGAUCACUGAUACACUUUUUCAACAUAGAAACAUGGAAAAUCUGAUGAACCGAAGCCAAUUCACUAGGAAGAUUCAAUUCACAGGCAACCUUACUAACCUUUUGCAAGAUUUCAUAGGGACCCACAUAACGAGGACUCAAUUUCCCCUUCUUUCAAAAUCUAACCUGCCUUUUUAUUGGUAAAAUUUUCAAAUACACCUUAUCACCUUCUUCACACUCCAAAUACCUUUCUCCUAUGAUCGAGAUAAGACUAUUGCCUACUAUAGGACAUUUUCAUCGGUUCCUUCUGAUAUGAACCUUUUCUAAAGUCUUGUAAAAUCAUCUCGGGACCAAGAAGUGAUGGCUCACCCACUUCAAACCAUCCAAUAGGAGACCUACACCUCCUACCAUACAAGACUUCAUAGGGAGCCAUAGAAAUGGAUGAAUGAAAACUAUUGUUUUAGGAAAACUUCACGAAAGGUAAAUGUCUAUCCCAACUCCCUUUAAAAUCAAUUAUGCACGCCCUAAGCAUAUCUUCAAGUGUUUGUAUCGUACGGUCCGCUUGACCAUCCGUUUGGGGAUAAAAAGCGGUGCUCAACUACAGCGUAAUACCUAACCCUUUUUGGAAUGACCUCCGAAAUCUAGAUGUGAAUUAUGCGCCCCGAUCUGAUAUGAUGGAUAACGGAAUGCCAUGGAAGCACACAAUGUCAUCUAGGAAGAUUCUUGCAUAAUCCUCCGCCGAAUAUAUGUACUUGACAGGAAUAAAUUGUCCACUUAGUCAAUCGAUCCGUAACCACCCAUAUGGAAUCAUAAGACUUUUGAAUCCGAGGUAAACCUACUACAAAGUCCAUAUUCAUGUCUUCCCACUUCCAUGUAGGAAUUUGGAUCUCUUGUAGUAAGACAGCAGGCUUUAGGUGUUCGUCAUUUACUUGUUGGCAAUUGUGACACUUAGCGACAAACUCCGCUAUGUCCCUUUUUAGAACUUCCCACCAAUAUAUCUUCCUUAGGUCAUGGUACAUUUUUUUCGACCCCGGAUGAAUUAAGUAGAGGGACCCAUGUGCUUCGUCUAGGAUCCUAUCCCUCAACCCAUCUACAUCGGUAGAACAUAAUCGCCCUUGGUACCUUAACACACCAUCCCCCUCUAAGGAGAAUGAUUCAUUCAACUUGUUGAGAACCAAUUCUUUCAUCUCCAUUAAGGCUAUAUCAAGGUGUUGUUGGACUUCACCUUAAGUGCAAAAGAUGUUCGGAGUUAUAAUGAACUAUAGUGCCCCCAUUCGGAGAACUCUUCAACCUCACCCUCAACCUAGACAACCUAUGUACUUCCCUUACUAGGUCCUUCUUUGCUUUGUCAAGAUGGGAUACACUACUCAUAGUCAUGCGACUUAGGGCAUCCGCAGCUACAUUAGCCUUGCCAGGGUGAUAAAGCACACUCAUAUCAUAAUCUUUCAACAACUCUAGCCACUUUCUUUGUCGAGAUUCAACUCCUUUUUGUUAAACACAUAUUGGAGAUUCUUAUGAUUGGUAAAAAGAUCAACAUGAACCCCAUACAAGUAAUGCCUCCAAAUUUUCUAAGCAAACACCACGACCGAUAACUCAAGGUCAUGAGUGGGAUAUUUUCUCUUAUGUACCUUAAGUUUCCUAGAGGCAUAAGCUAUCACCAUCCCGUGUUGCAUAAGAACACACCCCAAAUCCAUACGGUGUGAGUCACAAUAUACCAUAAAACCCUUUGUGCCCUCAGGUAUGUUAAACACUAGAGCACAAGUAAGCCUAUCUUUCAACUAUAGCAAGAUUUUCUCACAUGCCUCCGACCAGUCAAACUUCUUAUGAGGCAUAGUAUUCAAAGGAGACGCAAUGGACGCGAAACCAUCAAUACACUUCCGAUAGAAACCUGCUAAACCGAAGAAACUCCUAAUAUCACUUGGAGUCAAUGAGCUAGGCUAGUUUUUCACCGCUUUCAUUUUCGUUGGAUCUAUCUCAACUCCCUCACUGGAGAUGAUGUGCCCAGGAAAUGUCACCGACCUCAACAAAAACUAACAUUUACUAUAUUUGGCAUACAAUUGAUGUUCUUUAAGGGUUUUCAAUACUACCCUGAAAUGACCCAUAUGAUCAUCCUCAUUCUUCGAAUAUACCAAGAUCAUAAAUAAAAACAAUGACAAAUGAAUCUAGGUAAUUUUGAAAAACAUUAUUCGUUGGGUCCAUAAAUGUUAUUGGAGCAUUAGUGAAACCUAAAGGCAUGACAAAUAACUCAUAAUUCCCAUUCCUAGUCGAAAGGCCGUCUUUGUUAUAUCCUCUCCUCUUACCCUAAGUUGAUGAUACCCCGACGUGAAGCGUAACUUUGAAAAGUAACUGCCCCUAGGAGUUGGUCAAAUAAGUUAUCAAUCCGAGGGAGAGGGUACUUAUUCUUAAUGGUAACCUUGUUGCGUUGGCGGUAAUCAAUACACAUUCUCUUGGACCCAUCUUUCUUCUUCACAAAUAAAAAUGGAGCACCCGACGGAAAAAUACUAGGCCUUAUAAAACCUUAUCUAGUUAAUCCUUGAGUUGAGCCUUAAACUCCCUCAACUCGGACGGAUCCAUCUGAUAAGUAGGAAUUUAUAUGUGAUUUGCAUCCGGUAGAAAAUUAAUGCGAAGUCAAUUUCUCAUUCGGUAGAAUACCGAGAAGGUCAUUAGGGAAGACCUCCAAAAAUUCACUCACUACGGGCACCGACUUGAUGGGAGAAACUUCAGAGUCUAGAUCUUGGACUCUUACUCAAUGGUAAAGACAACCUUUUGAGAUCAUUUUGCAUGCUUUUAGACGAGAAAUAAAACGACCUCUGGGAAUAGAAUUUCCCCCUUCCACUCAACAAUAGGUUCAUUUGGGCAGUUAAACAUCACCACUCUUGUCCUACUAUCAAUGGAUGCAAAACAUGAAUGCGACCAAUCCAUACCCAAUAUACUAUCAAAAUCAAGCAUAUCGAGUUCCACUAGAUCAACAUAAGAAACUCUAUUGAAAACAUUAUUGGAUAAUUUCUGUACACCCUUUUUGCAACAAUCGACUCACCUACCGGAGUAGACACUGUAAAAGGUUCAUGCAAAAUAUCGGGUGAAAUAUCAAAUUUUUUAGCUACUAGAGGUAUAACAAAUGAUAAAGUAGCGUCGGGAUCAAGUAAGGCAUAUAAAUUAAGAGAGAAAACUUUCAACAUACCGGUCACCACAUCGCGAGAAGUCUCUUUCUCACCCUUAGAGCAGAGAGCAUAGAAGCAGUUCUUCUUGGAGCACCACCAGAACCACUUGCUUGAGCUUGACCACUACCUUUGUCUUGACACUUCAUGUUUGGUCAAUCUCUCAUCUUGUGUCAAUUCUUGCCACAAAUAAACCAAUUAUACGUCUCCUUAGGAAAUCACAAUAAUGUUUUUUACCACACCUUCCACAAGUUGGCUUCUCAUUUGGUGAAUUAGUAGCUUUUACCUUCUGCAAUUUAGGUUCAUACACCCUAUCACCACUAGCCUUUGGUAAUUUGGAAGGGACUUAAUUAGAAACCCGCUUCAUCAAUAUAGGCUUGUCUUGUAUUCCAAGCGUAUUCUUUGAAGAACCUCCAUCAUAUGACCUUGCUCUUUUAGCAUCUCUACUUUUUCACUUAGCCCUUGAAUCGUCAACCCUUCUUUCAUGCACAAUAAGACGGGAAAUGUUCAUGAUUUCAUGUAACAUGCCCGAUUGGCGCUCCUGUUGUAAGUCAUCCAACAUUCCCGUCACAAAAUGGCUCAUUUGGUCUCUAGGAUCGGAGACCAAAGAAGGAGUAUAUUUGGACAACUUAAUUAAUUCCAAAGAUUACUCAGGGACAUUCUUUCCUCAUUGGUGAAGAUUGAUGAAAUCCGUCACUUUGUCCUCCCUCAUCUCCCUAGAGAAGAACUGAUCUAGAAAAACCGCCUAAAGAUCUCCCAAGUCAUCGGACCACCCGUCAACGGCCUAUUGUCCCUCCAUUGCAUAUAUAAACUUAGAGAAAUAUCCUUGAGUUUGUAUGUGAACAACUCGGCAUUCUCACUUGAAGAUACCCCCAUAGCAUAUAGUAUCGUGUAGACCUCAUCGAUGAAUUCUUGGAGGUCUUUCGAAACCUUCGACCCAUAGAAAGUAGGAGGGUUCAUUCGAGAGAAGUCCAUUAGACGGGAUGCCACAGUAAUGACUUGUUGAUGAGGACGGGGCGUUAUAUCCUGAUUGACUUGGGCUGUGAUUGCUUGGGCUUGAACCAUCGCGACUUUUGCUUGAGAAGUCAUGACUUGGGCUUUUUGAUCAAGAAUAGUCCUCGUCUUAGCCUCCGUUAUAGGUGUAGGAUUAGGAGGGUCUUGCUCCACAUUAGCUUUUUCUUCAAGUGGAGGAACUUUCUCAUCAUGGGGAGGAGCUCCUACAUUAGCAACUUCCUCCUUAAGUCUUAGAGGCGCAUUCCUUCGAGUGUUCAUGAUUCCUAUAAGCACAACAAUAUGAUUAGAUGCAAAAGCUCACCAUAUGUAUACUUUAUUAGCACAAUAUAAGAUUUCCAUGAAAGAGAGUCAUUCGAAGUAUCAUAUAGGUUCCUACUCAUAAUUGUGACACGCUUCCCAAUUAUAAAUACAAACCUACAUAGACGUAGUUGAGAGAGAGAGAGACAUAACUCAACAAUAUUCAACCUCGUACUCGGAUACCAAGUUUGUCACAUCAGGGUUUACCCCGUAUACAUAACCGGCAUCCUCGUCCUUUUCAAGGACUAAAAAUUGCCUCUUAGCUUCAUGUCAUUACAUUCAUAGGUUGAAAAAUGCAGAAAAUUUAAAACUUUCAUUAUCACUACUUGGAGGUUUACAUAGACCUCUACAUACGCAUAAUAUAUAUUAAAAUCGAGUAUACAUAGACCCUUCAUAUAGGAAGGUUACAUAGCCUUCUAGUUUUAUUACACUUAAAUAUACGUAAAUAUAGAAAUAGUCUCAAAGAUUGUCUCAUCUCAUAAAAAAAUCAGUAAGCUAGAGGAUGGCAAUGCCCUCGAAAGUUAAGGACAUACCCCUCUUUGAUUAAAGGAAGAAUCAAAGCCUUCAACAAUGUCGCCUUGAAAACUCUUCAACGACCGGAACCUAAAAUAUUUAGGAAAAGGGAAAAAAUGGGGUUAUUACUCCACAUGUACUAAAAAUGGGAUCAUAUGCACAUACACAAGCAAAACAUACUAAAAAGGACUUUUUAGUUAAAACAUGUCAUUUUACCCCUUUAGGAACUUAAUCCAAAGUCAAGUAAGUCAUAUCAAUAAACCAAACAUGCUUACUAUCUCAACAAGUAAUACUUAUCCCAACAUACUUGAAACCAUGAUUUACUAUAACCCUAACAUCAUGGAAUAAUAUCACAAGAACGAAUAAGAGUCAAACAUAUCAUAAUAAGCAAGACAACUAUUCAUAUGUCCUUAUAAAGUAAACAAGUGCAAUGACCAAGCAAAGCCCAAUAACCUUACUCAAUCAAGUAUCUUCAACAACAAAACAUGACCAAUGUCAUGGCACCUAGGUUUACAUUUCAACAUAUAUUAACAUUAUAACCCAAGGCAUACUCAUAAAUGAACUAAUCAACAAAUACUAUUAACAAUGUGCCAUGGUCAUAUAUACAUCAUAUAUUAUCAGAACAUAAACAUAUAUAGGAACGUCCUCCUAUGAUUCCCCUCAAGUCUAACUACUGCAAUGUUUAGGUAGUGUCACAUACCCCUACCUAGACUAAGCUAGACCCCUUAGCUUAUCCAACUUAUAGUUCAAGUCCUUUAAUUCGUUUUACCUUUGUUGGAACAUCUUGUCCUAACUGACAUAGACCACAUGAGCUACUGUGGAAUCCGGUGUCAUAAAACCCUACAUCAAAAGAAGGAAAACUAGUUAACAAGGUAGUACCAAAACAUGAAACAUAGCAACUACGUGGAUCCACUAGCUAGUUUUCGUAUGGGGCAACAUAGUUCAAGAACUAGGAGAUAUACUUGGACCCUAUUUAUGUGCCAUGUAUUAUAAUCUCUAAUCUCAAGAGUAAUAUAAUGUUCCUUCCUUCCCUGUGUGGGAAGGGACACUCCUUAAUCGAGUUCACUCGGUGCUAAGCUAGAGUCCCAUUUGGCUUAAAGACAUUCCAAAUCGAGUUCACUCGGUGCUACCCCUUGUAUUAUCAUAAUCAUCAAUAGCUAAAUAAGAAUUGUAUGAGUAUAAGUCCUUUCAUUUCAAUUCAUAUAAGUGAGGUUAACACAUUAAUAUUUGAUAGCAUAUUAAGGAACAUUCAUAAUUUUCACCUUCCUUAUAUAACAUACACCUUAAUCAACCUCAAAAAAUAGUCAAGACAUUUCAAUUCAACAUCACACAACCCUAUAAUCCUAGUAUAACACAUACUCCAAUGUAAUAUCAUUACUUAACAAAAUAUAAACACAAUUGGAAAUAAAUAUAGAGAUUCUAAGACUUACCUCAUCUUCCUCAUAGUAUAUCAUCAAGGUCUUACUGUCAACCAAAUAACUCAACCCAACUUGGGUAGUAACAUCAUCACACAAUCAUAAAAAUUAAGACAACAAGGCCAAUUGCAUAUCUAUAUCACAAUUCAACUUUAGAUCAAAACUUGAGAUAAGAUAUAUAGGCUAGUUUAACAUUAUAAUUCAUAACCUAAAUCAUAUCUCAAGAAAUAGAAUGAUAGGACUAUAAUUCAUCUUAGUUUUAUCAUAAUAAAACCAUAGGAUAGUAAUCAAAUCAACAAAUAACUCAAUUGAAUGAUCACAAUACAAUAUGGAUAAAAAUCACUACUCAGGGUUAGGGAUGGAGGAUCAUAUUAUUUAAGUUAGACCAAAUCAUCAAAAAUUACCAAAAACAAGUUGAAUUUCAUGUUAAUAUACUCAUUAUAACCCUAGCAUAUCAUUAAAAACUCAAAGGUGAAUAGAACCCAUACCUUAACGUUUUUCAACAAUUUGAUGGUGAAUUGUUCCCUUCACAUCCCUCAAACCCUAGUCCUUACAAGUCUUCAAUAGUGAGUUCAUGUAGAGAGAGAAACAAUAGAGAAGGAAGAUAGUGUAUUUAAGAGUUGACUUUAGAUUAAUGAGGGCUGGGAGUAUUUAUAUUGGGUCUUAAAUUAAAUUAUUUAGAAUACCUUAAACCCUCAUUGUACCACCUAACCCCCUUACUAAUUAAAUGACACUGACCUAAUUUAGGCAGGAAACUUGACCCUCGAAGAUGAAACCCCGAUCGUCGGGCCAUCUGUAAGUCGACGGACCUCUGUCCUGCACUCCGCUGUCUUUGUCAGAGACUGUGAAGGCAAGGGAUUCCGCUAAUUGUCUAACUUUUAAAUGAUGGUUCCAUCGAUGCCCCGUCGAUCAACACAAAGAUCAUAGCAUGCACAUCUGCACUCCGUCGAUAAGUUCAGAGGUUGUGCAGGUGAAAUGGCAUUCUCCACAAACCUAUGUGUGGGACUAUGGUGGCAUCCAUGCCGCGUCCAUCCAUACGCAGGCCGUCUUCUGUCCCGUUGAUGCACACUGCCAUGCAAUGGUGCAUCAAACUACAAGGGUUAUCCUCAAGUGCCCUUGGUUAGUUCUUGGGGAUCCUUACCCUAACGUUUCAACCAUGAAACAACUCAAAUGCCUAUUAUCUAUCUUUCCACCAAUUGUUGUACAAUUCUAACUCCCAAAAGUUAUUCAAAUGGGCUAAGGCACAGGAACAUUCCUUUGAACCAACUUCUCAGACGUCAUGGACGUUUUGGUUCUUAAACCUCCUAAAUUACCUAUAUUCAUUACGAUUGGUAUUAUAAACAGUACUUUGACCUCAUGACACCUAUUUUAGGCUUUACAAUAUGUCUUGGAUUUUCUAGGUGUUACAACACUUAAGUCUCAAUAUUUAAUAUGUGAAAUAAAAUAGACUCAACUAAACUGACUUAUUAUCCCUAUAUGAAGCCUCUAAAAAUACUAUGAUGAAAGUUGGGACAAACCCCACAACAUUUUGAAUGAAUGGAAAGAAAUAUCAAGGAUCCUCUGAAAUGCAAGGAGGCUCACCAUUGACUCUCGGCGCUCAAGUGGAUCAGCAAGGUCCUAGAUGUUGAUCCUUGUUACCUACGUAUGCAUCAUAAGACGAUGCAUUCCAACUGGCAUCAGUACAUUUAAUGUACGAGUAAGCGAGUUGGAAUGAUAAAAAACAACUUAAUCUUUAUAAGAAUAAUAUGAACUUACCUUUGCUCUACUCAACUCAGGGAUAAGAAACUCAAUGAGUGUGUGUGUGUGUGUGUGUAUAUAUAUAAACCAAUUUAAAACACAUGUGAUAUAUAUAUAUAGCUUUGUAAAACUUUAAAACAACUUAGUUCAUUAAAGAAAAGGAAAGAACAAACUCAACUUUACUUAUAUACGAAGUAAUAUAGUUAUAUGGGAGAUUCUCUAACUGAUAACCAACACUGGGAGCCUAAAUGGUGAUACAACGUCUCGUUCAUUCUGCUAGAACUGUCCUAUAUUUUGUCUUCGCAUAAAACUCCUUAACUUAGUGGAUUAGUAAAUUAACUUGCGUGAAUAGUUUACAUGGGGACUUGAGUUAUUAUGAACUUUUAUCCCCACAUCGAUGAUCAAUAUUACUACAAAAUCCUACUUUAGCACAUGCAUUUAAAAUAACUUCCUUUAUUUGGUUUGCGAUAAUUUGCUCAACACUUUAGGUUAAAAAAAUCUCUUUUAAUCAUUGACCAAUUUCUUAUUUUAAACUUUGUUGGGAAAUAUUAGUUUCCUCUUAACUUAAAUAUGAGAACAUUUAUAAACUUUUUAGGAAAUAUUUAGUUCUCGUAUAACUUUUGAGGAAUGAACUCAACUUUCUCUUUACUUAGAUUGAAACUUAACUCUUAAAACAACAUUGAAAUGUUUAAAUAAGACUCUUGAAAACCUUUAAGAGUUUUACUCUAACCUACUUCUUAGCAUUAGACUUGACUUCUUAAUUUCCUUGAUUAUUAUCUUAACUUUCCUUGAAUUGAGAUAUGGAUUCAAGGUUCAUGAUCUCUUGUUUACUGUUGAUUUAAUGAUGUUUAGAUGUACCUUAUAGGGUUGUUAUCAACAAAAAAGUAUGGUUACAUCACUUGGAAAUAGUAGGAAAAUAUGGGGAAAGAACGGGGUCUAUAGGUGUCCUUGGCGCUCUGAGAGGUUCGGAGCAUCAGAGCCUGACAGACAGAGACUAAACUGAGGGACUCUUGUAGACGCAGCAUCCCAGGGUCUGUUUGACCAGACUUUCAAUUUUUCUUCUGCUUUUUUCAUCUCUAAACCUUCAAAACUUCCAUGGAUAUAACCCCAACCACUUACGAUCACUAAUAACCUCAAUACCCAAUAGAUUAGACUCAAAACAACCUUGAAACACGAAUACAAUAAACUAAAGCAUAUUACAAGUCAACCAACAACAAUUUAACCAUUGUUCUUCAAGAAAAUCAAUGAUCCUCAUUCAAUCUAUUAAAACAUAGCUUAUCUAAGAAAAUUGGUGUGUGGGUGAAGUAGUCCAACACAGAAAGAUCUCACAUAUCUUUGAAGGGAUCAUCCCUACGGAUUCCACUCGAAGAUCUUGGCGUUCUUGGUGAAUUCUUGAAAUUUUCUCCCUUUUUCUUCUUUUCUUCUCUUUUCUCCCAAGCCCUAAGCGUGAACACUUUUCUAAAAUUGACUUAUGUCUUAGUUUUACCCCUAGUAAACUUUUAAAAAUAAUUAGUAAAUCUCCCUCUUACUAAUUUCUGGAUUAGGACCUUCAUUAAUCCAACAUCCCAACUUCCGGUAGACAAUCUCCCUCUUACAAUAUAAAAAAUACGCAAAGUCAUAAGUACUGGACAGAUCUUUUAAAGGGAUUUCCAACCAUAUAAAGAACAAACUCUAACUCAUCAUGCGCUAGGUGUUAUGGCUGUUUGAGAUGACCAAAAAAUGACUUUUUACACUUAAGAAAUUUUCCAUAUUAUUCCUAUUCAUUCCAAAAAUGAUAAAUUUUAGUUUUUUAGCUAAUGCUUCGCUAUUAAGAGUUACAAUAUGUUACAAUAUCUCCCCCUUGAGUACAUUCAUCCUCGAAUGAGAUUUCUUUCACUAUGCUAAGGAUAGUAACAUCAAGUUCAAUACUUAACAAUCCAAAAUAAUUUAAAAAUAAAUCCAACUCAUAGUUCAUAAAGUACUAAGAAGAGAAUUUGUACCUUGAUCUACAUUCUCUUCGGAUUAAAAGAGAUGUGGAUAUCUCUUCUUUAAAUCCUCUUAAGCUUUCCUAAUCACUUUUUCAACAAAAUAGAUCCUCGAAAGAUCCUUAACUAACAGAACUUUCUUUGUUCUCAACUUCCAAACUUGGUGAUCUCAAAUCUAAACUCGAAUAUCUUCAUAGGAAAAUCUAUCCUGAAUCAUAACAUUCUCAAUCGGUACAAUCAAUGAAGGAUCACCCAUGCACUUCUUCAACAUGGAGAUAUGAAAUACCGGAUGAACUGUUGCUAACUCUUAUAGUAGAUCCAAAUAAUAAGCUAUAUCUCCAAUAUAAUUGGAUACCCUAUAAGGUCCAACAUACCGGGUACUAAGCUUUCCCUUUUUACCAAACAUCAUAACACCCUUCACUGGUGAAACUUUCAGAUAUAUCAAAUCAACCACUUCAAACUUCAUUGGCUUUCUCCUCACAUCUGUAUAGGACAUCUAACGACUCUAUAUCAUCUUUAAUAUUUCUUGAAUAACCUUCACCUUCUCCAUGGCUUGGUGAACUAGAUCUGGUCCUACUAACCCUACUUCACCGACUUCUGCAUCUCAUCGCAUAGAGAGCUUCAUAUGGAGCCAUUUGGAUGCUCAGAUGGUAGUUGUUGUUGUAAGCGAAUGCAAUGUGAGGUAGGUGAUCAUCGAAAUUCCCCUUCAAAUUAUCAUUCAAGAAAUCAACAUGCCUUCUAAUGUAUGGAAGGUACGUUGUGCUUGUCUAUCAAUCUUAGGAUGAAAAGUCGUGCUUAAGUUCACCUUUGAACCUAAACCUUUUUUGAAAGACUUCCUGAACUGACCUGCAAAUUGUGCACCUCUAUCUGAAAUAAUGAAGGUAGGAACCCCAUGAAAUCUUACCACUUCUUGAAUGUACAACUUAGCACAAUCCUCGGCCAAAUGGGUAGUCUUUACGGCAAAAAAUAGGCUGAUUUUGUUAUUCUUCGACAAUCACCCCAAUAGAAUCAUCAUUAUUAAGAGGCCUUGGUAAUCCUAUGAUGAAGUCCAUAUUGAUCAUCUCCCACUUCCAUUCUAGAAGUUUUAUAUUCUAAGCUAAACCUUCUGGUCUUUGGUUCUCUACAUUCACUGUUAAGUAAUUUGGCACUUGGCAAAAACUCAGCAAUGUCCUUCUUCAUAUUUCCCCACAAAUAUACCUAUCCCAAUUUGCGGUACAUCCUGGUAGAACCCAGAUGAAUGUAAUAUCUGGAGAUAUGAUCCUCCUCCAUGAUCCUCUCUUAGUGUCCAUCCACCCUAGGUACACACAACAUACCUUGGUACUUCAAUACACCAUCUCCCCCUUGUCCAAAAGUCAAUACUCAUUGAUUAUGAACAUUGGCCUUCAAAAAAAAUAAAAUAGAGUCUUGAUCUUGCUUUUAUUUCACUUGACUCAAGUGAUACUUCAGCCCCAUUAGUCACCACCAUCUCUCUUUCUGUGAAAUCCAUUUGUUUGACUCCCAAGCACGCAAGUCUGUGCAUAAUUUUGGCCUUUUCUUCCUCAACGUGGGUGGUAGUCCCCUUGUAUAACCUAUUUAAAGAAUCAGCAAACUUAUUGACCUUACUUGGGUUGUAAAGAAUACUCAUGUCUUAAUCCUUGAGUAGUUCUAACCACCUCUUUUUAUUGAUAUUGAGCUCCUUUUGGUGAACACAUAUUGUAGGCUCUUGUGUCCAGUGAAUAUAUCCAUAUGAACACCGUAAAAAUAGUAAAUCCAUAUCAUCAAGGUGAAAACCACUACAGCCAACACUAAGUCAUGGGUUGGGUAGUUCUUGUCAUGAGCUUUCAACUAUCUGGAGGCAUAACUGAUACGCUCAAACUUACUUCUCAAAUGAGAAGUAAAGCGGUCGCGUCAAGUAAAUAACCCAACUAGUGAGGUUGGGAUCGUUCCCACGAGGAAAAUAGUCUAGACUUAACUCCAACUUGUUAUUACUAUUGUUCGGUUGAUGACUUCCUUAAAAAGUAAAAUCAUAAAAGGGGGGUUUUGUACUUCCUAAUAAAAUAAAAAAAUAACUAACGAACUUGACAGAGACAUUUAACAGCUUUUAAUGUUGAGUUUUAAUCAAGUAAUCAAAGUAACUAGGGUUUACGUGUUCCCCACAGGUUCAUAACUUGAUAAUUCUAGCUAUAACAAUUCUUUCCUAGUAUCUUGCAUGCAAAGUGAUAAGCUAUGUAUUUCUAAAUCCUUGGUCCGGCAUCUAGAAAAUCUCACUCCGCACCUUGGUCUAGCUACGUGUGUUGCUUUCCUAACCCUUAUCCUUACCUCAUAUUAAGCAUCAUAUUCGAUAUUUGACUCAGUUAUUACCUCGUACCAAUCAAUACUAGCCUAUUAGAUAGUAUACACUAAAUUUAUGUUAAUAAUUCUUUUCCUAUUAUCUACCUCCUUGGUCCGGCAAGUAGCAUUAAGGCGAGUUCUAACGUUGAUCAUCCGUUAAAAAGAUUUCUAAGCGAAAGAAUUAUUAAUACAUGCAAGACACUAUUCUAGAAUUGUUAUUUUAGCUAGGGUUUAUCUCAUUAUUUGCCUAUGGUUCCCACAACCCUAGUUAUAGAGUUUAGUUCCUCAUAUCCAUAAACACAAUAUUCAAAUAUAUAAAACAAGAAGUCAUGUACUUACUUUGAUGAGAAAGAAUAAAGUCUGAAAAUUUGCUUGAUUAAUCAACAAGAGUUACUUGUAAGAAUCUCCAACAAUCAAAAACUCAGAAAAACAAAGUCUAAUAAUAUAAUGUUUAAUCUCCAAGAGUCUAACCUCAAAAAAGAAUUUUUUCGAACUAUUUAUAAAAAAAUAAAAACCUAAUUAAACAAGAAUUCUAAUUACUGGAAAUCUGUCAAAACGCGGCUGGGUCGACGGACCACGCGACGGAACGUCAUGGUCAUGACGGACCGUCGUGGGCUCCGUCGCCCCAUACUUGGUGCAAUUCUUCUGCUGCUUUCUUCAUUCCCCUCGACGGCAAGUGUGACGGACCGUCACAGGCACGACGGUCCGUCGAGGGUCUUCGUUACCAAAUACUUCAACUCUUGGAAUCUGGGUACUGGGAUCACUUCUCUGAUCUUCGCGACGAACCUGCAGGACGGACCGUCAUAUCCAUGACGGACCGUCACAAGCUUCGUAAUCCCACACUUGGUCAGACUUCCCCAUCUUCCUUCAGCAGCUUCUCUACGCUACCACCUACGGACCGUCACAAGCACGACGGACCGUCAUAAGCUCCGUAGGUGGUCUCUUCUGCAUUUUUCGCUCGAAAUCUCCGCAUUCAGUUUUAGACAGAUUUCCUGCAAAACAAAGAAAAACUUAUAUCAAAAUUAGCAUAAAAAGGCUUUCGGACACAAUAAACUUAAGGAAAAGGUAUUAAUUAUACCGUGAAAACACGGUAUAUCAAUAACUUAUGACCUUUAUUUUCUACAAUAACACAUAACCCAAACAAAUUCUUUAUGCAUCACAUUACACCACAAACCUUGAAUACCCUCCUGUAAGGUAAAAAUCGGAGCAUAGUCAACCUGUUUUCAAUUCCUAAAAGCUUUUCUCACAAGCUUCAGACCAUUGAAACGUUAGUAUCUUCUAAGACAACUUGGUCAAGGAAGACGAGAUAGAUGAAAACCCCUCAACAAACAUCCUAUAGUAUCCAACCAAACUCAAGAAACUCCUAAUAUUGGUUGGAGACAUGGAUCUAGGCCAACUCUGAACUACUUCAAUCUUUUUGGUGUCUACCCUAAUCCCAUCACCAGAAAUUAUGUGGACCAAGAACGUAACCGACUAAAGAAAAAACUCACACUUGGAGAACUUGGUAUACAUCUCCUUUUUUCAAAGUCUGAAGUACUAUUAUGAGGUGACUAGCAUGAUCUUCCUCAUUCCUUGAAUAGAUUUGUAUGUCAUCAAUGAAGACGAUAAUAAACAUAUCUAAGUAAGGCUUAAAGACUCUGUUCAUAAGAUCCAUGAACACUACUGGUGCAUUGGUCAACCCAAAAGACAUAACCAAAAAGUCAUAAUGCCCAUAUCUGGUUCUAAAGGUUGUCUUUGGAGUGUCACGUUCUCUAACUCUAAACUGAUAGUAGUAAGAUCUAAGAUCAAUUUUCUAAAAGCAAGAAUCACCCUGAAGCUUGUCGAAAUGAUCAUCUAUCCUUGGAAGAGGAUAUUUAUUCUUGAUUGUCACCUUAUUAAAUUAGUGGUAGUCUAUAAACAGCCUCAGGGAACAAUCCUUCUUUCUCACAAACAAGACUGGAGCACCCUAAGGUGAUACAUUUGGUCUAAUAAAACAUUUAUCUAACAGAUCUUUUAAUUUUUUUAAAAACUUUUAACACUGCCGGAGCCAUUAUAUAUGGCCGAAUGGAGAUAGGAAAAGUAUUUUGGGUGAUAUCUAUGCAAAAUUAUUUUGUUCUCUCAGUAAGGACUCCAGGCAAAUCAUCAAGAAAAACUUUUGGGAACUCUUUUACUAUAGGAACUGACUGAAACUAAGGUACCUCAGCACUUGAGUUAUUUACUUGGAAUAAGUGAUUGUUACACCCCGUUAAAACUAUGUUCAUAAGCUUAAGGUAUGAAAAAAAAAUGACGCUUAGGUACUGUUGUACUACUACUUCACUAUAUGACAGGCUCAUUAUGAAUUUGAAACUGUACAACUAGAGUUCUACAUUCUACUGACGCAUAACAAGCAUGGAACCAGUCCAUACCAUGAUGACAUCAAAAUCUACCAUGUCCUACUCUAUUAGAUAAUCCAUUGUAUUCUUAUGAUAGAUAAAAAUAGGACAAUCAUGAUAGACUCUUUCUUUUAGAAUAAACUCUUCAACAGGGGUUUAGAAAAACAGAAAGGUUCAGAAAAAUUCUCAGAAAGAAUCUCAAAUUGAUUUUCAACAUAAGGAGUUACAAAAGAUAAACUUAUUUCUGGGUCUAACAAAGCAUAGACAUCAAAAAUAAAAACUUUGAUCAUACUUGUGAAUACAUCUAGCGAGUUCUCCUGCUCUUGGUGGCUAUUAAUUGAAUAGACGUGAUUUUCCCCUUUGCUAGUAAAGAAAUCGCUCCUCAAGGUGCAGCCCUGUCUGCUGAAGCAACUGACGAAGAUAGAGCUCUAUUGCCCAUAUUUUAAACGACCUUUCUUAUUCUUAGGGCUCUCUCUCGUCAAAUGACCCUCUUGACCACACUUGAAGCAACCCGUCUCGCCCUUACGACAUUAACCUAGGUGGGUUCUACCACACAUAAUACAUGCAGGAGACCAACUACCCCCCUAUGCCACACUUCCUAAAAGACUAUGCGAGCAUAGCUUUGUAGUUCUGCAAAUUCUUGUCAUUGUAUUUACCUCUAUUUUUUGGGGCUGUUGCACUAGAAGAUGAUGGUGCAUGCCCCUUCUAUUUCUGAAAUUGUGUCUGAUUUGAACCACUUUUUUUUUGCCAAGAAUCAUUCACAGUCUUGGCUUUCUGGUUUUAUUACUCUUCUCACUUAUCUUUUCCUCUUCAACUUGCUACACAUAAACCAUCAAGCGGGAUAUGUCCAUUUCAUUGAUCAACAUUGUUGGUCUGCCCUCUUUACUAGUAUGACCCAAACUAACGACAAAAAAACUUAUUCUGCUCCUCAUAUUUUUAACCAUCUCAGGAGCAUAAUGAGACACAUGGUUAAUUUAAGCUCAUACUCAUGAACUUCAGAGUAAGGAACUCUCGUACCUUUGCCUCCUUCCGUUCUCGGGAAAAGAAAGGUCACAAGAAAGCCUCUUCAAAACAAGACCAACUCGGAUGUCGUGCAUCCUUACUCUACCCUCCUUCCACUAGUCGAACCAAGUCCUAGCCAUAUUAUUUAGUUGAUAGGAAGCUAUCUCAACCUUUCAGUAUCGACCACAUGCAUCACCUCAAAAACCUUAUUCAUCUCUUCCACAAAGUUUUUGGAUCCUCAAAAAUGCUUGAACCAGAAUAUCUUGGGGAAUUCAUCCUCAAUAAGUCCCGAAUCCUCGAAGUAUCUCCACUUCUUUUUGAGAUCCUCUUUGAAACCCAACUUGUUUAUUCACCACUUUGCUCAGCAUUGGUAUCGUCUAGCGAAACACAACAUUUGCUUCCGCUUGAGGUUCCACUUUUGGUGCAUUAUGUACCUCCGACUCCUCUACAUUUCUUCUGGUUGGACAACCUUUAACUGCUCUUCAUGCAGGCAUGAUGAUGUGAAACACGCGCAAGCAUGAAUUAGAUAAAAUCUUUUUAGAGUUAAACUUUAACGCAUGAAAAGAAAUAUGAAAGAAAUGAGGAAUACCUAAAUGUUGUAGCCUAAUAAUCAUAGAUGUGGCAUGCUUCACAACAAUAACAAAUACACUACGAACACAACUUCAUUGAUUCCCUAUGAUUCUUGAACUAUGUACUCUGAUACCAAGUUUUUCACGCCCCGAGCCUAUAUUCUGGACGUGGCCGACAACCAAUGACAAUUUUUUUCCUUGAGAUAAAUCUUGGACUAGAUUAUUUAACUCAGUAGAAGACUUAACUCAUUGAUAAAUCAAGACACAUUCCCAUAACAACUUAAACGUCUUGGCAAAAAUGGCAUUUAAGUCUCAAAAUAUAAUAUCUUAAAUAAAAGAGACUCAACUAAACUAAAUGACUAUUCAUCUAUGAAACCUCUAAAAUAAUAUGAUGAAUAUUGUGACAAACAUCACAAUAUUCUAUAAAUUAAAAACUGGAAAGCAAUAACAAGGAUCCUCCGUAAUGCAAGGAGGCUCACCAAUGACUCUGGGUGCUCAACUAGAUCAAUGAGGCGUUUGAUGCUAAUCAUCGUUACCUUCAUGUACAUCAUAAGACUAUGCAGUCCAACUAGAAUAACCACAUGAAUGUUUGACUAUGCGAGUUGGAAUGCUAAAGAACAACUUAAUCUUGAAAAGAAUAAGGUGAACUUACUUUGGCUCUGAUAUAUUCGGCGAGAAUCAACUCUUUCUCUCUCUCUCUCUGUGUGUAUACACACACACACACACACACACACACACACAUAUAUAUAUAUAUUAAACUAAGCUAUACUCAUAUACGAAAGUAAUAUAGUUAUGUGAGAGAUUCUCUAACCGACAACCACCACUAUGAGCCUAAGUGGUGAAACAUCAUUUUACCCACGCUGCCAAAAUUCUUUUAUACUUUGAUAUUGCAAAAAAAAAAUAUUAUCUAAAAAUUAUGAGCCGUUAACAACCACGAUGCCUAUAUGAUUUACAUGGGAACUUGAAUUCAAAUGAACUGUUAUCCCCACAUUGGUGCUCAAUACUACUCUUAAAAUAUACUCUAGAACAUGGUUUUAAAAUAAUUUACUUAAUUUGGGUUGAGAUAAUUUGCUCAACACUCUAGCUUUGAAAAUCUCUCUUGGAUUUAAUGUUCCCUUUUCUUGUUCAAAACUCUUUUGGAAAAUCCUAGUUUCCUCUUAAAUUAAAUGUCUAACAUUUAGAAACUUUCUAGGGAAUACUUAGUGCCCUUAUAAAUUUUGUGGGAUGAAAUCAACUUUUACUCUUUACUUAGAUUAAAAGUUGAGUCUCAAAAAAAAGUUAAAAUGUUCUAAUAAGACUCUUGAAAACCUUUAAGAACUUUGCUUAACUUAAUUCUUAGCUUUAGGCUUGACUUUAAAAUAACUUUCCGUGAAUUAAAAUAUGGAUUCAAGGUUCAUGAUCUCAUUUUGAUGGAUGAUUUCAGGGUAUUUAGAUGUACCUUAGAAAGUUGGAAUCAACUAAGAAGUAUGGGUACAUCACUAAGGAACUAGUACGAAAAGAUGGGAAAGAAUGGGGUCUCCAGGCGUCCUUGGCGCUCUGAGAGUUUAUGGAGCUCUAGAGCCGAUGAAAAAAAUCUUUCCUAACAGGAUCCAACUGGCGCGGCACACCAGACACUUUCGUGAGGGGCUUAGGUAGGUACGGCGCCCUAGGGUCUGCCAGACAAGACUUUCAACUUUUCUUUGAUGAUUUUCAUCUCUAAACCUUAUAAAGUUCCAUGUAUCUCAUCCCAAUCACUUAGGAUCACAAAUAACCUCACUACCCAAUAGAUUAUCCUUGAAAAACAACCCGGAAACAAAAAUCCAAUCAACUAAAUCAUACUUAAACUCAACCAACAAGAAUUUAACCAUUGGUCUUCAUGAACUUCAAUGUUCAACAUUCAAUCUGUUUAAACUUUGAUUGAUUAAAUAAAUUGGUGUGUGGGUGAAAUAAUCCAACACAAAAUUAUCUCACAUACCUUAGUAGGGAUCACCCCCAAAAAAUUUCAUUCGAAGAUCUUGGUGUUCUCUUCUCUUUUCUCCCAAGCCCUAAGCGUUAAUACUUUUCAAAAACUGACUUAAGGUUUAGUUUUACCCCCAACAAAACUUUACAAUGAAUUAGGAAGUAUUUGGAUGAAAUAAAAAGUUUACCCUUACUAAAAUCCGGAUUGGAACCUUCCUCAAUCAAACAACCCAACUUUCGAUACACAUAUCUCUCUCAUACAAUAUCAAAAAAGCGCACACUCGGCGGCAUUGGAAAAAAUUUUCCAAGGUUAACUGACUCUAACUUGUCUUGAUCUAUUAUGAAAACUCACUUUUUACACUUAGGAAAUUUUCUAUUUUUUCUUAUUAUUUGCAAAAAUGAUAAAUAUUGGUUUCUUAGCUUAUUCAUGGCUAUUACGAGUUAUGAGAUGUUAAAGUGGCAUAACCAUUGGAAUGGGUGUCAUGAUCCUACACACUAACUGGGAUCGGUUGUGGCAUACCGACAUAAAAAUUGGAACGGGUGUCCUAAUCUGGCACACUAAUAGUUUGCGUAUGGGUUCAUUAAAGAACUAUUGAAAUGGGUUCCACGAGAGGAACAUGGAUUUAUUAAUCUACUUGUUAUUGAGAAUGUGGAAUCUUGCACUGUUCUUGAAAUUAUCAUUGGUGUGUUUGUGUGUGUGUGUGUGUGUGUGUGUGUGUGUAUAUAUAUAUAUAUAUAUAUAUAUAUUUGUGCAUAUAUGUGGUUGCCUUGUUAUUAUUCUGAUAUAUGGUGUGCUUACUGGAAUAGAUGUGUGAUCCUACCAAGACACUAUGGUUGUGCAUUCAUACUACACUUGCUUGUUCUUUGUGAACACGUGACAUAUUUAUACGUCUAUUGAUAGGCCUCAACUACGUGAGUAAUGAACGUGAAUGGAUUCACAGUGUGAGCUACUUCUUUUGGGGUUUCAUGUAUAAUUCUUAUUUAACCACUCUUUUCGGACUCAGACUAUUUGUUUAAGGUGUUUGUUUAGUUUCAGGGUUGUAGCCCUUUUUCUUAGACUUAUAGAGUAUUACAGUUUUGGUACAAUUACUCUUAGGUUCUAGGGGUUGUUCUUCCACAUUUGUUUGGUUAGUUAUUUUUUUAAACCUUUGGAGUUUAUGGGAACUUCAUAUUUCUUUUGUUCAUUUAAACCUUCUUCUGUAUCUUUAAAUGUCUAGUUUUCAUUAAUUUGACCAAUUAGGUUGUAGUAAAGGUUCUCCCAUCAUAAAGUUAGUGUGGGUUAAAAUUGUUACGCCAUGAGCCUAAAACCUAGGCGUGUUCGGCACUCGAAGACCAUGAAUGGCCUCGAGCGGACCCUUGGCCUUGCUUACUUAACUCUGCGGAAGGCAAUACACAUAGUUAUAUGAUGAUCAAUAACUUAACUAAAUGAUAAAAUUAAGAAUGUUUUAAAGAUUAAACAUUCAACUGACCAAAAGUGGAAACCCAAGUUUUGAUAAAUAGUAAGAUAAUGAAAAAACUAGAGAUUAAAAUCUGACUGUCUAUCUAUGAAACCUCUAAGACUGAGAUGGAUGUUGGGCCAGACCCCACAACAUCUAAUAAAAGAAUACUGAAAGAAACAAAAGGAUUCCCUCUGAAUUCAUUGAUAUUCAAUUAACUCUGGAGUGCUCAACUAGAUCAACGGUGUGAUGGAUGUCGAUCCUCAUUUCCUACAUCUACAUCAUGAUACGAUGUAGAACAACUGGCAUUAGUACAUUGAAUGUAGGAGUAUGUGAGUUGUAAUGCUAAAACAACUUAAGCUUGAAGAGGUUAAGAAGGAAGACUUACCUUAGUUUUACUCAACUCAUGAAUAACAUAACUCAAUAUAGCUAACUCAUUUCAAUAUAAAGCAAUAUAAAAGCAAGUGCAAUAUAAAAAAAGGUUGAUUGAAAUUAUAUUGUAGACUCUGAAUGUAUACAAAGAUACAAUCAACUCUCAGAUGUAUGUAAAAAUACAAAUUAACUGAUGUAUCUAUAUAUAUAUAUAUAUGUAACAAAUAAUCAUCACUUAAGAUAUAUUGUAAUGAUGCAGUAAUCUACCUCACACUGGCAGUGCAUCCUAUACCUGGCCCAAAUAUAUAAUAUGUGAACUGCUUAAUGGAUCCAACAGUGUACUUCUAAAAGGAUUCAUCUAAAAAGUAUGACAUUUUUCUACCUAAGGUGGCUACAUGGUUUUAUGGAGAUGUAAGUUAUUUGAACUCUUGCUCGUCCCCAAUUUAUGUCGUUCAAUACUACUCCGAAAAUAUAUACUGGCUCUUAUGUUUUUAAUACAUAUUUCUUCUGUAAUUUGAGAUUAGUACUCAAAAACUUUUAUCAAACGCUAUCUUGAAAAUCUCUGUUUCCCUGCUUACUUCAUUUUAUAAACCUAAACUCUUUUCUGAAAACUAGCCCGAAUGCUCUUUGGAAAACUCAGUUUUCUUUCUUGUUCAAAUGUGAAAAGCAUUUCUUUUAAACCUCUUUGGGAAGACAUAGUGCCAAUAUAUUUCUUUGAAGGAAGAACUUCAACUGUUUACUCUUUACUUAUCCUAAAACUUGAGUCUUAACACGAAGUUAAAGCAUUGUUAAAGACACUUAAGAACAGCUAUGACCUUUACCUUUACUUGUUUCUUAACUUCUAUACUUGACUCUUAACUUCUUUGACUUUGAUCUUAAGUUUUAUUGUUAUAGGAUUAUGGAUUCAAGAUUCAUGAUCUCAUGUUUAUGGAUGGUUUCAUAAUGCAUAGAUGUACCUCAGAGUGUUGAAUCAACUAGGAAACAUGGAUAUAUCACUUAGGAACUAGUACAUAAAGUUGGAGAAACAAUGGGGUGAAUUGGCGUCCUUGGUGCUCUGAGAGGCGUGGGACUCCAGGCCCCAAACUUCAGAGGCCAAUUUGGGGCACUCUGGCUGGCUCGGCUCCCCAAGUCCCUACGAACAAAGAUUAAACCUGUGGAGCUAUGGGAGGCGUGGUGCCCCAAGUCCCUAUGGACAUGCGUUCUCGACUUUUCUCCUCCGUUUCUCAUAUGUAAUCCCCCUUAACAUCCAUGGUUAUUUUGACAAAUGCUUAGGAUCAUUAGCAAACUUAAUUCCUAGUAGAUUUAACUUUAAAAACAACCCCAAAUUACGAAUCAAAUAAUAUUAGGCAUUUAAUAACUCAAUCAACAAUAAUUCAACAAUAUUCUUCAAGAACUUCACUUUUCAUCAUUCAACAAACUAGAAAAGUAGUAGAUUGAAAUAAGUUUGGUGUGUGGCUGAACUAUCCCAACACUAAAUGAUCACACAUACCUUGAUAGGGAUCACCCCCGACGAAAUCCACAUUCAAAUAUUGACAUUUUUGACAAAUUCUUGACUCUUCUCCUUUUCCUUCUUCUUUUCUCUCUUCUUCAAGCCCUUAGCGUUGUUUUGAUUUCCCAAAACUGAACUAAGACUUGUUGUUACCCCAAUAAACCCCUAAAAUGAAAUAGGCAAUUAUUUAGUUGAAAGACUAGUUUGUCCUUUCUUAAAUCCGGAUUUUGACUUUCCUCACUUAAACAACCCAACUUUCGAUUGUCAUAUCUCACUCAUACGAUAUCAAAAAUGUGAAAACUUGAUGGAGUUGUAAAGAUGACUCCAAGGGAUUUCAAACCAUAUCAAAAACUACGUCUAACACAUCCUCAGCAAGAAGUUAUAGUUGUUUGAAAAUGACCAAAAUUCACUUUCUUAACUUAGACAAUUUUUCAGAUUUUUCCUUUUCUUUCAAAAAAAGAAUAUUUUUAGUUUCUUAGCCUUUUCUUAGUCAUUUCAAAUUGUUAUAUGUUACAACAAUAACGAUGGUCUAGUUCAUGACACACGCAAACCCAAGAGUCCCACCCAACAUUCCACUUUACAGAGAACUAAGUUUUUCUCACUUUCUUCAAUGUUGGUCUGCUUCAUUCAAAAAGAAAAUAAACUGAACUCAUCCCUGUGUAUUUGAUUCAAUGAUUUGAAGAGAUCUACACACAAAAAAUGUGGAGAAAGAAGUUGAUAAACUUGCACAAUUAUACCACUAUUUUUAGCUACCACAAAAUUUUAUGAUAAUAGGCUUGACCUCUAUUUCGAUAAACUGCCUCCAUAUGUUGAAAAGCCUCAAUCCAAGCUCAAAAUUGCAUUUAUAAAGAAUGUGUUACACUAUGUUGUGGUUUUACUUAUAUAUCUUAUGAUUUUAUUAUUUUAUAGCACAAUUCAAAUAAAAGUACCAUCUCAUUUAUAUCUUUGUCUAUUUUUUCUUACAUGUGAACAAAAUGUAUUUUUUCCUAUGUGUAUCUCAUUAUCAGGCAAGCGCAAGUAGAAAUAUGUGAAGAAGGAGACAAGUAACUAUCACUCAUUGAUUUUUUUUAAUUUAGUUUCCUUUUGAAAACACUCACUUUGGAAUUUAUUUAGGUCUUGUUUUGGAUCAUGAUUUAGUAGUAUUACAUGACAAACCUUUUUUUCCCAGCAAGUUGAGCAGAUAAUUAAUUAUGUUGACAAGGAUGGUAGUUGUGAAAUUAAUUUCCAUGAAUUCCCAAUGGGAUAUCAGUUUAAUACCAAAUGUAUAUCCAUUGGUAUAAAAGUAACAAGUUUAUAGCUGACUAAUUUAAUUAAAAUCUCAUCUCAGUUAAAUGUUUUUUUUAUAUAAUUUUUUCAAUUGGGUGUCAAUUAGAUAUCAAAUGUAUACCAAUGAAUAUAACAUCAACUAGUUUUAGAUUGAUUAUUUCUACUCAAAUCUCAAUUACACCAUUUCUAUGCAUGUUUUAUAUGCCUACUUCAUGUCAAAAGUAAAAAAUGAUGCACACACGAUUCAUGCCAUAUAGAAUUAUUUUUUUCUUAAUAAAUAGUAUACAACUUUCUUCUCACUAUUCUGCAAUUCCGUACAAAUAUAAUCUCAAAAAUAAAAAUUGAAUCAUACAAAAUUUGUGCCAUAAAACUAUAAAUUUCCAUAUAUACAAAUUUAAUUUUACUAUUAUACCAAUUUCAUACAAAACUUAUGCCAAUCUUUACACCAGAUUCAUACCAAAAAAUCAAUAAUUUUUCAUACAAAGAAUGAAUAAAUUAAGUUGUAGACAAUUUUAAUCAGUAUUAUUCAUUCACAAAUUAGUUGUAUAAAAUUUAUCGAUAGUCAUACAUGUCUAGUAUUUGUAGCGUACAAGUUUCAAAAAAUCUAUUUUUAAACAGAAUCAUACCAAAAAAUAAAAAUUGUGUCAGACAAAUAAUGAACAACAUAAAUGUUCAUACAAAAAUAUAACAUUAUACAAUUAAAACGUUAUAAUUAAUUUCAUCAUACACAAUAAAAAAAAUAUGAAAUCAGUAUAUAAAAGCCAUACAGUUUUCAGGCGCAUUUUUCAUGCUAAAAUUAUAACUAUUUCAUCAUAUUAGUCGUCACUUUUUCCACAAAAGAUUUAUGUUAAUAUAAUACAAAAUUAAUACAAAUUCUAACUAUUAAUUUUCAUUUAUUAGAUAAUGAGUAUAUGAAACUCUUCCAAUAUAAUGCCAAAAUCAUACCAAGAUGGUAAUCAGUAUACCAAUUUCAAAUAAAUUAUAUGUAAUUUUUUUAAUGAGAAAAAUAAAAAAGUAAUGGAAGUUCAUAUCAAAUCUAUACUCUUUUCAAACGAAUUUUAUGUUAUUUCAAAAAACAAAUGCUUAUUCGAAAACCCCCAUAAUUAAACGAUUAUAUACAGAAAAUAUCUGAAUAUCUUUUUUUACCGUAUCAUUCUUCAACUUAUUUUUUUUUUAUGUUUGGUUAGUAUACCAAUACAAAUAAUAAAAUAAUAAACGUGAAGGAUUCUAUCUACCACCAUACUAUUGAUGGUAGUAGAUUAUUGAAUAAAAACAAAUAAAAGUUAGUUGAGAGUGAUGAUUAACUAGAGAAAAAAUUGAGAAGAGAGAGAAACAUUAAAAAAAUAGAUAUAGAAAUUUGUUUGAACGAAUUUUAAUUGCUUUGAGUUAAAUGAGGAAAACAAAUAUUAUUUUUAAUGAAUUUCCUAUUUUUAUGACACCUAUUAAUUAUCAUUAGGGAAUUCAAAUUACUUACAACAAAUAUAUCUUUUUUACCGUAUUUAGUCCGCACACUAAUUAACUUUUAUUGGUAUUUAAAAUCAUGGUUUAUUUUACUAAAAUGUUACAACAUGUAACUUUUAAUUAUUAUAACUUUGAAAGAUAAAGAAUAUUGUCAUAACAUCUUAAAAUUAUUAAUCUUAUAUAUGUCAUUUAUAAAUUUUUCACAUAUAUAUCAAUGCUUGUUUUAUGUAUGUCAUACGUGUAUUAUGUGCAUUAGAUGUGUAUUUUGUGUAGUACGCGUGUAUUUUGUGUGGAACAUGAGCACUCCAUGUGUCACAUAUGCAUUUCGUGGUUUGCACAUGAAUUUUCAUGUGUGAUACACACGUACAUAACUAAAUCAGUAAGCUAAAAAGUGUGAAGGAUGUAUUAUUGUUCGUCUCAUAGAAUAUAUUUUUAAGUAAUCCUAAACAAGUAAUGAAGUUUGUCACCGCUGAGUCUAAACAAAGGUACACCUUUUAAAAAAAGAUGAAAUAUGUAUCCAGUUUGAAUAACCAUAUACAAGAGGUAUAUAUUAUUGUUAGGUCCUAUCAGAUUAGAAAGGAAACGUAUUAUAUGAGACUCAGAAAUGUUCUGAUGAAUGUACCCCUGGUCAAUUAGAUUCAUCAACAUCGAAAUACGUCCUUAUAAAUACUUCAAAGUAUUAGCAACGGAAAUUAUGUAUGGAGUACAAUAAACAUGAUUUAUCCAUUCGUGCUCCAAAAAGGCAACAAUUGAAUGCUUGACCCAACUUUAAAAUUCGGCCAAAUGAUUUUAAGUUUAUUCUUUGGUGUGUUGUAUUGCGAUAAAAGUUUUGGAGAAUGUUUACCAAAUCAACUAAUUUUUCUUAAAAUUAAGGAAAAUGAUUUCCCUUCAAAAGUCUUAAAAGAAAAAAAAUUCAAAACUCUUAUCCAACUUCACAUUACAAAUUUUUUUGAAACAUAUCAAUUUCUAAAAAAUUAUGUAUGUUUUUACAAAAUAUUUUCUACUUCAAAUUUUAAUUUUUCACUCCUACCCUUGACCUCCCCACUCAACUCACCUCCCAAAAUGAAUUUUCAGUUUGUUUUCAAAAAAAAUUCUAUUUCAAUUUUUAGUUUUUUCGCUCCUAGCCUCCACCGCGUACCACCCCAAGAAUCCCCCCCACCCCCCUUCCACACCAAAAAAAAAAAUAUUUUUCAACUUCAUAUUUUUAUUUUCUCACCACUCUUCCCCCAUCCCCCCCCCCCCCCUCUUCCCCCAAAAAGAAAAAAUAAGUUUAUUUUUUUAAAAAUAUUUUCGAUUUUAAAUUUUAUUUUUGCACCUCUACGUCGACCCCGGCCCCCACCGCACCCCACCUUACAAAAUAAAUUGUCAAUUUGUUUUUAAAAAAUAUUUUCAAUUUCAAAUUUUUUUCACCCCUAACCCCUUGCCAAACCCCUACCCCUCCCCCCUUCCCUCCUCCUCCCCAACAAAAAAAAUAAUUUUAUUUUAAAAAAUAUUUUUAAACUUUAAAUUUUUUAUUUUUUUCACUCCUAACCCCCACCGGGUCAGCUCCCUAUCAGAGCCCUCCCCUCUCCCCCCCCCCCCCCCCCAUCCAAAAAAUUAAUUUUUUUAAAAAAAUAUGUUAAUUUCAAAAUUUAUUUUUUGCACUACUAAAAAUAAAAGAUAUUUCUCAAAUAUAUAUUUUUUUCAUUCAUAAAUCCAACACUAAAAAUCAUUUCCUAAUAAUAUUUUCUACUCACCAACCAAACAUGAGUACCUAAGUCAUAAAUCUACUUGUUUUUCAGAAAAAUAUGUUCUAGGAAAACAUUUUCCGUAGAGAACAUUUUCAUUCAUACAAAACACACCCUUUAAGUUUGAAUUUGAAUCUAUCUUGGCAAAACAUAACAAAUUACAACUUAAUUGAUUAUUAUAUUUUAAACCCUUUAAUAAAAGUAUUUAUGUUUUGUACAUAGUCAAUAUAUAUAAAUUUUACACGAUCAGAUAAAUUAAAGGACAAUAAUAUAAGAAUAGAUAAUGAAAAAAAAAAUCAGAGCAUUUUAUACUUUAAUCUAAUUUAUUAUUUAGUAAUAUUGACAUAAAAUAAAUCUCUAUUCCUUGAAAAUAUUAAUCAAAAUUUUAUAUAUCAUAAGUCUUUUUAAUUUGUUAUCAUUAUUAAAGGUUUCUUUGUUAGCUUUUUUUAUGAGAUUAUAUGUCACAGUUAUUAGUUUUUUAGUCGGUUAGAGUCAGUUACAGAUAUGUUAGAAGUUAUUGGAGUUGUGACAUAAUUAUAACCAAAUUAGCUAAUUUUUGUCUUAGAAUUAAAGCCCAAUCUGCCUUUAGGUACUUUAAUAUUCACUUGCCACAUGACAAUGACUAAGCCAUCAAGUACAAAACUCAUUGUAUUCUCCAAUUUAAUAAUAGCCCACAAUCACCUAUAAUACUUUACUAUAUAUACACACCAAUCAACAUUUCAUUUAUGCAUUUCUUUAUUCUAAAAAAACAUUGACAUAAAAAUAGACCAAGAUAAUAAAAUUCCAUAUUCAUUUUUCUUACAUAUUUAAAUUUUUAAGAUGGCCCAAGUAAAUAGCACUAACUCAAAUGACUAGGUAUUUUGCCAAUAAUUGGUAGAUGCUCAAAAAAUAUUAUAAGUUACAUAGUUGCUGAUUUGUAUCAAAAUAUGGGCAAGAAUAUAUGCCUAAUCCACAACAACUGAAUCAGUGUUUUAAACUUAAUGGAGACAUCUGCUACUAUGACUCAUAAGGAGGAUGCAAUUUGUUAUAUUCGCAUUGACAAGCGACGUUGAACUAUUAGAAGUGUAAUUCUACCUAAAAAGUUGGACGAUUACUUGAGAGAGUAGGCAAAUAACCACCUUAAAGAUGUGGCAUUAAGUCAUAAGUCUUGAAUAAUUUGUGGUGUACCCACUAUUAAUGAGAUCAUCCAUGUGCCCUAAUUGGCUCAUACAAAAGACCUCACUACGUUUCCAUAUAUCCAAUUUGUUCCCUUCACCCCCCCCCCCCGUUUAUUAAAACUAAUGAGGAUAAUAUAUAUCUAUUUGCUUUUGUUAAAAAUUAUAUUAGAAAAAAAGAAAAAAUCUACACGGCAAAGAAGAGUAGCUCAUUUUUUGCUAGUGUCAAAACUGUUGAUUUUAAAGAGCUUUUCGGCCAAAAUAUCCAUUUUCAAGGUAAAAUCAUCAUUUCUACUACUCUAUUUUCAUUUUUUACUCUAAUUUCUUUAAAAAACAAAGCUUCAAAAUUAUUUUCCCACCAUUUUCAAAAUUUGAGCAGUCUUUCAUAAUCACUUGAUAACUCAUUAAUAGAUACAUUAGUUUAGCUUAAAAGCAACAAAAACGUUUUGCCAUUACAAGAGCUAAAUUUUUUAUCCGAAUUCAUCCAGUCGUGUUUUGGUACGAGUUUCGUACCUCGUAUAUUUUUAAAGAGUGAUAUUGUAAUCUAGUAUCGAUACUUGUAGUCUAUAAUGAAAGUAGUUGAAUUCGAUGUUGCUGGUGGAGAUUAAAUAGGAGAAUGGGAGGGGACUCCUAAAAGAUGGAAUUGGGAAUCUUUUAAUAAGACGAAAUUGCUCAUUUGCACAAUGUCGCAUGACUCAUAUGACGAUAUGAUUGCAAGUGUAAUGGAUGUCGAUGAGUUAAACUUGCGAUCCAAAUGACUUGGUGAUUAUAUAUCGAAUGAGUAGAAAGGGAAAAUACAUACCAUAAUCAUAAAAAUGAUUGACACUAUCACGCAACGAGCCUACAGCCUAGUCGGGAUUGUCCCUCAAGAGCAAUUGCUGGCCUCGAGCAAACCCUUGGCCUGCAUACUUACUCCGCGGAAGACUUAAACAUAAGAAAUAUAACUCAUGCAUAAAAUUAGAGAUAAUAAAUGAGCCAAAAAUGACAAAUCAAGUCUUAAAUGUAUAUGCUAAAAUAAAUAAGACCAGAGAACUAUAACUAUCUAUCUAUGAAGUCUCCAAAACAAAUAGGGAUGUCAAGACAAGACUCUCGGUCAUCCUUAAAAUUGAAAACUAGAAAGCAAUGUAUAAAGGAUCCCCCUGGAAAGAAAGGAGGCUCAUCAACACACUUUGAGUACUGAUCCUGGUUACGUGUGUCUCCAUCAUAAUACGAAGCAAACCAUUUCUAUAUGACAACAAAGUAUAGGACAAUUCUCGUAGUGUGGGCAAGACCUUGUAUCACCACUUAAGCUCAUAGUGGUGAUUAUCAGUCAGAGAUACCUAGUAGGAUCAAAUCCUUGGCGAAAUCCCAAACCAAAUUGUACAAUCUUGAAAACUUUCCAAUUGAAUAAACUGAUCUAUUUCUUGUUAGACCCCAAAUAAAAUAUAAAAAAUGAAAUAAAAUAUUUGGUUAAAGAAAAGACGAAAAUACCCUCUCAAAAUCCUAGUUUAGACUUUCUUUAGUUGAACAUCUCAACUUCGAAACGUCAUAUCUCCCUCAUACGAACUCAGAAUCGCACAAAACUUGGAGGCAUUGGAAAUAUUAUUCCAAGAUCUUUCCUGCGAUAUCUGGAAACACACUUAACUCAUACUGAUCUUGGAGUUAUGGUUGUUUGAAGCUGACUAAAAACUCCAGUUCACAUACUUAACAAAUUUUCCAGAUUUUUAUAUUCUUUCCAAAAAUUACCAUUUCCAAUUCUUAUGUUCUUCCUAAUUAUUUCAACUUGCGAGAUGUUACAGUAUUUCCCCCUUGAGAACAUUUACCCUCGAAUGAGAUUACUCUUACUAGGCUAAGGGUGUAAUAUCAAUCAUUUAGUUCAAAUAUCUCGUUUCAUAUUUUGAGGAACCUCCUUCUCCACAUUUACCAUGCUUACUUCAAGAUUUCUAAGAACAUCAUGAGAAUUUCUCCUAAAAUCACAAUUACGCAAUAUUCACACUAAGGCACAUGCAAUCAAUUUUAUCAAAAAGGCUAAAAAGGCAAUUUCUCAAUAACACAUUGGGCAUGUUCACAAUUUCAGCUCAUGAAGCAAAUAGACAAUCUAUACUGAAUGCACAUGAACACGAGAGAAUGCAACAUAUGAAAACUUAUUUCUCAUUUGACAAGAGUUCAUUCAGAACAUGCAUAUCUUAAGGAGAAUAUUUGGAAGCUCAUUUUUCACAAAAGACUCCAACAUGAACCAAGAUACUAUGAACUCUUAGUUCUAGGCUUAAAUAGGCACAUAAGGAAAAUAUAAGGAUAUCUCACUCCCAACAACCUUACUACUCAUUAUAUUCCCCUACUUGGGAGAAACACAUAAAGGUCAAUCAUGAACAUACUAUUGGAAUCUCAAUCAAGGACCAUCAACGUAACCAACACCAUUCUCACCCAACUCUUCAAUUCACUAAACCUCUUGAAAUUACAUCAAACAAUCCUAACUCAUUAACAAAAAAGACUCUCAAAAUCCUCAUCAUCUACUCACAAUAUCCCCUAUUUGGACAAACUUACACUAGCUCUGUCAAACAUCACCUCCUCCCAUUCUAUGGUUGGAUCAAAACAACAUUAAACCUUCAUACUCAUCAUUAUAAGACAACUUAUCAAACCUAAUGUCAUCAUCACAACCUACUAUAUCACAUCCAAAUUUUUCUCUCCCUUAACAUUGAAACAGAAACCUCACAAGGGAAUCCCACUUAAAGAACCAUCACAUAAGGAACAAGGGAAAGACAUCAUAGAGCAUAACUCUUAGGCACGAUAAGAAGAAUGAAGAAGUGAAACUUUCUUAGCACCCAAUAGCAUCCUAUUUCAUCUAUGAACAUCCUAUAACCUUAUGCUUUGAUACCAAGUUUGUAAUGACUUGGGACUACCCCCUAGCCGUAACUGGUGUAUUAAAUCUCUUGGAUGUCUCAUACAAGCCACAUGGAUCUUUCAUCGCAUAUGGUACUAAAAAAUAAUUAAGAAUUUAAAACAUCAUUCACACAUGAAGAAUAAUUUGAUUAAUAAGCAAGCUGAAGACUUUAAAACAUGUAACUUUACAUUAUGUCUCAUGAAACCACCUAAUAAAUUUUGGAAUACAACAUAGGGACUAAUCCCAUACAAAACUUAAAAGAAGACUAAAAAGAAAUAGAGAGAACAUUGGGGUCUUGUCCUCAAAUCUACGAGGACUCACCAUACUUCAUCUUCAACCUGUAGAAACCCAUCCAUCAUCCAUAGCCUACCAAACCCCCAUUUCCUACACUUUAGUCAAAAAGGGGAAAGAAUGUGUUAUCACAUGUCAACACUAAGUAUAGAAGCCAUGAAAAAAGGAACAUUAAGUAUAGAAACAUGCUUUCAUGACAUAUUGAUAAAGACCUUCAUCAUAAGAUUUUGACAGAUAUAAUACAAAUAAACAUUCAGAUAAAAAGCCUAUUCAGCCAAGAUUAACUUUUAGGAUUUAAUUUCAAAAUCAUUGAAUCAACUUCUCAUAACUUAGACUUUCUACCUUAGUCUACUCUAAGACUCACCUAAGUAAGACAUGAAAGUUCCUACACAUAAAAUAACCAUGAUCAUCACAUAAGGAUCAUACCCUAGAAUAUCUCUAAGUUACACUAGUGCAAUGUGAAAGUAGCAUCCCAUCCAACUACUCCGACUUUGUGCUUCUUUAGAAUUAUCGUAGACUAGGUACAUCACAUUCAUCAAGCCGUAUAAUUCUUAUUAACAUUUAUCAUAAGAUCAAUAUGUUUCCUUAACAUUAUAUAGAAACCCAUUCAUUCAAUAAAUUUUUAAGGACACACCAAGACUCCCUCCAAAAGCCUACUUGUGCAAUGCAAAGAUGGCCUCUAGUUCAACCACCUACCAUAAGUAGUACACCCUUAGAAAGACUUAGUUCAGUACAUUCUUUUGUGGGGUAAGCUUGGGGUAUGCUUUAAUCGACAUAGACCAUGAAAGCUUAACAAGGAAUCCUGGUAUUAACCCCUAUCGGAUGAGUGAUCCCCACUUGCCUAAGGUAGAGUCUUUCUUUUAGCCUUAACAUGGAAUACCACAAGCUAGUCUUAUGCGGGCACAUAGUUAAGGGAUAAGGAGAUUGCAUCUAAGUUCUACACCUCAAAUCACAGAUAGUACCCAUCUCAAAGGGUUUCUACUAGAUCUUACACCUUUAGUCAUGGAGAGUAUCCACCCCAUUUCAUAUCAGCUCGGUGCUAAGCAUUAAUUCCCAUGGAAUUAUAGACUUUCAUAACAUUCAUUAGCUAUAGGUUAAGGGAUUGCUACUAAGUACUCUACUUAUACUCACCGAAAGAAUACUCAUCUCAACCUAUAAUUUAUUCAUUGCAAAGCUCUUAGGAAUAUUGAGGUUGUUACUAGACACUAAACCUCAACUCACGGAGAGUGUCCACCUCAAAGUCCCACAUUCAUUCAUUAGAAAUCUAUUGAGAGAAUCUUUCAAUAGACCCACAUUCAUUACAUUUUGAUUAUUUUCGUUCAUUCAUGUGUGUGUAAAUGUAAGGAAGCCUUUCAUAUAACAACCAUCAUUCAUGCCAUUGUCCUUUAAACAUGAUCAUACUACAUUCAUCUUAAUCCACACACAACAUACUUCACAUUCACAUUAUACUUCAAUAGUCAUACUAUCUUGAAGAAUCACAUGCAUAACUUCAUAAAUACCUCUCUAUACAUAAGCAUAAUAACAUUACUUUACAUAAAAUUCAAUGCCUUCAAGGCCAUAACCUCAAUACACAUACAUAUUCAUAUUCAAUAAAUACACUGCCACCAUAAGUGGACAAUACAAAUCAAUAGCAGUUUGAUAUCAAUUUUACAUCCAUAAGGGAAUUAGGUCAACUUACCCCACUCAAAUAACAUAAAUCACCAUUCCUUAAUCCUCUAUUAAUUCACAAUAUAAUAUAAUAUAUAACCAUAUAAAUCAACAAUACAACAUAAAGUAAAUCCAAUUCUAUUGACAUUAGAUCAUAAGCAAUAAACAAAACUCAUUAUCUAAAUUUACGAAUUUUGAGAAGAUCAAGGGUUCAUGGAAAUUUUCAUUUUAUAACAUCAAUUUAGCAUCAAUAAUAACAUAUCUAAAAAUUUGAAAUUGUUUCAUGCAAGAAAUGUUGAAUUAGAGUAGAAAUUGGAUUUUUUCAUAUGCUUUGAAAUAUUUGAAAAACCUUUGAAAUUGGCUCUGGGGUGAUAACUUACCUCGAUAAAAAACUCUCAUAGCUUAUUAUUUGAUAAACCCAUUAAAAUUAAGGAAGAAAUACGUUGGAAUCCAUAUCCGUAGCUCCAAUUUGAUCUGAAGCUUCCAUGGUGUUCUUGAGAGAGUUUUAGGAGGAGAAUGGGUGUGGAUUUUGAAAAGUUAAGUCUAAUUUUAAGUCUGUGUUUAAACCAAUUUAAAAAACCCAAAAAUAGGUAAAUAAUUUUUCCCCCAUUAAUAACAACGUGGGGUAAGUUUUCCAAUUCACCCCUAACUUGGCCGAGUAAAGUUACAAAUUUAUAGGUUCCAUUGCCGCCCACAAUCAACAGACCGUCAAUUGAUUGACGCUCCGACAAUGCGGUCUAUCAAUUCGGUCUACAACUCAACCAUUUUCAGGCCUUGUAGAAUUGAUCAACGACCAACAUUGACGAGCCGUCAAUACAUUGACUGGCCGUCAAUUGGGGUCAUCAACCAUGCUUCCCAGACAAAUUCUUGGCUAGAAGAGAGGGUCCUCCUCAAGGGCCCCUUCUUGUUCCUUGAGGAAAUCGUACCUGGAUGUUAAACCCUGAAACAUGAACAUAUAGGUGCUAUGUUCAUCAACAUUGACUUAGACCUCAAAAAACACAUUUAGCUUCAACCAAAACACAUAACAACACACUAGGACACAAAUGAAUAGUUUCUGAACUCUGGUCUUUCCUUGAUGUUUGACUCCAAAACCACUCAAGCCUUCCCUUGGCUACGAUUUCUCAUUAAUUUAGCAAGUUAUUAACUCAAGAAAAUCAGGUGAAUCGCUAGUUUAUCCUAGUUUAUUUUGAGGGUCGUUAUAUCAUAGUUGUUGUCUUUAUAUUGCUUAAAUCAAUACUGAGGGACAAAGUUGCAAGCAACACUAUUUCACAAGCAUAACGACACAUGGAAGGAUUUUUUAAAGACAAAUAAUACUUACUACAUUUCUAAAGUGUUGUUGGAUUGGGUCAGCCCCUACUACACUUACGGGCACAUAGAUAGAAUUAUCCAUUAUAGACGACACAAUCAUAAAGGAAAAAUCCCUAUGUUGUUUGAACACACAAAUUCAUUGAUGGUUUUGUAUUAUUCGAAUAGGACAAAAUAUGCCAAAUGGUGCCAAUUUCGAUACUUCUCCCCAUGAAUUAUUAGUAGUUUUCAUCAAGUACCUAAUACGUAUCAUUAAUUUAAAUGUCCUUUAUUCGAACUUUCUUUGUGUGUUAGUUGUGGUGAUUACCAUCAUUGUAAAAUGCAAAAACAAAAGAUAUCAAAUGGUUGUUACAAUUUAGCUGUAAGUUGCUAUUAUUUUUUCUUCACCAUCAAUAUUAAUUUUCAAGAUUUCCCUAUUCUCGUCUAAUUGAGGAUCUAACAUGGAGGAUACAAUUGUUACUCUAUGGGGGAUAUUUUGAAGAAAAUAAUGGCAUAUUUUUUGAAAAUUUGAAAGAUUACUGACCCUUUUUUCUCUUAUGUGACGUGAGAAUCUCAAUCUAUAUAGGUAUAGACAACCUCUCCUAUUGUCUGAUUGUAAAAAUUGAAAGUAUAUUUGUUGAUUCCUCGAAUAAUAUGUUAUUUUCAGUGUAGGGACUUUUGAUAUAUCCACUAUACAUGUGAGUAGUGUGUUGAUCAUUCAAAUUUUUGAAAAAGCACUACAUCUCCGCACUAGGUACAAAAUAUCAUUUUUUAAUGUGAUCGACAUUAUUCAUUAAAACUCAUUGCGAGAACUAUUUUGAGCAUAAGUUCUCGCAAUGUAUAACAAUACAAGGCAACAACAUAAUUGAUGGUCUAUACAUUUUAUCUGUUCAUGGUGUUGAUAUAUUACGCGAGGUUUCUUGGCUUGCAACUUUUCUUGCUGUCCUCACUAAUAAUGCAAAGAGUGUAUUUUAAUUUACUCUUGAUGGUUCUAAGAUCUUAUGAAAAGGGGUUGCACUUACUAAUAUGCAACUGGUGCAAUUACAUAGUCUAAGAAUGAAGGCUGCUACAUAUGCAAAUUCCUCCUACUUUCAUCUACAAAUGGUAUAUGAUUCGAAACCUUCAUGUACUCCCUCCUUUGAAUAACAAUGCUUCUUAAUACAUAUGAAGAUGUCUUUCAAAAACCUCUAGGUUUGCCUCCUUCACGAAGUCAGGUUCAUGCAAUCAACCUAGUUCCAGGUGCAGGGCUGGCUAAUGUUAAGCCACAUCAAUAUCCUUAUUUUCAAAAGUAGGUUAUGUAGCAGUUAGUGUCUUUAAUGCUAAAAGAAGGGACAAUCAGAAUACGUACUAGCACAUUUUUUUCUCUUUUAUUGUUUGUUAAAAAAAAGAUGACACAUAGCUAUUUUGUGUUGACUAUCAUUCAUUAAAUGCAAUUACAUUUCGUGAUAGAUUUCAAAUUCUUACCAUUGAUGAACUUUUUGAUGAAUUGAACGUAACCUGCUAUUUUUCCAAGUGGAAUUUAUUGAUUGGAUAUCAUCAAAUUAGGGUCCUUCUGAAGGAUGUACGUAAGAUAGAAUUUUGCACUCGUGAUGGACAUUAAAAUUUGUUUUCAUGCCAUUUGGUCUUACAAACACACCCUCAGACCUUACUUGCGUAGAUAUGACCUGGUACUCUUUGAUGAAAUUUUGAUCUAUAGCCCUACUUGGACUGAUCACUUGGACAUUUGGACUUGGCUUUUUAAUUAUUGCGUCAAUAUAAGUUGGUGUCCAAGCGGUCCAAAUACCUAUUUGGAGAAGAAUUCAUUGAUUACUUGGAAUAUAUUAUCUCAUAUUAAGGAUUAUAUGUUAACCCAAAAAAGUAGAAUCAAUCCAUCAACACGCACCACCUCGUAAAGUGAAAGAAAUGCGUAGUUUUCACGACCUUACAGGCUACCACCGAUGAUUUAUCUACUAUUAUGCUUCCAUAGCAAGUUUAAUCAUUGAUUUUCUCAAGAUGGAGAUUUUUUGGUGGACAACAGAAGCUCAAAUAGCAGUUGAAGCUUUGAAGACUAAAUUGGGUUCCACUCAAGUAUUGCAUUACUAGAUUUCAAUUGGGAAUUCAAGUAGAGACUAAUGCUUCAGGGAAAGGGAUUGGUGCCAUUUUGUCUCAACAGGGGCACCCGAUUGUUUAUUUCAGUAAGAAAUUAAAUGCAAGGAUGCAACGAAUUUGACAUUCCAAUGAAUUAGAGGGUUUACAAUAUUAACCGAUAAACAAUCUUUGAAAAACCUCACAAAUUAAACCAUCUAAACUCUUUAGCAACAAAAAUGUCUCACUAAGUUAGUGAAUUAUGACUUUCAUAUCAUAUACAGGUCUGGGGAAAAAAAUCCAGCCAUUGAUUCCCUGUAAUUCAGAUGCUUCUCUUAUAGAACAAGAGUUAAAUCCCUUGAAUCAAUAACAUCCAGAACUAUUUGCUAUUCAACAAGCUAUACAAACAUAUGGGGAGAGUCACUUGGAUUCUAAUUCAAGGAUGGAUUGUUAUUUUGUAAAGACAGGCUUGUGAUUCCAUCAGAUGCACCACUACGACACAAGCUAAUUAGUGUUUCAAUUCCACACCACGUAUAUCGGAGGACUUGCUGGUGUGGCAAGAGCAUACCAUGAAUUGGAUUCAAAUUUUAAUUGGUGAUUGUUGCGCAAGGACGUGAAUCAUUUGUUAAAACUUGUCAAAUAAGUCAACAGAUGAAAGACACAAAAUUGUAUCAAGCAGGUUUAUAGAAACCUCUCUCUAUACAAAAUCAAGUCUUUGAAGAUAUUGCAAUGGAUUUUAUCACUUGCCUUCAAAGUUCCAAGGGGAAAACUACUAUCCUUACCUUUGGGGAUCAUCUGAACAAAUAUGCUCAUCUUAUUCCCUUACCUUCCACUUUCUCUAUUCAACUAGUAGCUGAAGCAUUCGUAGUAGGUGUCAUUUACUUUCACGUCCCUACUCGCACUAUUGUCGCAGACCAUGACCCAUGAUUCGUCCAUUAUUUUUGGUAACAAAUAAAUCAUUUGCAGGGUUCGACACCAUUGUCUAUGAGCACUAGAUAUCAACCUUAAACUGAUGGACAGGUUGAAGCCUAAAUAAGUUUCUUGAACAAUAUAUUGUUGUUAUGUUUAUAAUUCUCCAACCAUGUUGGUCACCAUAAUUCCUUGGGCUGAAUUCUGGUACAAUACUUCGUACCAAACAUAAGUUAGAAUGAAACUUUUUCAAGCAUUGUUUGGGUGAGAACCCCCAACUAUCGCUCGAUAUAUAUUGGGGACCACUGCUAGUAAAUUAGUGAAUUCUUACUUCAUUCAGCAUGAUACAUUUAUACCGAAGUUGAAAAUAAUUUUCUCAAAGAUAAACAAUGAUGAAAUUUUUUUACAUAUAAACAUCGUACUGAGAUAGUAUAUACAGUGGGUGAUUGGGUUUACGUAAAAUUGAAACCGUACAGACAACAUUCUAUAAUGGUGCAUAAGAGUCAUAAUCUUGGACGACGAUACAUUGGUCCUUUCAAGGCCGUCAAAUACAUUAAAGAGGUGGCAUAUAUAUAAAUUGGAGUUUCCUGUCAAAACAAUUUCUCUAUUUUUUCACACAACCAACUCUAAUGCAAUUCUCUAUUUUACUCUCUAAAAAGAAAUUUUGUUUCCACUAAAUAUUAUAUUAUUAUUUCAGUUUCAUUCUUAUUUUAUUGUUUCAUAUAAGUAAUUUAUAUAUUUUCCCCAAUGAUUACUUUAUAUUAUUCUCAUGUGAUAAAAAUUUUAGUUUUUCAAAUUUUUUAUUUAAUAUAAAAUAUAUUUUAUUUUAAAUAUUUAAAUAUCAUAAAUUUCACGAAAAUAUUAUAUGACAUAUACAUUAAUGAACAAAUUCAAAUACAAGUAAAAUAUGAUUACAAAAACAUUAUGUAAACAUUCAAUUUCUGAAAUUAUUACUCAGCUCCCAUAAAUGUUCUGUUCAUUCAUUAUGGAAUUCAAAAUGAGCAUUUGUCCUUAAUUUUAUUAUGCCUAUCUCAAAAUUGUUCUAAUCGGCGAUUUUCAUCUACCACCAUUUCUGUUGUUGCACUUGGAACCUCUACGACAUUUUGAAUUGGUGCAUAAAGAUCACAUCCUCAAUUAUCACGUAUAUAGUGCAAUACAUGUAAUCAUUAUAUCAUGUAGCACUUCCUUUCUCCAAAACCGUGACUGUCUUACAAUAAUUGCAAAACUCUGAAUGCACGUUUCACAUCUUUUUGACACGAUUCUAGUUUCAUCAUGAAUAAAUUAUUAUGUUUUGUAUUGUAUUUUAUCUUGUAUUUAAAUUAUUAUGUUAUAUAUUGUAUUGUUAGUUGUAUUUAAAUUGUUUUUUCAUCUUACCAUUUUUAUUUAAUGAAUACGUUAUUGGUGAAAAUUAUUUAAAAUACAUUAACAAAAAUUAGAGUAGUAUAUACUAGAUAAUAUAUUUUCUAAGAUAGUAUAUUAAAUUUUUUUAAAAUCAUGAAUAUUAGAUAUUUCAUUAAUGAAAUUACAUGUAAAAAAAUAUUCUUAUCAAAAAGUAAUACAAAUAAUAAUACAAUAUUAAAAAAGUGAAAUAGAGAGUGUGAAUAUUAGUUUUCCAAAUUCGGAAAACUAUUAUUCACUCUUUAUAAAUAAAGUAUAGAGAGUAAUAUAGAGAGGGGUUGGAGAGAGCAUUCUCUAUUUUACUUUCCAAAUAUAGAGAAUGGAGAGUAAAAUAGAGGUGGAUUAAAGAUGACCUAAUUUAGUAAAUCAUAUUAGUGUGUGUGUGUGUGUGUGUGUGUGUGUGUGUGUGUAUAUAUAUAUAUAUAUAUAUAUAAAAACAUGGAAUAAAGUGUUAUGAAACCCUACACCGAAAGAAGGUGCUCUACUGGCCUAAGUAGAACAAAAACAUGAACAUAGGGUUUUAGGUGGAUCAACUAUCUAAUGUUCCUAUGGAGGAAACAGUGCUAAGGAACUCGAGAUAUGUCUUGAACCCUCUACAUGCCCAUUAGCAUUGGAGUCCUCAUCUCAUGAGGACAUUGGUCAAUCUCCCUUCCAUUGGGGAGUCAACAGCUCUCAUUACAAAGUUCACUUGGUGCUAAGCUAAAGUCCCUUUUUGAAAUGUCAAUAAGAAUUUCUUAAUUAUCAUAUAUUAGUAUAGUCCAUAGGAUACUAACCCUUUGUAUAUCAUGUUCAUUAGAUCAUUAUAUAUUGCAUAAAAAUUUCCUUUCAUAAAAACCCUUCAUUAGUGAAAUUAACAUAUCAUAGUCAUAUCAUAGUAAGGCAUACAAGUGCUUCAUAUUAAACCUUGUAUCAUUAUCCCUUAACAUGAUCUCACAGUUUACAUAGCCAAGAAAUUUAUCCACAUUGAUCACAUCAACAUCAUCUUAAUUUAAUCACAUAUAAUACUUCAAGUGAAUACCGUUAACGAGUAUAAGCCAUCAUCAUUGAAUUAAAGAAUUCAGGAUCAUAAAGUUUUGCCACAUACCCUUCAUAAGCCUCCUUCAAGAUAUUAAAAUCAAUCAAACCAUAUUCAUCAAUCAAUUUACUAAACAACAUCUCACAGUAGUAAUAUGUCCAAGUACUAAGUCAAUUCUAUCAUCACUAAUCAAAUCAACCUCAAUUCAUAACCUAGGGUUGGGGGAAAAGCGUUCAAUCAUUGAUUCCUCAACAUAUAGAUCCAAUACCAAUCAUUCAUGACCUUAGGCAGUUCAUUAAUGAACCAUAUAUGACCUUAGGCAGUCCAUGAAUGAAUUACAUUAGCUAGAAUAAGUCUAACAAUCAAUACAUUCAUUAGAUCCCAUCAAUUCAUAAGCAAGAUCCAAGAUUUGGAUUAACUGGGGAAUGUACAUGAACCAAAUGAAAUUACCAUUAAUAAAUAUCAAUUAAUAAACAAUAUAAACUUAAUUAUCAAUACUUAAUCACAAUUAUUCUUAAUAAACCAUCUAUUCCACGUUUAUAUGAAAACCCAUUUGUAGAUAAAAAUCCCUGGAGUUGGGUGAUUUAAAAAUCAACUUUGAAUGGAACUGAUGGGGAAAGGAAUCCCAAGAGUGAAUAAUACAUACCUUGAUGAAGUCUUAAUACAUGAAAUUGAGAAGAAAAUUUUAGAACUUGGCCUUCUUCUCCAAGCUUCCAAUGCUCUUCAAUGGUGGUUGAGUACUUAGAUAAUUUAGAGUGAUUUGGGGAAUUGAUUUGGGCGGGUAAUAAUAACUUAAAACUUAACCUUAACAAAUAUAUAUUCACAACCUAAAUUACCCAAACGACCUUUCACUUAAUUGGGUAUUUUGGUGAAGUCAAAUUGACUUAAAAACGUUGCGAACGAAUCAUGGAAAUUGUUGGGCUUUGCGGGGGGGGGGGGGGGUGGGGUUCCGAAUUUUUUUUUCUGAAAUCCGAUUUGAGGCAUAGAUCCUCAUGAAGUACCCAUGUCGGGAGGAAAUUUUUUUCCUGCCAAGUGAAGAGGGCUGCGCACCAUGGCCUUCAAAUCUUGGCUGUCGCAGGGGUCUUUGGCAGCUUGCUUGUCAAUGUUUGGGUCCUCCACAAGGACCCUUCAGGUAGUCCUUUGGGAGUUAUAACUGGACGUUUGGACCCAAUAAACAUUAUUUUACCUAUUUAAAGUCUUUUUAUAAGUUUUAGAAUUCGUAUGACCCUCCCAAACCUUAAUAAACAUAGGGACGAAUACUCGUUCAAUUCCACUAGUUUACAGACAUCAAGGUCUUUCUUUGACGUUUUGAAUUUAAUACUUCUAAAUCAAAUUUAUUAUGUUAGAAUAGGUAUGGAAACAUCAUUUUAAUCAAUAUUUAAUAUUUUAGUGUCUAGUAUAAGUCAUGGAACUUUCAGAGUGUUACAUUAUCCCACCUUUGGAACAUUCGUCCCUGAACGACACCUAACUCUUUUCAUAGGGUGAGACAAGACUCAAUACUACAAGCCCAACAAACAACAAGAAGAACAUAAUCGUAAUGAGUCACAUCUAAUAGGAAUACUUAGCAACUCUACUCAAAACAUAAAUAUGAAAUUACCAUAGCAACUCAAAUCACAAGUUAAAUAAGAGCUCAACAUUUCAUAACACAUUAUGAGUAACUACCUUAUCAAUAUCAACAUGAGCUCGAAAUGACACCAAUGAUUUACCAUUCUAUUCUUCUCAAGACAACAUAAAAACAACAAAAUCUCAAGAAGACAAAAGCAUAUAUUUAACAUUAGUGCAAGUUAACACAAAAAGCCUUUUUCAUGAAAACUCAUUUUGACAUAAACCUUUACCAUAAAAAUGCACAUACUUAUUACAUAAUUCAAAUUGAUAUUAAUUUAAUAUUUUCAUUAUAAGCAGGAACUACUAACCUUAAUUUGGAAAAAGAUGAGGAUAGCGGAACAUUAUGUCAGCCUCGACCUCCCAUGUUGCACCCUAAACUAUAUGUCUUCUCCACAGAACCUUUACGGAGGCCACCACUUUGUUCCUCAAUGUCUUAACAUGAUGAUCAAGUAUUUCCACCGGAACCUCUUUAUAAGAAAGGUCCUCAUUCCCCCCUAACCCUUAAAUAGGGAGAAUUGAAACCGGAUCACCUUAAAACUUCUUGAGCAUGGAGACAUGAAAUACCAAAUGAACUGAAGCUAGUUCACUAGGUAAUUUCAACUAACAAGCAACCUUUCGAACUCGUUACAAUCUUAUAGGGACCCACACACUAGGGUCUUAUAUUCCGUUUUUUACCAAACCUCAUCACCCCUUUCUUAGGUAAAUUUUCAAGUAUACCUUAUCACUCAGUUCAAAUUCAAGGUCUCUUCUCCUAUUGUCAGCCUAAGACAUUCCUGACUAUAUGUUGUUAUCAAUCUAUCCCUUUUUUCAUAUGAACUUUCUCCAAGGAUUCAUAGACUAUUUAAGGACCAAGGAGUGGAGACUCACAAAGCUCAAAUCACCAAUCCGGAGACCUACCUCUCCUACCAUACAGUGCUUCAAAAUGAGCCAUGGCAAUACUUGAUUGGUAGAGAUUCUUAUAAAAGAACUCAAUAAACAGCAAGUGAUUGUCCCAAUUCCAUUUGAAAUCUAUUACAUAAGCUCUUAACAUAUCUUCUAGGGUUCGAAUGGUACGCUCUGCUUGACCGUCCGUUUGAGGAUGAAAAGCGGUGCUUAGAUUAAUUGGUGUAACCAACCCUUUUUGAAAGGACCUUAAAAAACGAGAAGUGAAUUGUGCACCUCUAUACGAUAUGAUGAACAAAGGGAUUCCACGAAGGCUCACAACCAUUUUAUAGUAGAUUAUUGCAUAAUCCUAUGCCGAAUAAGUAGACUUGAUAGGGAUAAAGUGAGUGGUUUAUUUCAACCAAUCCACAAUAACAUAUAUUGAGUCAUUUUGUCUACGUGUUCUUGGAAAAUCCACUAGAAUGUCGAUAUUAAUAUCUUCCCUCUUCAAAGAGGGAACUUGCAUUUCUUGAUUUAGACCACCCGACUUUAACUUGUUUGCGAUUGGGACACCUAGCCAUAAAUUCCUCUAUGUACCUUUUCAAGCCUUCCCACCAAUGGACCUUUUGAAGAUCGCGUAACAUUUUGGUAGCACUCAGAUUAAUAGAAUAUUGGUAAACAUGAGUUUCUUCCAAAAUUUGUGUCCUCAAAUCAUCAAAAUACGACACACACAACCUACCUUGGUACCUAAGUACACCAUCCCUCCUUGGGAGAGUGAUUCAUACAUCUUACCAAGAACCGAUUCCUUCAACUCUAUCAAUAGUGGAUCAAGUUGUUGCUAAAAGUUCACCUCAACCACUAAAGACGAUUCGGAGUUAUGAUGGACCAUAAAGACACUAUUAGGAGAAUCUUCUAACCGAACACCCAAUCGAGCCAAUCUAUGAACAUCCUUCACUAGGUCUUUCAUGGCUUCUUUCACAUGAGAUACCCUACGCAUAGUCAUACGAGUUAGAGCAUCCGCAAUGAGGACUAUUGUGGUUGGUAAAUACAUCCUCAUGCACCCCAUAGAGAUAAUGUCUUUAUAAUAUCAAGGCAAACACCACUGCCGCUAAUUCAAGUUCAUGAGUUAGGUAGUUCUUCUCAUUCACCUUGAGUUCCCUAGAGGAGUAAGAUAUCAUUUUACCAUGUUGCAUGAGGACACAACCUAAACGUACUCGGGAAGCGUCACAAUAUACCACAAAGCCCUUGGUAACCUCCGAUAAGGUCAACAUCAGAGUGGGGGUAAGCCUAUCUUUCAACUCAUAAAAGCUUCUUUCAUAAGCCUCUGAGUACAUAGACUUAACCUUCUUUUGAGUUAAUGAUGUAAAAGAAGAUGGAAUAGACGAAAACCCAUCAACAAACCUUCCAUAGUAGACCCAAGAAACUUCUAAUAUAAGUUGGAGCCAAAGGUAUAGGCCAAUUCUUAACUGCUUGUCUUUCUUGGAUCAACCUCUAUACCUUCACUAGAUAUGAUAUGACCAAGAAAUGCAGCUGAACUCAACAAAAAUUAACAUAUGUUAUGCUAAGCAAAGAGUUGGUGUUUCUGCAGGACUCACAAUACCACCCUCAAUGGCCCAUAUGCUCAUCCUCACUCUUCGAAUAUACAAAGAUGUCAUCAACAAAAAUAAUUACAAAGGCAUCAAGGUAAUUUCAGAAAACUCUAUUCAUUAGGUCCAUCAAAACCACCGAGGUAUUCGUUAACCCAAAUGACGUAACUAGGAACUUAUAGUGACAAUACCUAGUUUGGAAAGCCGUUUUGGGGAUAUCUUUACCUCUCACACUUAGUUGGUGAUAUUCGGACCUUAAGUAAUUUUAAAAAAGUAGCUUUCCUUUUGGAGUUGAUAAAAUAAGACAUCAGUCCUAGGGAGAGAGCACAUGUUCUUUAUAGUGACCUUAUUGAGUUGACGAUAAUCAAUGCACAUCCUAGGGGACCCAUCCUUAUUCUUCCAAAACAACACCGGAGCACCCCAUGGAGAAAAACUAGGUCGAAUAAAACCUUUGUCUAUUAGGUCUUUUAGUUGAGACUUCAACUCUUUCAAUUCGGCCAGAGCCAUACGAUAAGGAGGAAUUGAAAUGGAGUUCUUAUCCAGUAAUAACUCAAUACAUAAAUCAAUUUCCAAUUUGGGAGGAAUUCCAGGAAAGUCAUCGGGAAGACAUCCGGAAAUUCCUUCACUAACGGGAUCGAAUCUAGGGAAGGAAUUUCAUAGUUUAGGUCUUUGACCAUUAAAAUAUGGUAUUAACACACUUUUGAGAUCAUUUUACAAGACUUAAAACAAGAAAUGAUAUGUCCUCUAGGUAUAUAAUUUCCCCUUUCUAUUCUAACACGAGUUCAUUUGGAAAAUUGAACUUAACCACCCUUGUUCUACAAUAUAUGGAAGAAAAAAAAGAACGCAACCAAUCAAUUCCAAAGAUUGCAUGAAAAUAAACCAUAUCAAGUUCUACCAAGUCAACAUAAGAAAAUUUUUUGGGAAACAUUAUAGAUAAUUCCUAUAGCCUCUUUUGGCAACACCAGAGUCACCCUCUAAGGUAGUAACCAAAAAUGGUUAAACUAAGAUAUUGAGAAAUAUAUACAACUUCAUGGAUACUAAGGGAGUCACAAAUGAUAAUGCAUUACCAGUAUAAAGUAAAAGAACAUAAAUUAAUAGUAAAUACUUGUAACAUAUCGGUGACAACAUUGGGAGAUUCUUUUUGGUCACUGAAUGGAGAGCAUAGAAACGCUUCCUCUUUGGAACAUCGAAGUUAGAACAACUUGCUUGAGAUUGAGAACUCCCCUUCUUUUAACCCCUUACAUUUGUUCAAUACCUCGCCUUGUGGCCAUUCUUACCACAACCAAAGCAAUUAGCUGUUCCCAUCAAGCAUUCACCCAAAUGCUUCUUUCCACACUUUGUACAAGUAGGUUAUUCACUUGGUAAGUUUUCACCAUUUCCAUUUUGGGACUUAGGGUUAACUCCCUAUCAACACGAGCCUUAGGAAGCUUAGAAGGAACAUGGUUGGAGAACCUCUUCUUGAACAUAGGCUUGUAUUGAAUAUCCAACCUACCCUUAGAAGAACCACCUUCAUAAGACUUGGCCUUUCUAGCAUCCUUAAUCUUCCAGUUAGUCAUGAAACAUUACUGAAUGGCACUCUUCAACCAAAUCAUUGGACACUCCCGUCACAAAGAGACUCAUAUCACCCCUUGGGUUAGACACCAUGGAAGGGGCAUACAAUAGACAAUUUAGUGAACUUCUAAGUGUAGUCUAGCACACUCAUACCUCCUUGACAAAGGUUGAUGAAUUCAUCAACUUUAGCUUUUAUUUUAUCCCUUGGGAAAAUCCUAUCAAGAAAAUACCUUAUAAACACCUCAUAACUAAUGGGACCUGCUCUCAUAGUCCUAUUAUCCCUCUAUUCAGUAUACCAAGUUUUAUCCAAAUUCUUGAGAUGAUAAGAGGCUAGCACGACCUUGUUAUUUGAACUCAACCCCACAUCAUACAAGAUAUUGUAGAUAUCAUCAAGGAAUUAUUGGGGUUCUUCAUCAUUUUUUGACCAAAAGAACAUUGGAGAGUUCAUCCUAGUGAAGUCCUUACGCGAAAAGCCAUGGUAUUAGCAUUUUUGUUCACACGAGGUCCAACUUCCUCAUUUUCUAAAGCCUUCAUGGAUUAAUCUUGAGUAGAAACGAAUUGUGCUUGAGUGGUCAUAACAUGAGCCGAAGUCACAAAAGCCGACCUUAUAUCUCUAACCGUCAUACCCGGAAGAAUGACCGGAGCUUGUCCACCCAAAGGAGCUUCUCUUUAGGAGGAGCUUUAUUUCCUGGUGGAGGACCUAUGUUAUCUUGGGGAGGAGCUCUCGCAUUAACAAUUUCUUCUUCGACUCUUUUUCGGCUUCCAUUCUAGUUGUCAUAGCCUAUAACCACAAUAAAAGUAUUAGAAGAAAAAGGACACAUAGAGUAAUCACUUUUGAAGAACAACUUUCAACAAUACAAAAAAGGUGAGAAUUCCUAAACAUCACGUAGCCUCUUGUUCAUACGUUUGGCGCACUUCACACACAUUGAUGAGAAUCUUUGUAGAUGUGGUUUUGUGAGACAUAAAUCCUUAAAAUUACUUCAACCGAAUACUCUGAUACAAAGUUUGUCACAGUCAAAGAUCACCCCUCAGACGUAACUGACAUCUUUGUCCUCGAAGAGGACGUAGACUAGUCUCCCUUAAUAUUCGUCAUUACAUGUCAUAGGUCAAAAAGGUGGAAAAUUUAAAAAUUUUACAUAGUGAGGUAUACAUAGACCUCUCACGUAUAUAUAUGAAGUUUACAUAAACUCCUCGCUUGUUGAAUCAUAGAUAGACUUCUUGUUUAGACAACAUAAAUGAUACAUAACAUAUAGUCUAGUAGCAUUGUCUCACAUAAAACCAUCUAAAAGGUGUAAAAAUUUGUACAUAGCCAUUAAAAAUACAAUACUCCAGUAUAGGCUUAGAUAAAUUGUGUCAAAUAAAAAAGGAAGGAACAAAUGUCAUUAGACAUAGCAAAUCCUACUAGCACAGAUAGAUGUCACCAUCCUCGAACAUUGACGACGCACCAAUCAACUUGGGAACGAUAUCCAAGUCUUGGUGCAAUUGGUCUCUUAGAUUCUACAGCCCGAACCUACAUAUUUGUAUAAUCAUAAAGAAUAUGGUUUAGACAACUAGUUGUACAAAGUAUGGAUAUAUGCAAGUAAUCCAUUUGAAGACAUGCACAAAAGGGACCAUUUCACUAGAAAUGAGAUAAGUCAUUUUUAAAGUCAUUAUGCACACACAAGAGCAUAUACAAGUCCAUAAGCAUUACAUCACUUAAGAGAAGUUCAUAACCAACACACGAAAAACAUUACCAUAAAGCCGUAUCAACCCGAAUAGCAUCAUUGUAAGGUUAUAUCAACAUCAAUAGAUUCAACAUAAAGUUGUAACCUAUACUAGAGUAAUAAAAUCAAUAUACAAGACCCUUACCAACAAUCCCAUUCCAAGACUACAAGUGCAAUGCUUAUGUGAAGCCCUAUAACGCCACAUAAUCAAGUAAACAAGAAAAAAGAUCAUAAGUAAUGUCUUUCUUCAUAAAUAUACCAUCAUGUGUAGUCAUCAUCACAUAUAGAAAUUAAGACCAAUAUCACAUUCAUCAGUGUAACCAACAUCAUAUAGGAGCAACAUCAUGUAGAGUUAACAUAUAUAUAGAUAUCAUGAUAUCGUAAGUACCUAACAACAUAAGAACAACCCCUUAGGACUUUCAUCAAGGCCAACUUUUGCAAUGUAAUGAUAGAGUCCCAUACCCCUAUCUACACUAAGUAGAACCCAUUAAGUCACCCUAGUUAGAGUUCAUCUUCAUUACUUCAUUCAUUUAACAUACUUUUGGGAACAAUCACCUUAACUUACAAUAGACCGUUUGAGCUAAACAGGGAAUUCGGUAUCAUGAAACCCUACACUAAAAAAAGGUGCUCUACCUGCCAAAGUAGAACUAAUGCUUGAACAUAGAUUUCUAUGGGGAUCCACUAGAGAGUCUUCACAUGGAGGAAACAUAUUUAAGGAACUAGGAUAUAUGUCUUGAACCCUCUACAUGCCCAUUAGCAUUGGAGUCCUUGGCUCAUGAAAAUGUUGGUGAAUCUCUAUUCCAUCGGGGAGUUAAACCCUCUCAUUGUCAAGUUCACUCGCUGCUGAGUUAAAGUCACUUUUUGAAAUGUCUAUAAGCCUUUCUUAAUGAUAAUAGCUUAGUAUAUACCAUAGAAUACUAACCCCUUGAUUAUCAUAAUCAUUAUCUCGUUAGGUAUUGCAUGAGAAUUUUAUUUUCAUAACAAUCCUCUAUUUUUGAGAUUAACACAUCAUAAUCAUAUCAUAGUAAGGCACACAAGUGAUUCAUAUUAAACCUUGUAUAAUCAUACCGUUAGUAUGAUCUCUCAUUUUAAAUAGUCAAGACAUUUCAUCACAAUGAUUACAUCAGCAUCAUGUUAAUCUAAUAACAUAUAAUACCUCAAUUGAACACCAUUAACAAGUAUAAGCCAUUGUAAUUAAAGUAAAGAAGUCAAGAUCACAAAGUCUUAUCUCAUAGCAUUCAUAAGUUUCCUGAAAUAUCUUACCAUAAAUCCAACGAUAUUCAUCCAUCAAUUUACUAAACAACAUCACAUAAUAGUAAUAUGUACAAGAAACAAGUCAAUUACAUCAUCACUAAUCAAAUAAACCUCAAUUCAUAACCUAGGGUUAGGGGAAAAGGUUCGAUCAUGAAUUACUCUUGAAAUAGAUCCAAUCAUAAUAGUACAUGAACAUAUCCGGUCCCUGAAUGAAUUACAGUAGUUAAAAGAAGUCUAUAAUAAUUACACUUCUCAAUUCCCAUCAAUUCAUGAGAAAGAUCCAAGAUUAGGGGGAAUCAGGGAAAGGACAUGAACCAAACAAAAUUAAAAUUAAUUAACAUAAAUUACUCAAAAAUCAUCACUUAAUUAUUUGUAGGUAAUCACAAUUCGUCAUAAUCACUCGACAAUUUCAAGUUUUUAAGAAAACCCAUUUGUAGAGAAAAACCCUUGGAAUUGGGUGAUUUAGAAAUCAACUUUGAAUGGAACUCUUGGGGAAAGGAAUCACAAGAGUAAAGAAUCCAUGUUAUGAUAAAUACUUAUUCCAAAAAAUUUUAGAAGAAAAGUUGAAAACCUGAUCUUCUUCUCGAAGCUCCCAAUACUCUUCAAUGAUUGUUGAGUAGAGAGAGAAUUUAGAAAAAAGUGUGAGUUAUUUGUGAAAUUAAUUUGGG
This 114841-nucleotide long non-coding RNA is filed under the name Solanum lycopersicum (tomato). RNAcentral's name for it is "long non-coding RNA (SLYC_LNC000209)". The record is from RNAcentral. Lineage: Eukaryota; Viridiplantae; Streptophyta; Magnoliopsida; Solanales; Solanaceae.